UCAUAUUUGGAAGUGAAAUUGCUUCUCCUCUGCUCAUUCUGUCCAGUUCGCUGCACCUCGAAAGGUUAUAUUAUUUUGCCAUGUUCUCUCUUCUUUUCAACGUGUCCUCUUUGCUUUUCGCUUGCUUUAGAAUAAUAUUCUGAUGAUGGUAGGUGUUCAAUUGUUUGAUGGUUGUUGGCUGGUUGUAAGAAUAGAGUAUAAAGUAUAUGGUUUUCAUUGGCUUGUUGUGCAGAGGUAGCCGUAACAUCAUUUUUAAGGACUGGCGAAUGUCUUUCCUCGUGUGCCCAUCCUCUUUAUUUUGUCUAAAUCCACUUCGAAAUUCUUAUAUGUUGAAAUGUUGCGUGAAUAUUUUCAAAUCAAGUUUAUUUCAUGAAGUUCGCAUUUUAAUACUCUUGUAGGACAAAAUCCUUCAAUCAAAUAAAAUGUUUAAGUAUGUGCGAUGCAGUUGUAUGCUCUCCCUAAUCAUUAAGUUUCUUUUGUUUACUUCUUGAUUCUCUUGGUCAACUUACUGUGUUUGUCCUCUUUCUCAAUAUUUUCUCUCGCCUUUUUCUUCUAUGCUCAAUGAAAUAGUAGGUCCAAUGUUGGAGAAAGUUGUGUUGUAGGCUUGUUUGACGAUUACUGAUUGCGUUGUUUGUUUAUAUUUUUUAACUCUUAAAAUUUUAUCUUUUAGGUUUCUAUUAUUUGAUUGAGUCGAAUCUAUAGGCAUGCAUUUGAUGUUAAUGUCUCCAAUUUGCUUGCGAGUUUUAUUUUUCUUCUAUUUCUAUCUAAUAUUGCUUUAUGUCACGAGGAUCCGUAUCAUCCCACUUAUAGUAUAUUUAAAUUGGCUGGGUAUUGUAUUUAGGAGGGUUUUUUUUGUGCUCAAAUCUUGUUGUUUAUGUAAGUGAAUCCGCAAGCCGUUAAUAUGGUUAGCAUAUGUCGCAUGUUCAUUCUUGUAGUUUGAUGUUUUCCUACGCCUUAAACGUGUUUAUUAUAUUGUUGCCUCACACAACAUGCUCAAAUCAAGUUUUGCCUUCAUAUCACUCGACAUUUGGCAGAAAGCGUUUCGUUUUAGCUUGAGUUGUUUGUUUUUGUGUUUAUGAUAUUGAUCUUUAUUAUUCGCUCUAUUUUAUGUUUUUCUGUUCACUGUUUCAGUCAGUUUUGUCAUUCUGGCAAAGGGUGAUUUUAAAUAGCAUCGCAUUAUUAAGUAAAUUACUGUAGGUCACAACUUCUGUUGGUCGAUAGGGAAGUUUUAUUCGGUUUACUUGAUCUAUUCUAAGGUGUCAUUUAUGCCCUCCUCUCUUUUUCUUUUAUAAAAAUGGUUGUUAUUCAUGUGCCUCUUUGAUUUUGAUUCCCUUUAAUGAUAUUGCUUGCCAAUUUGCAAAUUUCCGGGUUUAAAUGCAUAUUCCAGUAAGCUAGGAUACAUUCCAAGUGUUUGUGUUGGUUAGACUACUUAUUAACUCAUUUCCCUUUCUCUUGAAUGUAAAAUCUGUUUGGGUUCGUUAUGAACUCUCAUCCUCUAUUGCGUUAUGAGAGAGAGUCAUAAAGGCUUAACUUAUCCAUCAAGUCAAGCAAAUCGACGGACAAUUCCUGAAGUUUAUGGAAUUGAAGAAAAUCGAAGAAGUUUUAUUAGAAGACCCCUUUAUAUUCAUAUGUUGUACUUUUAUUAUGUAAUAGCCCUAAGCCCUUAUCGCUUUGUACUAUUAUCUAAAUAGUUUAGGACUCGUACAAGUUGAGUGGGCCUAAGACCCAUAAACAGAGGGUCCAAUUACCGAUCCAGGCGGACAAAAAAAUUGAAUUUGGACCCAACUCUCUCUCUCUCUUAUUUUUUGUUUAUUCCCAUUACUUGUAGUUAGUUUUAAAAUAAAUAAUUCAAAUCCCCGCAAACGGCGUAAAUGUUUUAUCGACUUAAAAUUUAAUUCUAAAUGAACUCUAAAAGAUGAAUAGAUUUGCAAAAAAUAAAGUUCACUCAAUUAAUUAAUACCACUUCUUUCAUACGAAUUUUACGUAAUUUUUACAAGUUAGAUUAUUUUUAGCCAAAUAGAUUAGUUGUUUGGAUAACCGCAAGAAACCAAACGUCUAUGUGCUUUCAAAACCUUCCUAAGACGUUAAUAAGAAUUGCUGACCCCCCCUAAAAAUCUUUCAUUUAAUUUUCUGUUUUUGAUUAAAUGGAAGAACAAUUUUUUCUUAAUUUUCUCAAAAUUAAGUGGCAACUCAAAAAGUCAAAAUUCUAUAAAUAUAAUCUUUUGCGAAUAUAUAAUAAAACAGAAAUGAAGACUCUUCUUGGAGAUUUGAGAAUUCUAAUCUUAAAAGUAACGUGUUUUUGCUAUGUGAAGUUAAUAGUGUAUCUGUUUAUUUGUCGCCUUAUUCAACUGUUGCGUUUAUGGCAUAUCAUAACUCUAUCAUACGACGAUUAUUUUUGUUUACCACUUGAAGGACGAUAACGCGGGUUUGCAGUCAUUCGUUCACCAAAUUAUUUCGGGAUACCCUGACGAAUGUAGUUUUUUAUUUGAUAGUCAACGGUCGUUAACUGUCCCAUCCUAAGUAGUCCGCUUGGGUUACCCUUUCCACUAUAAAUAUAACUCACUCAUAGUAAAACUAAGAUAAAGCGCAACCAAAUUCCGAAAAGUAGCUCAUUAGCCUAAGAUGACCCAACACCCAAUGAGUUUUGGGCCUAUUAGAAAUACCGCUUUGAGUCCAAUGAGCCCACGACUCGAUUGGAAGAUCAUAUUUAUAUAUUGAUCUGAAGGAUGUCUACAUGUUUUACUUUUUGUUGUGUCCUGGAGGGUGGAAACUAACUAGUUGUAAGUUUUUGUAGAUGUCGAUUCAAUUUCUUAGUUACAAUAUGGUCCCCAAGUCACCAGACAUUCUCCGCGUAUGGUGGGAAAACCUCAAAGGUUGUUAAAAGAGAGAAAUCUUGAUUCACUUCUGCCACUUACCUUUGAUAAUGGACUUCAAGGUUUGGCCCACGUUUGUCGUGGUAAUUACGCAGUUUUGGGACGACAAAAAGAUGGUCUUUUUAUUUGGAGACGUCAAGAUAACACCUACCCUAGAAGAAAUAAAGGACUGACUGAAGUUUAUCAAAAUAUCUGGCAAGAGGAAAAAUAUCCUGAUCAUUACAUCCUUCUACCGGACUGGCCGACUCGUAAAGAAUUGAAAGACAUGUAAUUGCUAGUGAAUAAAAAUUGGUUGAAUGCACAAAAUAUACCAAUAAUGAUAUUUUUUGAAAGAUGAGGGCACAACAACUAUUUUAAACUUUUUCCAAAUGAAUCACAUGAUCGUAGUACUUGUAGACAAACCCAGGCCAUUACAUUCUCAACAUUCCUUUUAGAAACGAUAGUGUUCACGCAAGAUGAAGGAAAGGAGAUCGACACCCGGGUUGUGAGUGUAGUAGAUGCCAUAUUUAGAGGAGUUGGUAAGAAACAAGAAGAAAAGAAACACUGCAGUUUAGCCAUAGUAAUUUUGGCCGACAUCUGUCAAUCUCUGAGAUUGUAUAAGAAUAGGUUUCCAUUUUUCAAAAGUUGCAAUAUUUUACUUCAGUGGUGGAUGAGUGAACAUAUGUGAAAAAAAUGGCAACUAGCAAGAAGAAUUUGCUAAACCGAGCCAGACGAGUCCCCUUGAUAAUUACAAAUUUAUUUAAGCAUUCGUAGGUUCCCAAUUCAUACCACCAAGGAUGUGUCGGCGAAGGUAUUUUAUGAUCUAUGAGAAGGAUACAUACAGUGGAUGUUGCCGAACUUCAUGUCAGAGAAUAUAGCAAGAAACUUCCCUUUUUGGUCCUUACCGGCAUUAGAGGGUUGCAACACUACAACCCUGCUAGGGUGAUGUUGAAAUUUGGUAGAACACAAAUCACACCCAUCAAAGGUGAUACUAUCUCCUUCUUCGUCGAUCACAACGGGUGCAUUAAAAUACCUUUAGCCAUGAUCAUCGUCCUAGAAUGGACUGGACGCGUCAACAUGAAAUGUGAUAUGACUAAAAAUAGAUAUGAAGUUGGGUAUGUCUAUGAAUACCAGAUGUGUUUGCAGAAGGAUUUGUAUGGUGUAGUGAACCCAACACCGCGCGUAGGUUGAGAAAUUGAAGACAUACAGAUAAGGUUGCAGAUCCACGCAUAUAAUUUUCAAUAAAAAUGGUACCGAAGGGACCAGGAAUUUCAACGAAAGGAGCGAGAGUACUAGUCUAGAGAGUUAGAAGGUCAGAGGCCUUUAGCUGUGAUGUCACAAGAGCUAACCGAUGCAAGGGCAUGUUUGAUGAAUCUAGAUGAAACGCUGGAUGAGCAGACAAACAUCCUACGCGUCGUGCCUCCAUCUACCAAAGAUGUCUUCGCUGAUCCAUAUGUGGUAACAAGAAAGUGCAUCAUCCGUGAAGAGGUAGAAAAAUCCAGAGGCAGAGUAGGACCGUCAACCUUCUAAUUCCCUUGCGUGGAUUAUUUUCUAUUUGUAUUCGCAAUUUAUUCCCCUUCCUGAAAAUGUACCCCCGUUUCGAUUAUAACUAUGUAACGGAUGCUAUGAUUAUUUCUGAAGCUUAUUUUUUGGGAUGCAACAAUCUGUUUUAAAUGAUGCAAUAUAUCCUUCUGAUCGCUAGGCCUACCCUUGUCACAAAAGGGUCACAUGCAUGAUUAGGACGCGAUAUAUUUGUGUUAACUGUUUAUGUGACAUGUUGCUUUGAAUGAGAGUAUCAUUAACCACUCCUUUCUAGAAAUUUCAAGAAAAUAUACACACAAGUCAAUAUUACAAAAUGUCCGACCAAAAUUUUCCGAGUCUUAAGUUUGUCACUCAAAAGAUAUAUCCCAUAGCCCAAAGCCUAAAACGCUACUCUAUCGUCUAAGGAAAAAUAGAAUCACAACUAUGGGAAAGGGUAAGAGUGUCCCAGUGGAAUUUACAGGAGAGGAGUUACAUAUAAAUAUAGAACAAAUCACGCGGAAAAUUCAAGAGGUCAAGGACGAAGGACUCAGGGUCGAAGUUGCCGCAUCAAUAUACAAAGACAUGACUGUGGCGCUGGAUGAGGAUUUGGUGUCAAAAAUGAAGAAGAAAAAAGACAUUGAUAUGUAGAGAGAGGUGUGUGUCUUCCACCCAACUGGCGAGGGCACACUAUAGAGGAAUAUGUGCAACUUAAGAAAAGAAUCUGCCGCCAGAUCAACAUUGGGCAUAUUCUCUACUUGUUGGGUUGGAACACGGUUCUCACCUAUGAUCAGUCAGAUCUCAGUGAGCACACCCGAUUCAUUUGUCAUUAUUUCACGCCAUUCCAGAAGACGAUGCUUGAAUCUACAGUGAGUUGGUUCAGAAUGGGGAUUUAGCCUCUAUCCACGAUGAUGACAGAGGUCUCGAUACCAUUAGGAAAGAGAUAUGUAUACCUUGUGCUUAACACAAUGCUACAAAUAAUAGUCUCUCAAGGUGCCUCAAUUUUCGCUACGACUUCAAAGCCCUCAUCAACAUGGGAAAAAUUCGAGUCAAGUUUGGUCCCCGUGGCUUAGAAGACGUUGACAAAACGUAUAACUGAGACGUAAUUAUUAUUUGUCUUUAAAGCAUUUUUUUAUCUUUCAAUUUCCAUGUAACCAUCUAUAAUGAAUGGAUGAAAGUCAAUUUUUUUUUCUACUCGAAUUAUGUUGGGCCUGAAUUCUCCUUGUGAGAUAUGUAUGAAGCCUUUUAAGGCCCGACCCCUAACCUUUAAAUAUUUCAUUCUUCCCCCUUCAUAUUAUAAGAAGAUACAAAGACUAGAUCAACGAACAUCAAAGAGAAGCUGCAAGAAGACUUUAGCUCGACGUGAUUUAGACUUUCUAAGAUGGUGUCGAACUAAAAAGCAAGCAAACUCCUGCUAGUUAAAAAUCUAUUUUCUUCCAUACUCGUGGAUUAAAGAUAACCUCAAACAAAGCAACUUGUGUGUUUAUCCGCUCUCUGUGUGAUAUUAUGUAUUUUUUAUUCUGAAUCUAAACUAAUAUAUCUGCCUUUAAGUUGUUUUCCUCCUUAUGUACUUUGAAACUCAUCUAUGUCGAUUAAGCUGGCAGAUCAUCCCUAUUUGACCUGAUCUAAGGAUCCCGCAGAUUCCUUUCCAACAAAAUAUUCGGACAAAGGAAAAGCAGUUAUGGGAGACAAUAAUGAAGAAGUCAAUCUCACCAAUGAUGUGGUGGCUAAAUCCAUCAUAGCAGACCAGAACAAAUGUAUUAUCCAAAAUACUGCAAGAGAUUGCGGAAAUGAGGGUGGGAUGCAAAGGACACAGGAUCUGACUCCACCUGUUUUUGGUGCUAAAGCUGUUGAUGGGAGACCUCCUCUCCACUUACCUGCUUCAAAUAUGGAUCCAACUUAGAAUCUGCCAUCUACACCGGCUCAGAAUCCUUUCAUCAUAGACCUGACCGCUCAGAACACCCAAUAUGCUUCGGCUUCGUACAAAAUACCUUCUCCUCAAAACAACCACUCCCAACUACUACCCCAUUCUCAAAAUACCCAACAUCAAAGUGUUCCACCAGUAAAACCAAAAUACCAAUCCUUAAACCUAUCUGUAAAACUACCAAAGCACCCAGAAUUCCCAAAGUCCUUCUGUAGCUCCAUCCCUACCAAAAAGAAUAACUCUCCAGAUUCCCGUCCCAGUUACGCACGAUCAGGAUUGUUCUGUGCUGGACCAUUACGAGGAACAAGAAAAAGAAUGGAGGGAAAAAUCAGAAACAAAGGUGGAUAUAAAAGAAGAAAUCAGGAAAGCAAUAAAAGAGUUCCAAAGCAUCCCUGACGUCACUGGUCUAAAAUAUGAAGAUUUAUGCAUCAUUUUGAAUCUGGACGUCCAUGAAAGGUUCAAGAUUCAAAAACUUGAUACUUUUGGAGGAGAAGGGAAUCCUAUGGCCCAUCUAAGAGCCUAUUGCGACCAAUUUUUUUGCGUUAGUAGGGAUGAAGCCUUGCUGAUGCAGCUCUUUAGCCGAAGUCUAUGCGGGGAGGCUCUAGAAUGGUUCACCUUCCUUUAAAUUAGACAGUGGCCAAGUUGGAAUGCCCUAGCCAAGGAUUUUAUCGAUCGAUUUGCUUACAACUUUGAAAUUCCAAUCGAUACUUCUUGAAAAAGAUGAAGCAAAAAUCUACUGAAAGAUAUAGAGAAUUCGCCUAUAGGUAGAGACAGGAAGUAAGUAGGGUAAGGCUUACGGGCUCAAGAGCCCGAUAUUAUGAUAGAAACAUCUUGCUCGUUAGAGCGAAAUUUGCUGAGAUAGUCAAGAUUGGUGAGACUAUCGAAGAUGGUUUGAAGGAAGGGAAAAUAGCCCACAUUGCUGCAUCGCCCGGAUCAUCAGGCUUGCUGAUGAAAAAAAGAGAAGAAGUUUCAACUAUCUCUUAUGAGGGGAGGAAUACCCAUAAAAGACCGGCAUUCUACAAAGGUCCCCCUCGACCAUCACAGAACUCCCAUCAAGCUAGUUAUAUGCAAACUAGUUAUCCAAAUCCUACCUCCUCGUACCCAAAUUCCCCACCUACAAAUUAUUAAAAUUCAUCUUUUAUUUACCAAAAUCCUCCUCCGCCUUACCAAAUUCAUCCCCCAUUUACCAAAAUGAUGCUCCUAACACUGACAAUGUGUAGUCGAGCUACAGAGAACCCCAACCAGUAUAUUAAUUCCAAGCUUCAAUAUACAAAAAUACCCCAACGAACUACCAAAGAUUCAUCACUAAAAACCAAACAUAUCCUUAUUUGAGAAGCCAAGCUCUCCGUCCAAAUACUAAAAGUUAACAAUAGGUGACUCAUCCACAACAAGGCAGUUAUGAUCCACGUCGACCUAGAUUCGAGAGGAAUCCCACCAAAAACAUUACCGCGCUCAUGGAAAGUCGAAUAAAGUUAUAAGAGCGAUUGCUUGCGGCUUAUACAUUCACAUGGUGGGGCCUAAGCCGGUUGAUACUAGUUCCAAAUUCUACAUACCCGAUCAAAAGUGUGCGUAUCACUCCAACAAUGUUGGACAUGAUACCGAGGUCUUCAUCAACCUCAAGCACAAGAUUCAUGAUCUGAUCGACAAAGAGGUGGUUUCUCUUCAAGCAGUCGCACCUAAUAUCAACACCAACCCAUUACCGAAUUAUGGAGGCAUCAAUAUCAACAUGAUAGAGAUGAAUGAUUAUUGGUCCGUGACUAAGGUGAUAACUCAUAAUAUUCAUGACGAGUUAGAAAGUGAUGUGUUGCCUCAGUGAUCGUCAAAGAUAAAAAAGAGUUUGUGGUCGUGACACCCGCAAAUGAUAUUGCCUUGGUUCCAUCAGAAACUUUUUUCAGUCCAAAAUUGGUGAUUGAAACUGCUGCCGCUCAGGGUAUGACCCGAUUUGGAAGGUGUUAUACUCCUUAAGAGUUGUCUUUUGGAGGACGAAAUAAAGAUUAGGGUAAAAGGCCAAUAAGUAAAGGCGAGACAGAGGAAUUAUGGAGAAACAUGCAGCCAAAAAACUAUUCAAUCGUUAAGCAUUUGGAGAAAAUUCCAGCCCAGAUUUUUGUGUGGGCCUUGCUAAUGAGCUUCUUACUGCAUAUAGAGAUCUUUAUGGCAGCUCUUGAUUAUAUAUAUGUGCCCGUGGGCACAAGCAUCGAUAAUGUGGCAGCUAUGAUCAACCAUCUUAUCCGAGGGCAUCUUAUUAGCUUCUGUGAUGAAGAAUUACCCUCUAAAGGGAGAUCGCACAACAAGCCGUUGCAUGUCACUGUCAUAUGCCAUGAAAAAGUCAUAAAUUGUUUCCUGGUAGAUGAUGGGUCCAGUCUUAACAUUUGCCCACUGUCGACUCUAAGGCAGUUAAUGUUUGACUUUGGGAAGCUGGAACAAAACCAAGUCAAUGUAAGAGCAUUUGAUGGAGUAUAGAGAAAUACGUUGGGAGUGGUGAAUCUGCUCAUCAAAAUAGGUCCGACUGAGUUCAGCGCACAAUUUCAAGUCUUGGACAUCGACACCAGUCAUAACCUUCUUCUGCAAAGGCAUUUCAUCUACAAGGCUGGAGUUGUGUUUUCUACUCUUCACCAGAUGAUGAAACUCGUUUGAAAGAACCAAGAACUCAUUAUUCACGGUGAUGGUAUUCACUCUGGCAGACAGAUGCCCAUUAUCGAUGAAGUUUUGCGAGGAACAAAUUUGUACACGGUGGAGAUGUUAAAUGCAACCGGUGAGGAUGUGGCCCCACAGUCUCCUAUGUCUGUCAUGUACAACAUGCUGCCAAUGUGAUGCUACAGAAUGUGUUUUAACCAGGUUUUAAAAUGGGAAGGAAUUCCCAACGGAUUAUCUAGCCUAUCCCAUUCCACAUUAAAGAAGCAAGAUAUGUUUUGGGGUACAUACCCAUAGAUGAUAAGAUGAAGAAGAAGAAAAGCAGUGACCAAGCAUUGGUUAAGCAGAUUCCACAUCUGUAUCAAUAAUUUCCUGUCCGGGGAGUACGCUGAUCUAGAUGGCCUUGAGGAAGGAAUUUGUGGCCUUUUGAAGAGAAUGAUGCGAUCAUAGAAAAAGAAGUCGAGCUAGCUGGUAUCCGUGAUGCUAAGCUCGGAGAACAACUGCAGAAUUAAAUUUUAAGACCAUUCUUUAUUCUCCGAUCAUAUUGGUAGAAGGACAUUGUUUAGUCAUAUUUGAAAAUUGGUGGCGGUCCGGAAGUGGCCUGAGACCUGCACUCUUGCAUUUUUCUUAAUCGCUUGAAUUUUUAAAUUCCGCGUGAUGUUUAAAAAGGCAACAUGGUCCUUUACCAUGGUCCAAUUUUAAUGAAAGCAUCUUUUAUCGAAAAUUUUUUAUUUACUUAUUAGCUAUAUUUUACUUUUCUUACUUUGUCUAUUUAUGGUUUCAGUAGCAUUAAUUUUAAACCUACCAAUGUCAUGUCAUGUCACAAGAUGAACGGACAAAAUGAGGAAAGUGAUGACGAGGGUGAAGGGCACGAAGAGGAAAAUGAGGCACAAAAUAUGUUGCUAAGAAGUUUCUGCAGUUUCAAAAUCACCAUAAGCCAAAUCUAAAACAAACUGAAGUUGUGAAUCUGGGAGAUCAAGAGUGUGCCCAAGAGAUAAAAAUCAGUGUUCAUUUAAAUGAAUCUCAGAGAAAGGAUCUAAUACAUUUACUCACUGAAAAUGUUGAUGUGUUCAUAUGGGAAGUCAAUGACAUGCUAGGGCUGAGUAUUGUUGUUGUGUCUCACAAAUUGCCGAUUAAUCCAAGGUUCAGUCCAGUGAAGCAAAAAGCUCAGAAGUUCAAGCCUGGAUUGAGUUUAAAGAUCAAAUAAGAAAUUACCAAGCAAAUCAAGUCUCGACUAGUGGAAGUUUCUUAAAACCCGACUUGGUUGGCCAAUUUUGUUCCUGUCGUCCAAAAAGAUGGGAAGAUUAGAAUUUGUGUCGACUAUAGGGAUCUAAACAAAGAUAGCCCUAUAUGGAUAAUUUUCCGUUGCCGAAAAAUCACAUUCGGAUCAAUAACUUUACUAAACAUUAAAUGUAGUCAUUUAUAGGUUGUUAUGCAGGUUAUCAUCAAAUGUUUAUGGACGAAAAAGAUGUAGAAAAGACAGCUUUUAUUACACCUUGGAGUGUAUAUCAUUACAGGGUGAUGCCAUUGUCCUAAAGAAUACUGGUGCUACCUAUAUGAGGGCUAUGAUAACCAUAUUUCAUGAUAUGAUUCAUAAAGAGAUCGAGGUAUAUGUAUAUGACAUCAUAAUCAUGUCCCGCGAGAGCUUGGACGACUUGACGCAUUUAAAGAAGUUCUUUGAUCAAUUGUGUAGUUACAACUUGAAGUUAAAUCCCACCAAAUGCGCUUUUGGCGUUCUACCCUGCAAGUUGUUGGGAUUUAUAGUCAGCAGAGGGGAUAUUAAGCUCGACCCUUCCAAGAUUAAUGAAAUUCAAGACUUACCUCCUCCGAAAAUGUAAAGUAGGUGAUAAGUUUCUUAGGGAGAUUGAACUAAAUUAGUCGAUUCAUAUAUUAAUAAACUGUUGUGUGUGAUCCUAUCUUCAAGAUGUAGAAGAAAGUCGCUUUGACAAAGUAGAUUGAAGAGUGUCAGGCUGCCUUUUAUUUUAUCAAGAACUAUUUGUCCAAUCCACCGUUAUUGGUUCCUUCGAGAGAAGGGAGUCUAUUGUGUCUAUAUUUGUGCAUCUCAAAUAACGUAUUUAGAUGCGUGCUUGGGCAGCAUGAAAAAUAGGGAAGAAGGAGCGAUCCAUUUACUAUACAAGCAAGAAGUUCACGACGUAUGAGUAUACUCUUUUGAAAAGAAUGUAUUGUGCUUUGACUUAGAUCUCUCAGAAUUUGAGACAUUAUUUUUCUUCUUAUACAACAUACCUUGUUUUCAAGAUGGAGCCAUUGAAGUACAUUUUCCGUAAAGCGAUGCCGACUGGAAAGUUGGCCAAAUGGAUUAUGCUUUUGAGUGAAUUUGAUAUUGUUUAUGUGACUCAUCAGAUGAUAAAAGAACAGGACCUAGCUAAUCAUCUCGCAGAAAAUCCCGUUAAUGAAGAGUAUGAACCGCUUAAGACUUAUUUUCACGAUUAUGAAACAUCAUUUGUGGGUGAAGAUAUUUCUGAAAUAUAUCCAGGCUGGAGAUUAUUCUUUGAUGGAACGGCAAAUCACCUUUACUCUAAGAUCUGGUCAACACUAUCCCAUGGCAGAUGAAAUCCAAUUUAAUUGCACGAACAACAUGGCCAAAUAUAAAGCUUGUGUCCUUGAUUUGAAAAUGGCUACUGACAUGAAUGUUCACAAGCUUAUGGUUAUUGGAGAUUCAAAUUUGUUGAUUCAUCAGUUUCAAGAAGAAUGGGCUGUGAAGAACCCAUAGGUUUAGCCAUACGUGCAUGAUAUACGAUAACUAUGAAGAAAAUUCCAUCAGAUCGAAUUCAGACUUACUCCUAGAACAUAGAAUGAGUUUGCUGAAGUCCUCGUCACCAUUUCCUUAAUGAUCAAGCAUCCAGAUCUUGAGUAUACUGAUCCUCUGGAUAUAGAGGAAAAGGAACAUCCGGUCCAUUGUUCACAUGUUUCAGCAGAACGAGACAGUUUGCCAUGGUAUUUUGGUAUAAACAAGUAUUUGGAGUCAGGAAUUAUCUAGAAGAUGCGACAUCCAACAAGAAAAAGUCAAUACGCCGUAUGGCCGUUACCUUCUUUUUGAGUGGAGAAGUCCUUUAUUGGAGGACUCCAAAUUUAAGUCUUCUCAGAUGUGUCGAUGCUGCGAAGCUUAUCGAAGAGAUACAUGCUGGUGUUUGCGGCACAUACAUGAAUGGACUUAAUUUUGCAAGAAAGAUCAUUCGAUUUAGUUAUUUCUGGAUGACUAUGGAGCAUAUUUUUGUAAAUUUAUGCAUAAAUGUCAUAAGUGUCAAGUGGAUGGGGAUUUGAUAUCAGUGCCGUCUCACGAACCUAAUGCUAUGAAUUCACCUUGGAAGUUUGUAGCUUGGGGAAUGGAUGUGAUUGGUCCACAUAGAAUCAUCCGCCUCUAAUGGACAUAUAUUUAAUUUGGUUGCAAUCGACUACUUCACAAGAUAGGUGGAAGCAGCUUCUUACAAGUUGGUGACCAAGAAAGUUGUAGCUGAUUAUGUUUGCAAUAAUAUGAUAUGCAUGUUUGGAGUACCAAAAUCAAUCAUUACUGAUAAUGGUGCACAUCUCAACAGUCACUUGAUGAGGGAUAUAUGUGAGCAAUUAAAGAUUACUCACCGAAACUCAAUCGUUUAUCCUCUUCAAAUGAAUGGAGUCAUAGAAGCCGCCAAUAAGAAUAUCCUGAGGAGAAUGACUGACAAUAAAUGAGGUUGGCAUGAGAUAUUAUCGUAUGCUUUGUUGGGUUAUUGGAUGACCGUCAGAACAUCGAUUGGAGCUACUCGAUACUUGCUAGUAUAUGCAACCGAAGAAGUCAUACUUGUUGAAGUUGAGAGACCUUCUUUCAGAAUCAUACAAGAAGAUAGUAAUGUUGAGUGGGUCUGCAAGCGGAUUGAUCAGCUAACCUUGAUUGAUGAAAAGAGAAUUGUUGCCAUUUGUCAUGGUCAACUCUAUUGAUGGAAAUUAUUCAUGCUUUCCAUAAGAGAGUUAGAGCCAGAAUUUUUAAAAUCGGUUAGUUGGUCUUUAAGCGCAUUUUUCCUCAUCAAGACGAGUACAAAGGAAAAUUUGCACCAAAUUGUCAAGGACCAUCCAUGGUUUGCAAGGUACUAUCUGGAGGUUCUUUUGUCGUGUCGUAGAUAAAUGGCAUCGCAUGGCCAAAACCGAUCAACUCAGUUGUUUUCAAGAGAUACUACGUGUGAAGCUCCAGUUUGUUUUUCUGUUAUUUCCUUGUAAUCGUCCUAUUUGCAUGUAAUUUCUUUGUUUAAAAUUUUAUCCCUUUUCUAAAUGAACUACGUCUGCUUGAAUUCUCAAGAAUGAGAUACAUAGGCGGCCUAUGUCAGCCUUGGUUGGUUUUGUUUGAAAGUUCCUUAUUCUUAUUAGCCUUUGAGGGGGGGGGGGGACUAUGAUUAACCUGAUUCCUGCCUCAACGGGAUUCGUAGGCGUCACAAGGGCUCAGUGAUAUCUCCCGUAAGUUUUUUAUUCCUCUACAUAUAAAAACAGGGAGAUAAUUGUUAAGAGUACUCAAAAGUUCUCCGAAGAAGAGUUUUGCUCAGAAAAUAACGACUGAAGAUACUUUAUGAUGUGCAACAAGGACAAAAUUUUUGAGAGGAUCUCCAAAAUUCCGUGACACACUCAGCGACAGUUGAAGAUGUGUCGAGACAUGUAACUAGGAUAGAAAUUUUGAGGAUUGCCUCAAAAUUUCAACAUGGAUUUAUCGAUAGUCUAGAGUGACUUUAAAUACUCCCCAUCGAAUAAUCUGAUAUACGUCCAAGCAUCAGACUCAAAGAAGUUCACUAAGCCUAACAUGACAUAACACUUGUCAAUGACCCUUUUCAAAAUACUACAUCUGGAAAAUUUAUUUUUCCUAAAAUGUUUCCCUUACGAUUCAUUUUUUUGGCAUGAAAUAUUUUUUCUUAUCAAUCAAGGGUGGGGAGUUAAUAAAAUUUAUCGGAGAUAGUAGACCAGGAGAAGACAAAUGAACAAAUUGACAUAGGUCCCUUUAUUUAUAAACUAACAAUUUUUUAUGUAGAUGCAUGUUUAUAGUUUUGCUUUGAAAUCAACAAAUUUCUCCGAUCAAUGAAUAUGAAAAGUCAAGGGAGGAUAAAGUUCUCCCAAAAUUAACUGUUAUCAUGUCGAUGCAGGAAUUAUUUUAUAUUUGGACUCUUUCAAGCCUUUAACCUUAAUUAAAAAAAACCAAUCUAGCCUCUAACUAUUUACAGGAAUUCAAAAUAUGAUUUUAUACUUUUAAGAAAAGCAAAUAGGUUCUAUACAGGUAUAUAACUAUUUGUAAAACAUUCGUCAAGGAUUACAAACUAGCCAGAUCAUUUUCUCUUAGAAUGUUCCUUAAUAGUCAAAAAGAUAAACUUAAAACUGAUGUUAGAAUUCACAAAAAAACUGGCAUAGAAAGAACAAUAAUAUAAAUCAAAUUGAGAAAAACAAAAGGGGUAGGAAAAAAUUGGGUAAAUAAUUUGUUGUUGAUUUACCUAUAAUCAUGGUUGAAUUGGAGGGGAGUCCAGGAAGGCAGGAAGGACGAAUUGACACUAUUAGAAAUUUUUAUUGUACUAUGAAUGAAGCCUAGAAAAUGAAUUUUGAGGAAGAUUUGUGGAAUUUUGUUCCUUUUCUUAAGACUACUUUGUGAAAUGAGUUUCUUGCUUCACACAUAGUACUCUUUCUAUGUACAUUUAUACUUCUGCCAAUGACGGGAUACAUAUAGUCGGAUCUUGCAUACAUUUUACGCUCUUAUUUUUUAUUAGAUAAAUAGAUAUUAAAUUCUUUUUUGACCUUUGACUAGAUGUAUUCUUGUAUUGUUAUUUUUAUACGACAAAUGAUUUGUGUACAUUCUACACUUUUAUGUUUGACUAAAAAUAUGCACGUUAAACCCUUCUUUGACUUUUCACUAAAUAUAUUAAUAUAAUUAAUGGUAAUUUUCCAUUCAAGUAUCCAAAGGCUAAGAUAUAUUGUUGUUACAAUAUAAUUAAUGGUGAUUUUCCAUUCAAUACCAAAAAGUUCUUAUCAUUUUAUAAAUGGAAAUUUGCCAUUCAAUACCAAAAAGCUCUUUUCAUUUUAUUAAUGGUAUUUUUUUCAUUCAACACCAAAAAGCCCUUUUCAUUUCCAUAAUUAUUUUGUGUAAAAAAUAUUUUUUCAAGUGAGUAAAAUUUAUGACCUUUCUCUGUACAUGACUAUUUUGAAACUUUUCACUAUAAUCGAGGUCAAACAUCAAAUAAGUUUGUAAUUGUCUUUUAUAACACCUUAAGAACCGUUUCCUAUUGUUUUGCCUCUAUUCUCUUAAUAUUCAAUAGCGCUACCUUAUAAAUGAAUUGCUAAACAUAAACAAGACAACACCUGUAACAAUCGGAAUGUAGUAUAAAUCAAGAUCUUAUCUUUGAACUUCUCCAUAAAUAAAAUAGCCCACAAAAACUAAAAUACCCCUACAUAACAAAACUACAAUAAUCAGACUCAACUGUAACAAUCUUGUUUGUUUCAACACUUUUUUUAAUUUUAUAAUGAUGGGUUGUUUUACACCUGUAACAAUAUUAGACCAGUUAAAUAAUAUAUUUUGACUAUUAUAGAAAAAGUUAUUCAAAAAUAAUUUUUUUUAUUUCUUAAUGUUACAAAUUAUAUUAAAUUAUUUAAAUUCCAAAUAUCAUAUAUAUGUUGCUCUACCAAUUAAAAUUUAACACAAAUUCAAGAAACAUACUAAAUGAACUGAUGUAGAUUUGUUCCCUAAGAGUUGUGUUAAAUCUCUUUGAAAAUUAAGUUCAUUCAAAAUGGAAAACUUUCUCCGUAGAAAAAUUUAAUUAUAAGUGUUGAUACAUAAAUUUUAAAUAAUAAUGCUAACUUCAUCACACUUUGUAUACAAUGAAAAAUGUUUAUUGACCUCAAUUGAACUAAACUUUCAACUUCAAAAUAUACAUUUUAACAUCUUAAUUUGGUUUAAGUUUACUUCAUUUAACACUCCAUCCUUGAAAAUGCACAUCUAGAAUUCACCCUCUUAAAUGAGUAUCUAGAUGUGCAUUUUAGAAAUCAUUAGUAAAGUACACUUACAUUAAAUUGAAGUAUCUUGAUGAUCAAUGGCGCAACUACAGUAGGAAGAACACCUUUAGUUGGAAAAUUACAUUAUAUAGAGGUCAAAUCUUACUUUAUAUUGGUAUAUAUAAAAUAUCGUAAACACAAGCAAAACAAAUGGAGACCUACAACACAAUGAGAAGGGUAUAUAUAUAUAUAUAUAUAUAUAUAUAUAUAUAUAUAUAUAUAUAUAUAUAUAUAAAUGUAUGUAUAUAUAUAUGUGUGUGUGUGUGUGUGUAUAUUUAUAUGACACUAGCUAUCAGAUUCAAUUCAUUGCUGUAAUUUUUUUAUAUGACUAAAUUUGACGUGAACUAAUUGUGAAGUAGCUUGGUGACAAUAGAAUGUAAAAGUAUACAGGGGAUGUAAGAUUGAAUCUAGAGUUACUUUUUUUUAGUUUUAUUAUUCAAUAUUUGACAUCCUUCAUGACAUUUCUUAUUAUGUCACUAUAAAUGUCUAGACACAUCUAUUAUUAUUUAAGAUUAAAUCUACCAUUUCCUUAUGGUUAUGCAUGUUAAUCAAAAAAGGAAACUUAUAGUAGAAAUUGUCAGUUGGCUUAUGAAAACAACAUCAUAAAAAAGAAACAGAUCAAUCAGAAAAUUAAUUGAUUUUUUUUAAAAAAAAAAAACUUAUAAAAACGGAUUCAAGGAUAAAAUCAUAUAUAUUUGAAAAUAACAUAAUAAACGUACUUUUAUUUCAACAUUACAUAUGAUUAAUUCAUAAAUUAAAGUCGGUGUACAUUUAGUAUAUUUUUUUUAUGAAAAAUCACACACUGUUUAAAUAUACAUGCGAAAUACUAAAUACAAAGCUAUUGAUGGUAUUUUCGCCCUUUAUUUGUUCCCUUAUAUAAAAAAAGUAAAUACAUGUCAUAAGAUUAACUUUUAAAAAUGUUGGGUUUAUGAUUUAAAAUUAAAGGUGUUCAACAUAGAAUUAACACACUUAAUAUAUGAUUUUAUUAUUCACCUUGUACCAUAAAAACAAUCUAGUAGUUUUGAUUUUUUAAAGCUAUAAAGUAGCUAAAGACAUGCCAUUCAUAAUGAAAUUUGUAGCUAAAGACAUGUCAUUAACAAACACUAUAUAUACUUUUAGAAAAUACAUCAAGUGACACUUAAAUUUAAACGAAUUUUCAAUAAGAUAUCUUAACUAUGCGGGCGUUCUACUCAGGGGCGGAGCUACAACCUUUGAAAGGUGGUAAGCUGUCCACCAUUCGCCAGAAAAUGAAAUCCUAUGAAUAGGAAAUAUACUCUGUGUUAUUUUUUUAUAGAAAUAAAUGCACACAUUAAAUAUCAGUGGAGGUUGAUAGUCCGGUGGUAAGUAUGUUCAAUUAAGUGCCAAAUAUCUAUUGUUUAUUCUUUGUGGGCAAUUGUACAACAACCAUUUUUAAGUUUGAAGAAAAAAUGGGAAAUGAAUAUGUAAUUUUAUUUCAAACCCACUUAAUAGUAAUAAAUAUAUUGCACACCCUGUUGCUAAAAAAAAUUACUCUUCGAAUUUUGAAGACCCUUGAAAAUUUUUUUAACGCCGCAAGUGGUUCUACUACCCUGCUAAACUACAAUCUUUAACUGAUAUUAUGACAUCAUCUUUUAUCCAUUUGACAUAACGAGAGUGUGGACUCUCUUAAAGAAUAUGAGCAACAUAAUAUAACUUACAUAAAAUAAUUUUGCGGGUCAAAAAAAUGUUACUUCACCAUAAUUCAUUUCUAUAUUUUAAAAAUUAUGAUAUGUUGUGGCCAUAUUAAGUUUUCAAAACUUACAAAUUCAUAAUUUUUUAUUCAAAAUCUAAAGUGUGAAUUCACAUUAAAAAUUUGAAUAUGACGAUAAAAAUUGAGAUACAAGGAAUAAUAUUUAUCGUUACGGACAUGAAUGAUGCAUAACUUAUGCAGCAAUGUAACAUUUGCAUACACCGAGGCCAUCAGUAGAUAUAGGAUAGUCACCGCUAAAAAUUAACAAAUUUUUCCCUGAAAAUUUGAAAAAGGUCAAAAAUAUUUCUGAACCAUGCGAAAUCAAUUACUUCUUUCUUCCGUUAUAUUUUAGGAUUAAAAAUACCCCGUCAUGAUUAAAAUAGAUCACAAAUACCUGUCAAGAGUUAACACCCAAAACAUUUAAUGAUGUGUCAAGCCAUAUGGACUUGUCCCUUGUCAGGACCGGGGUCUAGACUCCAGACGAGACCAGUGUCAUUGAUCUCUCAGAGAUCGCAGACAAGCCUAUAUAUGUCUUCGUUACAUCAUCUAGGUUAAUUUUAGCGGAAAACUUGAACUUUUGUUUACUUUAAUUUUAUAUUGGAAAACAUUGAUCUCACGUAAUACUAUCUAGGUAAACUAAUAAGCAUUCACAACAACUAUCUAACUCAAGAUAAUCACAUCAAACAUAUAGUCAUAAAUAUAGAGUUUCCAAAAUGGCACCAAUACAACGUGUGAAAGUAAAUACAAAAGAAAUGCUAGUGGAACAUACUCCACUAGCUCAUGCCUAGUCUACUACAUCCGUGUAACUUCUGCGUCGACUUGUAAGCUCUAACGUCUAGCUGCACCUACACCUAAAAGUACAUAAAUAUAUGGAAUUAGUACAUAGUUAUACUAAGUAUGGGUAUAUGCAAGCACACACAACGGACCUGAAUGAUUUAGAAUAUCUCUCUCCUAACAAUAUGAGUUAUUGAAAGUCAAGUCAAUGGACUUGCCAAAAUCGUACUAGGAAUGCCAUGCUGUGAUAGUAACAUGCAUCAUCAUACGUAUCAUAUUGCACAGAACACAUAAUAUAUAGAAUAUUGCACAUAACAUAUUGCAUAUAGCACAUAUCAUAUUUCAUUUAAUUCAUUCAUAUGUCAUGAUACCUUGGAACCACGGACUUAACAUUCAGACUUCACAAAAUGAGGGCUCAACAUAUGAGCCUUAAAUAGGGAGCCUUCUUUAGCAAACAUAGACUCCACUUCUUUGAUUCAUACGUUUGUUGACCGGUGUGGACACAAGCUAUACCUGGAAUGAUUUUUAAAACUCUCAUCAAGUUCAGUGUGCAAUGACAAAGAAUGACCUAGUGUCAUUACUUGAGUCUAAUUCACCUCUUUAUUAUCCUAUCAAAACACCUUGGUAUCAUUCAUUUCAUCAUCUUUCAUACUUUGAGGAACUUCAAUUUUAAUCGACAUAGGAGGCGGAGUAAAUGGACAAGGUUAAACCAAGAACAUACUUAGUUUGCUUAGGUGGAAAGUACAGGCUAGUUCCUAUGUUGUCAGCAUAGUUUAAAGACAAGGAGAUUUAGGGAGACCCAUACCUGUCUGAACGGACAGUCUCAUCUCAUGAGAACUACACGAACCUCUGCCUUCCUGAAAGAAGGAAUUGCAACUCAUAUAUAUCCUAUCGGUGCUCAGUAUAAAGUUCUAUUAUAUUCUUCUCAUACAUUGUACAAGUUGGCUUCUAGUAUGAGGGUAUAAUAGCUCAUUAGAUGGUUUUUCAUCUCAACAUUUCUUAGAAAGUUUGAAUUGUCCUUACACUUACAUGUAGAGUGUGAUUGACACUUGUAUCGUAAUAUUAAACACUCCUUUAGUUGAGUAAUUUUUGUGACCUUAUAUAUGCGUAGGUAGAGCUUGUCUCACAUGCACUAGCCUCAUAUUAUGGUGUAACUCUGUUAUUUAUUAACAUCUUUUUGUUCAUCUUCACUCACCUUUAAUUAUUUGUUCAUUGUAUAACAUAGAUAUGCUUUCUUGGAGUUUACAUUGAGGGAAAUUGAUUCUACGCGUAGAUACAGCUUGUCUCACUUGUACUAGCCGAUCCUCAUGUAGUCACUCUUUCUUUGCUUAUUCAUCGUUUAGUAUAAGUAUACUCUCUUAGAAAUUUCAUUUAGUCAACUGAUUUUAAGGCAUAGAUCCAGCUUGUCUUAAAAAUUUUGGCCUGGGGAACCCAAGAUCGAAUCCCCACGCCCACAUCCAUUUCUUUUUCUGUCGUUACUUGAUUCCAUGGGUUAAACUAAGAGGGUGUCGGAUCGAACCCCCAAAGCCCCAUUUUAGUUUUCUCCUUAAUUCUGUUCAUUCAGCCGAGAGAUUGUGGGUUCGAUUCCCACAUACCUCAUUUUAUUAUUUCUUUAUUUAAUUUUUCUCCUCUCUCCUUCACCCAUAAAAGAGGUUGUGGGUUCGAACUCGACACGCCUCACAUCAUUUUCUUUCAUUUUUCUCCUAACUUUUCAAUUGAGAUAUACCCCUUUUCGAAUCCCCCUCACCUUUUUUAUUAUUUAAUUAUUUUAUUACUUGUAUAUGGUGAGGUUUUGGGUUCAAUCCCCACUGACCUCAUGCAAUUUUAAAAAAAAAUUAAAACUAAAAUUUUUAACAGUAAGCUGCCGAAACAAAUUUCUAGAAUUCUUGAAAUUUGUUCACCUUUUUUGCAGUCCAUUUUCUCAACUUUUAAAUGUUAGAUUUAAGAAAAUAUUCUUGUAUCAUCUAGUACAUAUUUAGGUGAAUUUUCAUGGUUACUUUCGGUAAUUUGAUCACCUUUUUGCAGUCCAUUUUCUCACCCUCUUUCACGUUAAACAUCAAGACAUUUCGAGUAGUUUUUAGGGAGAUCUUUCGGUGCAUUUUUAAGGUUACUUUCAGUCAAGAAUUGUCAUUCAAUUCAGCAACUUUGAAUUCAUCUGAACGUCACAUUUUUGACAUAUUAAUACAUGUAAAAUGCAACAAUUUAACAUGUCAAAUUUCAUGCUUCAAGUCGAGACAAAAAUCUCAGUACAUACAUGCAACCACAAGUCAACAUAUCACACAUUUUCGGAAACACUUCUUUCAUUUCAACAUAAUUCCGCAUACGCAUUCAAACACAUAAUCACAAGUAGCCCUAAAAUAAUCUAGAAAAUUUAUACACAAGCAUACUUGAAUCUUUCAAAAGAUCUAAUGACAAGGGCAUGCAACGGGGACAACCUUAGUUUUUUAUUGUGAAUAGUCUGAACCUUAGGGGUCUCUUGGGAAAGGGACCAAGAGGGAAUAAUACCCAUACCUGAAGUUGUUAAAAGAUGUUCUUAUGUGCUGCAAAAAUCCCCAGUUGGCCAAUGUCUCACAACCCAAAUCACAAGCACAAUCCGUCGAGAACAUAAUUUUUCUGUUUGUUUAUAAACUUAUUUCACUUUUGAUUUUGAGGGAUAAAGUUCUUGAAUGUGGAUGAACUAUGUUAUAUUUUUGUUCUGUUCUUUUGUUUUACAGAAAGUUGAGCGUGUAAAUAAGGUAAGAGUAGAGAGAGACGUAAGAAUGCAUUAGCUUAGGAUUAGGAGAUUAGGUGGAGACUUAGUCAAAUUAGGAUUUCUCUUAAUUUUUUAAAAAUCUUAUUUUUCCAAAGGUUAAUCGAAAUGACCACUAAGACCCUACAAAAUCAGAUUAUAAUCAUCAAUUUAAUGCACUUAAAUGUUGCUUCCACCAAGGCACGAACUUAGGUGAAGCCUAAGAUACGAAAAAGGAUCAAUUUCGGCCAACCCUACCCCAAUUUCCCAUCCUCUUUAAAUUAAUUAUUUAAUAAAAUAAUUAAUUAGGGUAAUUACAAUACUAACCCUAUCUUUGAAAAGACUAUUUUACACCUAGACCCUCUAAAUCUAAGAUUACCCCUUUUAAGUCCGAUAAAACUCAUCCGAGUAAAUCUCUUCAAUUCGGGUGCCCUUCAUGAUUGGUUCUGACCUUGCCUAGCUCAACUAGCUCAUCAAGUUUGUUGUCUGGGCUAGUGCAUAGGUUCUGAGUUCUGGUUCUACGCACAACAACUUGUGUAAACCUGUCUGAUCCAUGCAUUCUAGGUACGUUUAAGACUAGUAAUUAGUGGAGGAACAUUAAAAGACUAGUAAUUGUUCUUUUUAGGCAUUAUACAUAAUAAAUGUGCCCUUUCACUUGGGGUCAAAUCACAUUUAUGCUCUUCAACUUUGGAUUUGAACAAAUACACACUUAAACUUAUAUAAAGUUGAACAAAUAGACACAUCUUUCCUAAACGUUUUUUUAUCCUACGUGGUGUCCUACAUGUAUUGUGCCAUGUAGUACUCAUUAUUUAUUUAUUUAAAAGUUAGAUAGUUAAUGUGUUUGUUUGUGCAUUAAUAAAGUUGGAGAUCAAAGUUAGAAUUUGAAGCCAAGUAUAGGGUCAAAUAUAUGUAUUAUGCCUUCUUUUUAUAUUACUAUUUUCAUUAAUUUUUUAGUUGUUAUAGUUUUCUUUUAGGCAUAAUACAUAAAUGUUCCCUUCAACUUUGAAUGUGCACAAAGAGAAAUUUAAACUUGUAUAAAGUUGAACAAAUAGACACACAUGCCCUACAUGUCAUUUUUUAUCCUACUUGGUGUCCUACAUAUAUUGUGCCAUGUAGGACUCAUGUGUUUAUUUAUUUAAAAGUUGGAUAGUUAAAGUGUCUGUUUGUGCAUUAUGAAAGUUGAAUGUAAAAGUUAAAAUCUGAAUCCAAGUUUAGGGUCCAAUAUAUGUAUGAUAACUUUCUUCUACUAUAUCCGUUCACUUUUAAUUGUCAUGAUUUAUCUUUUUAAGGUCAAACAAUAGAAAUUUUGACUAUAUUUUAAGUCUAUUUUUUCAUUAAAUUGGUAUGCAAAAAAAUUGCAAUUUAUAGUACUUUUCUCGUAGUCUUUUAACAUUUAAAUUAUGUUUAAAAUAUCAAAUUAUUGUGAUCUAAUUUAUCUUUGAAAUUAGUUUAAUUGACCCUCGAAAAGCGCAACAUGACAAAUAAAAAUAGACAGAGGGAGUAAUAACUUUGAGUAAGAUUUUAUGAUGUCCUUUUUCAUAAUAUUAUGCAAGAAAUAAUAAUAUAUAUUAUUUUCGUAUAGCUUUGACAUUUAUUAUUUAAAAUAACAAAUUAAUAUACUCUAAUAUAACUUUAAAAUUAGUAAGAUUUACUUUUGAAAAAUAUAACAUGACAAUUAAAAGUGGGCCGCAUAAUUAUAUUUUUAGGAGAGAAAUGAGUAAAAAUAAAAUGGCCAAUAAUAUAUUUUUUUGCAGGGAAAGUUAUUAAAUAAUUUGUAUAGAUAUCCUUUUUAUCUCUUAAAAUUUCAAUUUUAAAGUCAGAAAAUUUAAAUGAAAAAUCAAUUAAUUAGGUUUGACAACAAAGUAUGUAAAAUUUUUAUAAUUGGUUGACUUUGAGGUUAUGAGAAAGAGUUGAGUGACUUUCUAAGAAAAAACUCUUAGUUGAGGGAUCAUGUGAGAUAUUAUCUUCUUAAUGUUCAUAUGUAUAUUUUUCAUUUUCUCUUUACUAAAUUUAGAGGUAAUUUUGGAGACCUCCUCAAGAUAUGAUUCAGUUACAGUGGACCUCCAUGGGCGAAGAUACCCCAGGGGCAAGAGUGUUAAGCUACACCCCUUAGCUAAAAAAUUACAUUGUAUAUAUUUCUUUGGCUUGACGUAUUACAAAUAAAGAGAAAACAAUGACAAAAGGAGAAAUGGAAAAGAAAACUUAUUCACACUCAUAUAACUGAUUGAAGCGACAUAAGUAGAAAUAUAAGAAUGCUAUAACUAUACAUAAGAACUUAGUUACCGUUUGUCCAUGCGAUAUGGUAUCAUGAUAUGGAACUUUUAAAUUGAAUCAUGAUAUUAGAUUGAAGUUUUGUUUGUGUUGGUGUGUCAUUUUAACAUUAAUAAAAAUAUAUAUUAUUUGUCAAAUUAUAUAUCAUGUUAUGUCUAUUGAUGGACAUUAAAUUUGAGCCUAUUUUCUCUCAUCAAUUGUGGAAGAAAAUGAUCUUUAUUUUCUAGUAAUUUAUGUAACCACCAACUCUUCAUUUCAUCCAUUAUAUUAUAUUUAUGUCUAGUAACUUAUGUAAAAUUUGAGCCAUUCAUUUGGCAAAUUUACUAUCCACUAUAUCUUAUUCAUUACAAGGAAGAAUUAAUCACCUGUAAAUUAUGUAGUCUUCAUUUGUGUUGAGAUACAAGAAGAAACAAGAGAAGUACAAGAAAAUAUAGAGUGAAAAAGAAGAGUAAUAUUAUAUUCAGGUUUAUGUAGAGAAAGAGAGUGUUGAGAGAUAAAAAAUGUUCUAAGUCUUCAACUAUAUUCAGUAUACAAAAGAGAGUAUUAUAUGUUGAAGGAAGGUGUUCCUUUGUGGAGCUUUGGACUCUUCAACAAAUCUAGAGUUGUUUGGGUUAUACAUUGUUGUGGGGUUGUUGAAUCCUGGAGGGGAAAAGUUAAGAGUUAUACUGUUGGACUAGUGUGAUUAUGCCGCAGUAGGCUUGAAUCUCCUUAAAGAGAGCUAGCUAUCUGUAUCUCAUCCGAAAGAUUUGUUUAUACAUUUUUGGUCAUUUUUAUUCAACUUUAAUUUAUUGCAUUUUUGGUAUAUUACACCAACAAUUUUAAGGAGAUUCAUAUUUUUCUACAGUUUGAAAAAAUGUGAAUAUCAAAAUAGGGAUCUCAACAUCAUUCCGCACAAACGUCGCUCUCUUAAUGAGAUGGAAGAGAAGACAUGUACAGUAAGUAUUUUUCUACUUGCUCAAAAGUGGAGAAAAGGUAAAGAAAAAAGAUUUACCUAGUAUUUUCAAGAAUAAAGUAAAUCUGCUUUUCAUGAAAAAAAUGAUGUUUGAAUUCUUGAAAUAGUGGGGAUUCAUGAAAUAAAAAUAAAUUAUUGUGAAAUUUUGAUUUUUGCAUCUUUUAUAAAAUGCUCUAAGAGAGUGUUACAAGUGCAUAUCUAUUAAUUGUGGAAUAAAUAAGUAUAAUGUGAUGAUUUUUAGAUCUAAUAUGAGACUUCUAAAUAAUUAUGAAAACCAUUUUGAGUAGUCAUGUUCAUAUGGUUAGAUAAAUUUCUUUCUUGAAAUGAAAAAAUUAAAACCAUAAAGCAUGUGAUGAAAUUUUCCUUGUCGAGUCACAUAGUAUGGAAAUAAUUAUGAUAUCAAAUUUUGUUGGUUGUGUGAGUCUUGCAACUCCUUUUGAUUAAAUUGUGUAAGAAAGUUCUGACAAAUAAAAACAAAUGGAGUUUGCUAGUCUAAUAAAAAUAUGAGUUGUAACUAACUUGACUUGAUAAUAUGUUUGCAUUACAAGUACUUUGAAUGUACAAGCAAACUAGAUGAGAAAAAAAAAUUCGUGUUAUUUAGUGGGAUUAUAAAAGCAAAUUCAUUUUGCUAUCUCUAUUAUGAAGGUUGAAGUAAAAACAAUAAAUAAAUUAAACUUCAACUAGUGAAAAAGUGAAUUGAAACACUUUAUUUUGAAAAAAUAUUUUUUCUAAUUUUGAUCAAAUGUGAAAGCACCAAUAUAGUGGUUGAAUACAAAAUCUUUAUUAUAAUGGUAAAUUUAGAUUCAUGAGGAGAAAAACACAAUAUUGCAUGAUCAUAUUCAUCGUUGGUAUACCAUCAAUGUUGAUUGUGUUAAAACUUGUGAUAAUCUUGCAGAUUCAUGAACCAAGUCCUUAGCAAGAUAAAGUGUCUGAAGCACAUUGAGGGGGAUAAAAAUUGAAGCUCAUAAAUUAUGAGUCAUAUAUGAGGAAACCCAACUUGGGUACUAGAGAUUCUAUAAUCAGGUUCAAUGAGAAGAACAAAUCAUAUGAUGACUUGUUUUGAGAUGCACUACUAUUAGUUUUAUUCAAUCCCUCAGAUGUGAGUGCAUUUAUGCUAUAAUUAUUUGUGGAGGUUAAGCAUUUAAACUCUUAAUGAAAGUUUGUAUCUCAUAUGUGUGGGGUGUCAAAUUAUAGGAGCACCCUUGAAAGAUUUCACUUAUGUGAAUCUGAAAGUAGGUCGCUUUCUAUAAGAAUGGGCUUGUUUUAAAAAUCACUCAUGAAACCGGAAUAGCACAAGGUCGUAAGUUGCUGGAUAUUAAAGACUAUGUCAACACCUUGAUUAUUGUGUGUAAGAAGUGUUGGGAUUUAGAAAGUGUGAAUGGGAAACGAAAAGACAGAAUAUGAAAAGUGAGGGAACUAGUUUGGAGGAAAAUGAAAAGUCAUUUGCAAAGUGGAAAUGAAAAGUCAUUUCUCCUAUAUUGGCAAAAGAAAGGGAAAUUGUUAUCCUUAUAGAAGGAAACACUUCCAUUACUUCUUAAUGAGCUAUGAAGAAGAUGCCCACUCGCGCCGUCGUCAUCGCCGCUCGCUCGGCCUCAACUUCGGCUUUGGCUUCGGAUUUUGAUUUGGAUUUGGCAAAUGAUAUGAUUGAUUGAUAAAUUUAUUUAAUCAGUUUUUGUUAAAUCAAAUCAAUCCUGUUAAAAUUAUCUCUUAUAAAUAUGCAGGUAACAGUAACAUUCCGAAAAGUUGUUAUAUUUCUGAAAAGUCGUUACUUCCCAAAAGACACCACUUUCUAGAUAAAAUGGGUCUGAACAGACAUGUUCCUUGCUGAAAAUGGCUAUAAAAGGAAGUCAAUUUUUGAUUUUUUCAAACACUGAAAAUAUUUCUUUCGCUGCAUUGAUUUUUCUCUCAAAUAAAAUCAAAGUGUCGAUCGACUGUUUCUCUGUUACAUGUUGUUGUUCUAAAGUUCUUUGAAGUUAAAGAAGUUUGAGGUACUUCUAUAUCUUUAACAGGUUUAAUCCAUUUUAUCUUGGCGAAAUUAAUCCAUAACCUUGGGUACAGUGAGGGGAUUAAAUUUCUUAAGGACACACAAGAGUUUCUGUGGACUCAGAUUAGUUCUUGUAUAUUAUAUUUUUUCUGCUUCAACUUAUUUCUGUUUUUGUUUAUUACCUUAUAAAUACAGGCUAUUGUAAGAAUAACAUUCUUAAGAAAUUUAACAGUUUCUAUAUUUGAGGUUUCUGGAGGUUAAAACCCCUUAUGGUUCUCUACUCAGCUUGAAAUUUUCUUUUAAAAAUCAUUCGAUUAACAAUUAAAAAAACAUAAAAACUUUAUCGUUAAAUCAGAAACAGUUUGUGUAAAUAUUUGUUUUUUACUGUUAGUAUUUUAAAUACUUAACUUAUCUACCAUUUGUGAUAGGAAAAAAAAAUUACUAAUUCAAGUCGAACAAAUGCUGGAACAGUAAGUGCUGCAACAACAACGGUUGCACAUAAUCGUUCAAAUGCUGCCUUAACGCCGACUGAGAAACCCACAAAGUUUUCUAGAGUCGACUUUAAGAGAUGGCAGCAAAAGAUGUUCUUCUAUCUCACUACGUUGAAUCUGCAGAAGUUCAUUAAUGAGAAUAUUCCUGUUAUGUCAGAUGAAACUCCGGCUGAUGAACAAUUCUUGGUAACAGAAGCAUGGACACACUCGGAUUUUUAGUGUCAAAAUAAUAUUUUGAGUGGUCUGCAAGAUGAUAUGUACAAUGUGUACGGCAAUGCAAAAACCUCAAAAGAACUGUGAGAUGCUUUAGAAAAGAAGUACAAAGCAGAAGAUGGCAGAAUGAAGAAAUUCAUUGUGGCAAUGUUUCUGGACUAUAAGAUGAUAGACAGUAAGACUGUCGUCACCCAAGAUCAAGAAUAGCAUGUCAUAAUCCAUGAUCUCCUUGCUGAAGGUAUAAAUUUAUGUAAUACCUAUGUUAGAAAUAUUAAAUUUUUCCUUAAUACUCACAUAAUCUUUAAUGUAGGAUUGAUUGUGAAUGAUGCUUUUGAACUGACUGCAAUUAUUGAGAAGUUACCUCUAUUGUCGAAGGACUUUAAAAACUACUUGAAACACAAACGCAAGGAAAUGACUGUUGAAGAUUUCAUAGUAAGGUUGAGAAUCGAAGAGGAUAAUAAGGCUGCAGAAAAGAGGUCACGUGGUAUUUCAGCAAUAUCUGGAGUAACUUUUGUUGAAGAAGAUAUCUCAAAAUUAAAGAAAAGAAAGAAAGCAUCUGGUCCAAAAGAAAUCCUCCUAAGAACAAAAUUAAUGGAAACUACUUUUAUUGUGGUAAACAUGGUCAUAGGGCUAAUGAAUGUAGGGGUCCUAAGAAGGACAAGACAAAAGAAGGAUCAAGCAAACAUGGCUGAAUCCAAAGGAGAAAUGGACGAUCUAUAUGCAAUGCUUUCAGAAUGUAACUUGGUUAAAAAUUCAAGAGAAUGGUGGAUAGAUUCUGGUGCCUCAUUCCAUGUUUGUGCCAACAAAGAAUUAUUUUCAUCAUAUACUCCAGCACUUACAGAUGAAAAAUUGUUUAUGGCAAACUCCGCUGUUGCAAAGGUGGAAGGAACUGACAAAGUUCUAUUAAAGAUGACAUCAGGCAAGGUGGUAACUUUGAAUAGGGUCUCAUAUGUUCCAGAAUUUAGAAAGGAUUUAGUUUCAAUUCCAGUUCUGACCAAGAAUGGAUUUGAAUGUGUAUUUGCUUCUGAUAAAGUAGUACUAAGCAAAAAUGAUAUGUAUGUAGGAAAAGGCUACCUUAGUGAUGGCUUUUUCAAACUCAAUGUAAUUGCAGUUGAUAUGAAUAAAGAUUUUGCUUAUUCUUACUUGCUUGAGUCUAAAUUUUUAUGGCAUGAACGUUUAGGACACGUUAAUAACAAAACCUUGCGAAAAUUGAUCAACAUAAAUAUUUUGCAAAAAUUUGACUGCAAUAAAUCAAAAUGUCAAAUUUGUGUUGAAUCUAAGUAUGCUAAGCAUUCUUAUAAAUCUGUUGAAAGGAAUUCAAAUCCUUUAGAAUUGAUUCACACUGAUACUUGUGACAUGAAGUCAACACCAACACGUGGUGGGAAAAAGUAUUUCAUAACUUUUAUUGACGAUUGCACUAGAUAUUGUUAUGUCUAUUUGCUAAAUAGUAAGGAUGAAGCAAUAGAUGCAUUUAGGAAAUAUAAAACUGAAGUCGAAAAUCAGUUAGAUAAAAAGAUCAAAAUGAUCAGAAGUGAUAGAGGUGGAGAAUAUGAAUCUCCAUUUGCAGAAAUAUUUUUAGAAAAUGGAAUAAUCUAAAAAAACUACUGCUCCCUACACUCCUAAGUCUAAUGGAAUUGCAGAAAGAAAAAAUCGAACUUUAAAAGAAAUGAUGAAUGCAUUACUUAUAAGUUCAGGUUUACCACAAGAACUUGUGGGUGGAAGCUAUCCUUACAGCAAGUCAAAUACUUAACUGAGUGCCUCACUCAAAGACAAAUGUAAUUCCCUAUGAGAAAUGGAAAAUUAGAAAACACAAUUUGAAAUAUUUCAACGUGUGGGGGGUGUCUAGACAAUGUCGAAGUUCCUAUACCAAAGAGUGUAAAAAUUGGACCUAAGACUGUGGAUUGUGUAUUCAUUUGAUAUGCCACAAAUAGUACGUCAUGUCGAUUUUUAGUUCAUAAGUCCGAAUAUCCGGAUAUUAAUGAUAAUACGGUAAUGGAAUCAGAUAGUACUGAAUUUUUUGAACAUAUCUAUCCGUAUAAAACUAGACUUGAGUCAUCUAGUGGGGGAUCUAAACAACCCAGAGAAGAACAAAAAGAGAAUGAACAAAAUGAAGAAAGUCCAAGACGUAGUAAACAUCAAAAGACAUCUACUUCAUUUGGACCAGAUUUUGUAAUAUUUCUUCUUGAAAGUGAGCCUCAAACAUUCAAGGAAGCAAUGUUGUCUAGCGACCUAACCUCUUGGAAGGAGGCUGUUUAUAGUGAAAUUGAAUCAAUCUUAAGCAAUUAUACUUGGGAGUUUGUUGAUCUUCCUCCAGGGAACAAACCCUUGUGUUCAAAAUGGAUCUUUAAAAGGAAGAUGAAAGACGAUGAAACUAUUGACAAAUAUAAAGCAAUACUUGUUGUCAAAGGUUAUAGACAAAAAUAAGGUCUUGAUUAUUUUGACACAUACUCGCUAGUGACUAGGAUUACAUCAAUUCAGAUGUUAAUUGCACUAGCUGCAGUAUACAGUCUUGAAAUUCAUCAAAUGGAUGUGAAAAUAGCCUUCUUAAAUGGAGAGCUUGAAGAGGAAAUUUAUGUAGAACAACCUGAGGGUUUUCUAGUUCCUGGUAAAGAAAAGAAAGUAUGCAAACUUAUUAUGUCACUUUAUGGGCUAAAACAAGCACCAAAAUAAUGGCAUGCAAUGUUUGAUCAAACCAUGUUGUCAAAUUGAUUUAAGAUCAAUGAAUGUGAUAAAUAUGUUUACAUUAAAGAUACUCCAAAUCAGGAUGUUAUUUUAUGCGUAUUUGUAGAUGAUAUGCUUAUAAUUAGCAAAGACAUUGCUAAUAUAAAAGCUACAAAGCGUCUGCUUGCUAGUAAGUUUAAUAUGAAUGAUUUAGGAGUUGUUGAUGUGAUAUUAGGAUUUAAAAUUCUUAAAACUCCUAAUUGUAUAGCAUUGUAUCAAAUACAUUAUAUUUAAAAGAUACUUGAAAAAUUCAAAUUUUUGAAUUUGAAAAGGGCAAAGACUCCAAUUGAUGUAAAUCUUCAUCUUGCAAAGAAUAAAGGUGAAAGUCAGUCUCAAUUGGACUAUGCUAGCGUUUUGGGAAGCUUAAUAUAUGUCAUGAAUUGUACACGACCAGACAUAGGUUGCGCUAUCAGUAAACUAAGUCGAUACACAAAUAAUCCUAAUCAUAAUCAUUGGUUGGCAAUGAAGAGAGUUUUGGGAUACUUAGAUGACACUCAAAACUAUGCUUUACAUUACAACAAAUAUCCAGCCGUUUUUUAAGCAUAUAGUGAUGCAAAUUAGAUUACUGGGUCAACUGAAACAAAAUCCACAAGUGGAUACGUUUUUACUAUUGGUGGAGGAGAAAUAUCUUGGAAAUCCUCCAAAGAAACAUGUAUAGCUCGCUCUACAAUGGAGUCUGAAUUCAUUGCUUUAGACAAGGCAGGUGAAGAAGCUGAAUGGCUCCGAAAUUUCUUAGAAGAUAUUCAAUUUUGGCCCAAACCAAUGGCCCCUAUAUGCAUACAUUAUGAUAGUCAAGCUGCAAUAGGAAGCGCUGGAAGCAUUAUGUAUAACGGCAAGUCCCGUCCCAUAAGACGAAGACAUAACUCUGUGAGACAACUACUCUCUAGCUGAAUUAUCACAAUUGACUAUGUGAAGUCAAAAGAUAAUGUGUCGGGAUCCACCUACAAAAGGCCUAAAUAGAGAGGGAGUUGAGAAAUCAUCGACUGGAAUGGGACUAUGGCCGAGAACAAGUCAUCGUGGCGGUAACUCUACCUAGAAGACUGGAGAUCACAAGAUUUAGGUUUAAGGAGAUAAAACAAAGUCAUUGAUGACGGUUCAACAUUGUCAAAGUAAAAGAAAAAAUUAUUAUUAUUUUAUGGUUCAUUCUCAUGAUGAGACAAUGUUUAGUAACAAGAAUAGAGACAUAAGGACUUUUUAAUGGUUUCUAUGUUUGAUACAGGGAAUAUCAAAUGGUGUAUCUAUGGGAUAACGCAUUAAGAAAUCACCUAUAUAAGUGUGAAGUGUAAGCCGCCUCAAGGAGAAUUCGGUAAGGCCAGUUAUUUAAGCACUUACUAUCCAAGAUGUGUUGAUGGCUUAAACGAACAAAACAAUGCAAACUAAGAACAGUUCAAGGGUUGAUUGUGUGACAUAUGUUGUCUAGGUAUACACCACAGCUCGACGAUUCAAAGAUAUCAAAUGUACCGAUUGAUCGAGUAUAUCCGAUAAAUAUUCACUGUGGAAAGUUUAAAGGGAAACCUACUUAUCAAGAUACGAUUAACCUUUACCUACAAGACACACAAGUUUUUUCAUGCAUAUGUUUUAACAAUAUCCUUCCCCAUUCAUGUGGGAGAUUCUUGGGAUUUAGCAAGUGUGAAUGGGAAAAGAAAAGAGAGAAUAUGAAAAGUGAGGGAACUACUUUGGAGGGAAAAUGAAAAGUCAUUUCUCCCAUAUUGGCAAAAGAAAGGGAAAUUGUUAUUCAUAUAGAAGGAAACACUUCCAUUACUUCUUAAAGAGCUAAGAAUAAGAUGCCCCCUCGCGCCAUCAUCGUCAUCGCUAGCUCGGCCUCGGCUUUGGCUUUGGUUUUGGCUUUGGCUUUUGAUUUGGAUUUUGAUUUGGAUUUGGAUUUGGCAAAUUAUGUGAUUGAUUGAUAAAUUUUUUGGACAAAAUUUAUUUAAUCAGUUUUGUUAAAUCAAAUAAAUCCAGUUAAAAUUAUCUCUUAUAAAUUUGCAGGUAACGGUAACAUUUCGAAAAGUCGUUACUUUCCAAAAAGUCGUAAUUUUCCUAACAGACAAAAUUUUCUGAAAAGUUGUUUUUUUUCCAAAAUACACAACUUUCUGGAUAAAAUGGGUCUGAACAGAUUUCACUGAACAGACAUGUUCCUUGCUGAAAAUGGCUAUAAAAGGAAGUCAAUUUUUGAUUUUUUCAAACACAGAAAAUUUUUCAUUCACUACAUUUAUUUUUUUCUCAAGUAAAAUCAAAGUGUCGAUCGACUGAGUCUGUGUGACUUGUUGUUGUUCUAAAGUUCGUUGAAGUUAAAGAAAGUUGAGGUACCGCUAUUUCUUUAAUAGGUUUAAUCCGUUUUAUCUUAAGUGAAAUUAAUCCCUUGGGUACAGUGAGGGAUUAAAUUUCGUAAGGACACACAAUAGUUUCUGUGGACUCGGAUUAGUUCUUGUAUUUAAUAUUUUUUCUGCUUCAUCUCUUUUCUGUUUCUGUUUACAAACCUUAUAAAUACAGGUUAUUGUAAGAAUAACAAGAAGUAAUUCUUUAUUUCCGUUAAGCAGUCAUAGUUCAAGUCUGAGACUACUACUGACUCUGGAGUAAAGGCCAUUGUUUUACUAAGUUAAGGUUCAAUGCAGAGCACACCUUUAUUAUGCAUAAUAUUCUACCUUCAACUAAAUUGUGAAAAACUCUCAUAUUUUAAUAUUAAAAUGAGUAGGGGAUUGUUGGGGUGACAUUUUAAUAUUAAAAAAAAUAUAUAUUAUAUGUCACAUUGAAUAUCAUGUUAUUUCUAUUGAUAGAAAUUACGUUUGUGCCUCUUUUAUCUCAUCAAUUGUUGAAGAAAGUGAUUAUUUGUUUUUAGUAACUUAUGUAACCAUCAACACUUCAUUUCAUCCAUUAUUCAUUAUUUAUGUCUUGUAACUUAUGUAACAUUUGAGUCAUUCAUUUAUUAAAUUUACUAUCCAUUAUCUCUUAUUCAUUUCAAGGAAGAAUUCAUCACCUAUAUAUAGUGUAGUCUUCAUUUGUGUUGAGAUACAAGAAGAAACAAAAGAUCUACAAGAAAAAUAGAGUGAAAAAGAUAAGUAGUAUUAUAUUUAAAUUUAUGUAGUGAAAGAGAGAGUUGAGAUAUAGAAAAUGUUCUAAGUCAACUAUAUUCACUAUACAAUAGAGAGUAUAUGUUAAAGGAAUGUGUUCUUUUGUGGAGCUUUGGACUCUUGAACUAAUCUAGAGUUGUUUGAGUUAUGCAUUUUUGUUGGGUUGUUAUAUCAUGGAGGGGAAAAAUCAAGAGUUAUACUCCUGCACUGAUGUAGAUUAUGUCGCAGUGGGAUUGAAUCUCCUUAAUGAGAGAGAAAUAUCCGUGCCUCAGCCUUAAGAUUUGUUUAUACAUUUUUUUCUUUUUUUUCAUCUAUAAUUUAUUGUAUUUGUGGUACAUUACACCAUAAGUUUGGACAUGCGAUAUGAAAUUUUGGUGUUGUAUAUUUUCUCAUAAACAUAAAAAUCUCAUAAGUUUUGAAACUAUUAAAAUAGCUCCAAUUGUUUAUUCAAUGUUAUCAAAUAAACAACAAAUUAUAAAAUCACAUAUUAAAUUUAUUAUGACCCUUAAAGUGAAAUAGGUUAAACUAGAGCUUCACAUGUGCUUCAUGAGUUAAUAAUGUAUAAAAAUAUUAAAUUUUGGCAUUAGAGGUAAUAAUAUCAGUUUGAUAAGUUUGGAAGUCAAACAUCAAGGGACGACCAAGAUGUUCGAUGACUAGACGUCUUUGUGCUUGUCUGUGUUUUUGUGUGUCUUUGCAUGUUUUAUGUAUUUUUUGGGGUUAUAUUUGAUAGGAGAGGAUCCUAAGACAUAGAUGAUAAUGUUUAGGGUUUGACUUCAGGGUACGACUCCGCAAGGGACACCCUAAGGGUCCUUGAGAAGGACCCAAGACUUGUCAAGAAAGUAUUCAAGCACUGCCCAAAUGACGACCCUAAUCGACGGGUAAGAUUGAAUGACGCCCCGUCGUUUGGGGGCAUAGAUCCACACUCAGUUUUUACUCCUAGAACCUAAGUUAGUCUUCAUUUUUCAAAACCAAAACCUCCCACCCAAGAAAAACACUCUCAAAACCCCACUGAAGGUUGAACUCAAGGUAGAUCUUGGAUUGAAGGUUUUGGGUGAUUUCUUCACCAAAUCUCGUGGGUUUCUUCAUAGAAGGUAGUAUGGUAGUUCAUCGUUGACACUUCUCUCAUUCAAGGAGCCAAUCCAAAGACUUUUCAAAAAGGGUUUCAAAUUUCUAAGUUCUUCUAUUUUGAAAUCUAAGUAUGAAUUCUUGCAUAAAAAUGUUUUAAUUAUUGAAAUAUGAUAUUUUUCAAUGUUAGUUAAUGAUUUUACGGUCAAAACUCAAUGAACCCAUGAAUACGCAAAUCCUAAAUUUUUAACUUAUGAAGUGGGUUUAAUUUAUAUGAUAAUAUAAGGCUAGAGAAGUGUUUCUUAUGUCGUAUUCUGAAUUACCUACUACCUUUGUUCUUUAUUAUGAUGAUUUUAUGGAGAAUUGAGAAACAAUGGAAAAACCUUUCAUGAAGGAUAAGUUAAUCUAUCUUGCUUAGUUCUUAUUGAAUUUAUCUUAUGUGUGCGCAUUGUCAUUAUGUGCUUGAAGACAUUGACAUUUUACAAUGUACAAGCAUGAUUUGCAUUUUAAUUCUUUUUUGGAAAAUAAGUUUUUCUUUUAUACGUUUUCGACUUUUUUAGAGUCGCCACUUAAUUUUUUAAAGAAAAUCAAGAAACUUUUUUUUUUCCUGAAGACUUAAGCAGAAAAUGAUUUUAAAAAUUCAAAAGGGGGUUUGGAGAUUCUUUUUUAUAUUUUAGGAAGAUUUUUACAGCACCUAAAAUAUUCGUUAAAUUGCGGUUAUCUGACAACUUACUUAUUUGACUAAAAAUAUUCAAACUUAAUUUUUGAGAUAAAAAAUAUUUUAAGUUGUUUGGAAAAAGGAAGUAUUAAUUUUACUAUCUAAGUGAAUUUCAAUUUGUAAAAUUAAUUUUAAGCAUAUUUACUUCUUUGAUUUAGUCGAGUCGUUAUAACAAAGUGACGUCUUAUGGGGGAUUAGAAUUUUUCUAACCUUAAAACUAAUAAUAUGUAUCAAUCAGCAAGUAAAUGAUAAAGUAAAGAGAGAGAUUGAGAGAGAGACAGAGAGAGAUAGAGAGACAGAGAGAUAGAGAUAUAUAUAUAUAUAUAGAGAGAGAGAGAGUUGGGUCCAAAUGUGAUUUCUAUCCGCCUGAAAUGGUAUUUGGACCCAUUUCACUUUGGGUUUUUUAACCUAUUUAAAUUUUGUCCUAAGUUCUAGCAAAAUAAUACAAAGAUGAAGUGCUUAGGCCUAAUUUUAACAAAGUACAACAAUAAAUAAAAAAAGUUGGCUUUUGGCCGCACGACAUCAACUCUUCAGGUGACUUCAUAUGCUCUAAUUUUGGGGGAUCUUUUCAUCGAUUUAAAGGUUAGGAGAUUCAAUGGAGAAUUUGAGCAUUUACGGCUCACUCGAAAUGCAAGAGGGGAGGCAAGAGUUCGAGGCGAACUUAGAGAGUUUUUACAUGCAUAAAAAUGGAAAGGAACAUUAGCGUACGACCUUAUCAAAAUGGACGGUAAAAAAGAACAUACUAAAUUAUGCAAAGGGAAAGAAUGAGACAUAUAUACUUAUAACAUAAUUAAAGGAAAUCAUAUAAGGCCAAACAGAAAGCUAAAAAAAUGACUAAAGAACAUGGUGAUAACUCCUACUAAAUUAAUUAGCAUGGUAUUUAGCAAUAUGCGCUAAAGUGAUCAAAAUCAAACUUCACUUCACUACAUAAAAUAUUAUAAUGAACAAUAUUUUUUACGAGAAUUAAGUAAAAAGUGAACCAACAAGAAACCUACAGACAUUACUAGCAUAUGCAUAAGCGCGGCAGGAACAGUAACAAGCUAAAAAAAUAAACAUGAUAGUCAAGUCUCACAUACUACUCCUUUUUUUAAAAAAAAUAAUACAAUUGAACACCAACAAAUUUAGCACUUAGAGACCACUUGAACAAAGGGAUAUUUUUCAUCAAUAAACUCAUACUUAAGUCGCUAACGCAUGCACAUGAAUGACCUUAGACUUUAAACAAGAAUCUCAAAAAACUGCACAUUUAAGACAACCUCGAGACAAGAGAGCGCUCAUGUACAAGAAAAAAAAAAGAAAGAUUAACAACAGUACUAGGAUGAUAUUUAACUUAAACGCGAGACAAUCGAUUAACACACGAGAGAUUUUACUAAGCAAACAAAGUAACUCAAAACUCUAGGUGACAUGCUACAAGCUGCUGAAAUUAUACAAAAUAUUUAUCUAUAAUUAUCAAUCAAUUAGAGAAAAUAAAGAAAGAGGCUUCCAAUACAUUAGCUAGACCUCAUGUUCUGCACAUAUAAAGUAAGGAAAGAACUAAUUAAAAUUGAAAUGGAUUCAUUGUUAAAGAAAUUUGAGUGACAUUAACAUGAACUCAAAAUCACAACAACUACAAAUUCUCGUAUUUAAAUACAAUACUCAAGAAGCCUACAAAACGGUAACUCGGGAAAAGAAUAUAAAUAGCUAAUUUCUAUGUCUUUUUUGACUAAAACUUUAGUAAGCUUAAUCAUCCCAUAGGACUUGCACAACUAUAAAACUAGUCAAAAUCUAUCCCAACACAUUAACACCUCCCUUGAAUGAAAAAACAAGACAUAGCUACCAAUUUAAACAAUGAUGAAAAUAUCUUACUAAUCUUGAAAACGUUUUAGAUACAUUAAUAAAAUAAAAAAUAAACUUCUUUACAGCAAGAAAUCUUCGGGACUAGUAAUUGAAUAACAAAGUAAGCAAGAGAACUUAAUGUCAACUAACAGUCAAAAAAGUAGUUUUCAAACCAGCUUAGAAUACUAAAACACUAUGCUAUUUAUUGAAAAUCAAUUUUAAUAAAUAAAUUUGCUAGGCUAAGAGAAGUCGGUCUGUACCAAAAAAAACAAACGGCUCAAGACAAGUUACAGUUGAAUAGUUACACGCUAGAAUGUGAUCAACAUAGCUAAAACUAAUCAGCUAGCACCAACUAAACAUGAACUAAAAUAUCACUAAGAACAUUAGAAAAUAACAUAAAUUUUAGGAAAGACGAAGUGGAUGCUUAAUCGACCAUGAUAUAGAAUAACUAAAAUAUAAGUAAGAACAACUAAACGGAAAGUAUAGAACAACUACUAAUCCAACAAAAAAAAGGCUAAGAAGAGAUGUUUAACCUUUGUUGGGGCAGCGAACGGGAAAAAGAUGAGCUGAGAUUCUACCAACACGCUGGCUUAAAUAGAUUAUAUUUUGGGAAAAUGGAGUGAAAUCUGGACCAAUUCGAAAACUCAAAAUUUUUUCAAUUCCCGAUUUGCUGCAGUCUUGUCGGUUGUACGCAUUUGGGAUUGUUGUGCGCAUAGUUGGUAUUGUGUUUGCUAGAAUGGGGUUCAGCUGGGUCGUUUUGGAAUUGAAUGUGGGCUGGGGAGGGGGCAUAUUGGAUUGGGCCGCUGAAAGUAAAGGGAAUUGAGUUUUUUUUAUUAAGAAAAGGCCCAAAAUCGAUUUGGUUGAGAUAUUUGGCUAUUAAUAAAUGAAUCAAUAAGCUUCUAAAUUUUAACAAAAUAAAAUAAUCGACUUGAUUAUAAAAUAAAAAUAGUGAAAAAAUUAAAAAUAGAAUGAAAUGCAAACUAUUAUAUAACUAAACUAGCUAGUAAAAUAUUUUAACAAAGUGAAAUCUUUCGAGUCGAUUUUCGACUAAUCAUAAAAUAUACUAAUCAUAUAUAUAAUUAUGUAAAUCAUAUAUAUUAUCUUUAAAUUAUAAAAGUGAUGAGAUUAAUCUAAAAUAACUUACAAAUAUUUUAUACUUAGACAAUCGAAUUAUUUCAAAUCGUUUAGAAUUAAGAAACUCGAUGAAUUAUUCAUGUUACGAAAGUCCAAAAUUGGGUGUCAACAAGUUGUAUUGUGAAGUUGUCAAUGUGUGUCUUGAACAUACGCUGUAUAAAUGAGGUAUAAUAUGAACGUGAAGCAUGAUAGUGUUUGAAUUUUUCUUAUUGUAGCAUGAUUAUGUGUAAAAGUCAACGUUCUGAAUAUGGUUGUUAUGUGAGGAGUGUUCUCACAUAUAUUCUCACACACACUUCGAAUGAAUGAAUAAACUUAAUUAAUUAAAAUGGGGUAUUCUAGGGUAGACAUCAUUCAUGAGUAGACAUGAAGUGUCUAACACAAACCCUACUAUUUCUAAGUACUCUAGUGAAUGAAGAAGGUGGAUUUUGGGGUGGAUACUCUUCGUGAGUUUCGAUGAAGUGUUUAGUAGCGACCUCCCUAUUCCAAAGAGUUUUCUAAAUAAAGUUUGGAGGUUGAAUACUCUUCAUGACGUGAGAUGUAGUAUUCAAAAGUAACCUCUAGAGAUUAGUAUAUUUCGUGAGUUGCGAUGUACUACUUGGUAAGACCUUAACCUAUACCUAAUGAAUGUCUAGAAUUCCAUGGGGCCUUAUUCUUAGCACCGAGAGGAUUUUAAGAAUGGGUGGAUCCUCCUUGUGAGUAGAGAUUGUGUAGCCAAUGUAGCUUUUGAAAGAGUAAUUUCAUGAGUUGAUAAGAGUUACCUAUAAUAAAUCUCCUUAUCCCCUAAGUAUGCGCCCGCAUAGGUUUAGUUAUUGGAGAUCCAUGUAAAGACUAAGAGAAUGAAACUACCUUAGGCAAGUGGGGAUCCCUCGUCCGAUAGGGGUUAAUAGUGAGAUUUCAUGCCUAGAAAGGGUAGGUGGUGGAACAGGAUGCUGUCUAUCUAUCACACAAGUACACAUUUGGAAGAAGUCUUGGUGUUUCCUUAUAUGAAAAUGUGUGGUGGGUUACUACGUUAUGUUAAUGAAGUAAGUUGACUUUAUUUCUAAUGUUAUUGAAGCAUGUUGAUAUUAUUUUUUAAUUUUGAUGAAGUUAUGUAAAUGAUGAAUGUGAUGCGUCUAGUCUAAGGUGAUUCCUAAGGACCAUUAAGUGGAAUAAGUAGUAUGGGAUGCUACUUUCACAUUGCACAAAGUUUAACUUUGGGGUUGUCUUGGAGGAUCGUCUUCAUGUGAAUAUCAUUAAUGUAUGUAUAUUUCCUCUAGUACCUUUAGUAAUACAUGUUGACUUGUUAAAUGAAAUGAAGUAUUCAUAUAUUUAAUAGUCUUAAAGAUAACUUAGGUGGGUAUUGUAGAGGUUGUAUGAGCAGUCUCUUUAUGUCUUACCUAGGUGAAUCUUAUCUAGGAAGUAAGUGUAUACAUGUUGUGCGUUUUUUGGAAAAGUUAACUUUACUUGCAGAAAAACUUUUAAAAAACAUUUUUAUUUCUUUUAUAUUAUCUAUACUUAAUUAGGAAAAAAUUUUAAAAUAUAUUUACAUAUUUAAAACAAAAUAAAAAAAUAUAAAAAUAAGUUACAAGCAGAGAUUUAGAUGAGGUGGAGUAUAUUUUUAAUUUAUCGUAUUAAACCGUUAUAAUUAAAUUCAUUUGAUUGAUCACUAGAUUAAACCCUUAAAUGCUAGAACCACUCUUCUUCUUUAUCAACAUUUAAUAGAUAAUUAUAUAAUAAUAUUACUUGUGCAAUUUAAAAAAAACAAUAUAUGACUCGUGUGAUUUGUGAAUCAACUAUAUAAAGUACCAAUAAAUCAUUAUAUUUGAAGAAUAACGAAAAGAUUAUAAUAUUAUAAAAUAAUGACUAGUUGAAUUUCCAUACCUUUCCUUUAAUUUAUCACAUUUAUAUGGGAAGUUUAUCCAACAAUAAUUGCAUAUCUAAUAUAAUAUCGUAAGCUGUCUUUGAGAAAAUAAGUCGAUAUGGUUUGUUUUGUGUUAUAUGUAUCGAGAGAGGAUGAUGGUUAAUACUGAAAACUCGAAGGUGUCCAUUUUAGAGAGUUUUUCCAUUUACAAGAGAACCAAUGUAGGGUUUUUUCAUAGUCCAUUCAAUAUAAUCCUAAGGAGAAAACAACGUUUGUUGUGGUUUUGAUUUUUUUUAUCGAACUUAUCUCUCCAGAUUUGUCUGCAAAGAAGUCAUUUUUGUCUAUAGCAUCGGCAAAUAGAAAGCCAAUAGCUAUAUAUAAAUCUACUCAAAUCAAAUGAUGAUCCGACACAACUAGGGUCGAGGUUAUACUUGAUCUAAUGGAAAAGAUUCCAAAUCAUAUAAGAUUGAUGUUUGAGGAUAGAAAAUCUGGUAAGUUGAAUGAGGGAUCACUAGAUUACACCCUUAAAUGCUAGAAUCACUUAUCUUCUUUAUCAACAUUUGAUAGAUAAUUAUAUAAUAAUAUUAUUUGUCUCAUUUCAAAAUAACAAUUUAUGACUUGUGUGAUUUGAAAAUAAACUAUAUAAACUACUAAUAUGUCAUCACAUUUCAAGAAUAACACAAAGAUUAUAAUAUCAUAAAAUAAUGACUGGUUAAAAUUGUCAUAACUUUCCUUUGAUUUUUCACAUUUAUAUGCGAAGUUAAUCAAAAAAUAAUUGUAUAUCUAAUAUAACCUCGUAAGCUAGAUUUGAGAAGCAAAGUUGAUAUGUUUGGGUUUGUGUUAUAUGUAUCAAGAGAGGUGGAUGGUGAUUAGUAAACACUCGAAGGUGUCCAUUUUAGAUAGUUUUUUCAUGGACAGGAUAACCAAUGUAGGAUUUCUCCAUGGUCCAUUGGAUAUAAUCCUAAGGGGAACACGACAUUAGUUGUUGUUUUGAUUCUUUUUAUCGAACCUAUUGCUCCAGAUUUGUUUGCAACGAAGUCUUUGUUGUCUAUAGCAUCGGUAGAUGGAAAGACAAUAGCGAUAGAUAAAAUUACUCAAAUGAAGCCAAGAUCCGGAACAAGUAGGGCCAGGUUAUACUUUAUCUAAUAGAAAAGCAUCCAAAUCAUAUAAGAAUGCAGUUUGAGGUGUGAAAAUCUGGUAAGUUGAAUGAGGGAUCACUAGAUUACACCCUUAAAUGCUAGAAUUACUCUAAUUCUUUAUCAACAUAUAAUAGGUAAUUAUAAAACGAUAUUAAUUAUGCCAAUUCAAAAUAACAAUUUAUGACUCGUGUGAUUUGUGAAUCAACAAUAUAAACUACUAAUAUAUCAUCACAUUUGAAGAAUAACAAAAAGAUUAUAAUAUUAUAAAAUAAUGACUGGUUGAAAUUGUCAUACCUUUCCUUUGAUUUCUCACAUUUAUAUGCGAAGUUAAUCCAACAAUAAUUGCAUAUCUAAUAUAAUCUCGUAAGCUAGAUUUUAUAAGAAAAGUCGAUAUGUUUGGGUUUGUGUUCUAUGUAUCGAGAGAGUUUGAUAAUGAAUACUAAAAACCGUUAAGAUUUAAUUCAUUUGAUUGAUCACUCUUCUUCUUUAUCAACAUUUAAUGGAUAAUUAUAUAAUGAUAUUACUUAUGCCAUUUCAAGAAAACAAUUUACAAAUCAUGUGAUUUGUGAAUUAACUAUAUAAACUACUAAUAUAUCAUCUCAUUUGAAGAAUAAUACAAAGGUUAUAAUAUUAUAAAAUAAUUACUGGUUGAAAUUACCAUACUUUUUCUUUGAUUUUUCAUAUUUAUAUUCUAGGUUUAUCCAACAAUAUUUGCAUAUCUAAUAUAAUCUCGUAAGCUAGAUUUGAGAACAAAAGUCAAUAUAUGUGGGUUUGUGUUAUAUGUAUCGAAUGAGGUGGCUAGUGAAUACUAAAAUUGAAGGUGUCCAUUGUAGAAAAAUUUUCCAUGGACAGGAGAACCAGUAAGCGUUUUUCCAGAGUCCAUUGGAUAUAAUCCUAAGGAGACAACGAUGUUAGUUGUGGUUUUGAUGCUUUUAUUGAACUUAUCUCUCCAGAUUUGUUUGCAGAGAAGUCUUUGUUGUCUAUAGCUCGACAGUUGGAAAGUCAAUAGUUAUAGAUAAAGCUACUCAAAUAAGCCAAGACCAAGCACAACUAGGGUUAAGGUUAUACUUGAUCUAAUGGAAAAAAUUCCAAAUCGUAUAAGAUUGUAAGCACCGAGAUGAGAUAAUUAUCGUUUGAUCUUGAACAGAAAUUAAAAUAACAAACAUAUUGAAGAUACAAUUAAUGUUUCUUCGAAAGGUACUAUCAAUAAUGAAAAGUAUCAAGGUGAUGCGAGAGAAAUAUUAAAUAAAAAAAGAAUGGUUGAUCAACAAUUGGUUGUUGCAAAUUCUGAGCAAAAUCGUGCAGACACUCAAUUGAUGUUGUUACAAGUAAUAUUGUUGUCCAAACAAAAACUGAAUAUAAAGGGAUAACGUCAAGAGUUGGGGUUGCUGCGCGCCGCGAGUUUGUUCAGGCCAAAAAUUAAUGGAGUCAGGACACAAACUAAUGGAUACAUCUGACGAUAUUGAAGAUGCUAAAAAUUCUCGGAAGCAUGUUUUGCAAGUUGAAAACAAGUUGUACUAAAAAUUGGACACAGACUGCACCCAAAAAUUCAAUUAGUAAUUGAUGCAUUUCCCCGACUAGUCAAACUAAUUCUCCAUGUAAUUUAAUAGGGUGUUAAUGAAAAUUUUCAUGACUGUGAAAAAAGACAAGAUAUUAGUAAUGUCUCAAGAUACAUAUUAUGUUCGAAUAACAUUCAUGCUUUAUCGAACUACUAGAAAUUCGUCGUUUGCCUACCACAAAAAUAGUUUCAACGUAGUCGGAUAAUGGAAUUUUACGAUGACUUUUUACCUAUUUUCGGUUAGUGGACAUAUUGAACGUCGUAAAAUAUUUAGCGGCUACAGUCGUCUGACUUUGCCGAUUACCAUAGUUGGAAAAUAUAAAACUAGUCCUGACCAUUAAACUAUCUAAAUGGACGACUACAGUAGUCGAAAGAAUAUUAAAAUAAUAGUUUAUUAAUUAAAGAAAUCUAACUACAGUUGCCAUAGAAUUUAAGUAAUUAAUUAUUUAAUUAAUAUAUAUUCCCACUACAGUAUAAACAUUUAGGUACUUUUCUGAGUAGUGUAGUUAGAGUAAGUAAUUUAUUAAAUAAAUAACUAGCUACUUUCCAAUUGCUGUUGUAGGCAAUAUUAAUUUUUUUAAGAAGUCAGGUCAUUUUAAGGAUUACUGUGCUAAAAAAAUUGCAUUUUUAUGUAGAACUUUUUUUACUUGAUACACCACCAGUUAAAUUGUACUACCAUCCAUUCGUAAAAGUUUAACAAUGAAAUCAAACAUUAAAUACAUUCCUAAUCAUUCAAAUUUUUAUUCAGUAUAACUAAAUUUAAAAAUUCAAGCAUCACCUGAAGAAAGUCUAAUAAGUAUUAAACUGUUAUUAAAAACAGAAGUAAAUAGUUUAAAACAAGUCUAAAUCUCAUAGAAAAUGUUCAAACAUACUAAAUAAAUUUCUUCCGAAGAGUGAGAAGUUGAAGCACCAAACAACAAUGACAAUGAAUGAAUUGAGGAAGGUUGUACUCCAAGUCCAUGAAUUUUACCUUUCUUCACACCUUCUGCCAUAUUUUUUUCUUCCUUAUGCCAUAUUUAUUCAUAUGUAUCAUCAUAUGACAGUUGUUUCGUGGAACCAGCCUCAAAGAUAAGUCGUAUUUCACUCCGUUCAUGCAAGACUCUUUCAAAUGAAUCAAAUCACUAGAAAACUACUAUUUAUGCCUCAUAACAUAUUAACAAAAACUUUACUUUUGAGAACCAACAAACAAUUCAACCAUUGGGCAUAGCCUCUUACAAAUUAAUAAUCACCUCUUUAAUUACUUGGGAACAAAAUAUCAAAUAAGCAACAGAAUAACAAAUUUUGUUAUCAUUAUAUCCUAUUAACAAAUUCUAUGAAAAGUUGAAGUUGUGAAUUUUACAUAGAUCCACCCUCUUUAGUUGAUAAGGCAGUAGUUACCAAGAUAUAGCAUCAAUAAAUGAAUUCUGACAUUGAGGAUCAGAAGCAACAACAAUAUCAAAUGAAAUGGAUUAGUGGAGUGCAUUAUAAUGGAGAUAAAAUAGAGCAUGUGUUCAAGGUGGUAGUGAUUGAUCUUUAUUCAAUCCAAAGUGAUAAAGGCUCAUAUCGAAUUCUUAUCUAAAGAGAAUUGGUAUUUGAUUUACAUAUGAAGGCUACAUAAUUGGAUUUAUAACCUUAUCUAUUACUUGUAAAAAAAAAUUAUACUUGGGUUGUCUUUUCCUUACAGUUCACAAACAUCAAGUUAUAAAUAAAAUCCUUCCAUGCUAGUCACUAAUGUCCAUAAAGAGUAAGAAAUGAAGAGCUAGCCCGUGCAUGCAACAUAAGAAUGUUGUCUUAGAUAAAUAUCCCAGUCCAUAUUAUUCAUGUAAAAAUACCUUUUGACCUUAAAAAACUUUUAAGAAUAUCUUCUCUAAAAAAAUAAUAAGAUAUAUAAACUUCUGAAUCAGAUGAGUUCUCGAGUUCUGGAUAUACUUUUGUGUGAUGAUAUUCGUAAUUAUGAUCCUUCAUAGUUUUGAUAGUUUGUUUUCCUUGAAUAGAUCCUUUUGACAGUCUUCUAUGUUGCAGCGAAGAUUCCUUUAUAUUUGUCCCCCUUUCUUUAUACAACAAUCACGUCUAACACCUUUUGAAUAUUUGAGUCUUUGGUUCCUUCAAGAAGGUAAUAUGUCUACUGUAUUUCGAGACAUAUUUCCUUCACUGGAUCACCAAUGACACCUAAGUUUGUAAGCUACAAAUAUUGGAAAGGUGUUGACUUGUUUGUUGUAUUAACAACGGGAUAGAAAUACAAAGAAAUAUAUUCUUUAAAGUAGAAAACUAUCCAACAGAUUUAUUUUAGGGAAAGCAAAUAUCAGAACUAUGAUGGAUCAAAAUUACGCUUAUCAUCACACAAAAGUUUAUCCAGGCAAACACAUCAUUGAUUAUUUGGUUAUUUUUUCUUAUGAGUGAUAACUUCCAAUUUUUUCAAGGUUAAAAUGCAUUUGUCAUGAAUAUAAUUAUUUAAGACAACAUUCUUGUGCUGCAUCUGUCAGCGCCUUAUGAACUUAAGGUCACAAACAUCUAAUCUUCCUUUCUUCCUCUUUAUGGUCAUCACUGACUUUCAAGGAUGAACAGUCACUAUUACUUGAAAGUUUGUUAAUUAUAAGGAAAAGAAAACCCAAGUGUAUAAUUUCUUCAUAUAUUAAAAAUAUUUCAAUUCUCCUCCAAUGAUUUAUAAAACAAAUGUAGAAUUGCAUUAAUUUGAUGCUAUUUCGAACUUAUUUUUGGGCUUAUGUCUGUGGAAUUAGUUUUGAGAAGUAAAUAAGAAUUAUAUUUAACAGAAAAUAUGGUAUUACGCAAGUUUUGUGGUGAAAGACUCAAGAGAUGCAGUUGCAUUUGAGAGACAAAUAAACUCUUGAGUUAUAGUGAAACACUUCCCAAAAUAUAUGUGGAAUGCAGCGAUAGUACCAAAUGUGUGCCACAAUAAAAUUAAGGGGGACAUGUGCCACUAUUCCCUGGAAGUGGGAUGGUAGAAGUAAGAUGACGUCUAUAGUUUAUUUGCUACACAAUAGUUAAAACAUUUUCUACUUGCUAAUUAUAUAUCUAUAGUUUUGAUAUUGAUUUUUAAAAAUUAUGUUUGAAUUAUAAUGAAACAGCUCAAUCCCAGAUGGGAUAACUUAAACCAUUAAGAUUAAAAUAGGGUACAUGAAGUUAAACCUCUUUUUCCUCCUAAUUUUCUCAACAAUAGCUAAACUCGACAUUCGAUAACAUCAUUUUCGCUCUUAAUUAAUUUUAUGUUUAUCCAAUUACAUUUAAACUCUCUCAAGUUACAAGUGUUUAAUUGUGUAAUCAAAACCCUCAAAGAACCAUAAUGAAGAUUUGAAAUUAUACAAAAUCAUUCACAAAGAAUUGAUACAAAACAAUAAGAUAAUAAAUGAAAAUUGAAAUCGAACAUCGAAACAUGAAAAUAAUACUUGGAAUGUUCCAGAAGGGAGUUUUAACAUAGAUUUGGGGGAAUAUUCAAGAAGGGGUUUUUCACAUCGAUUUGGAUUACGCAGAUCAGUACAAGUUGUUACGAAAAAUUAUAUUUUGCAGUCCUUAAUUGGUUGGUGCUCCGGCACCGAAAGAUGAAGGCGACAAACUUUCUACUCCUCUGAGAAUGUCGACAAUGUAAGAGUGUUUGAAAAUGACUGAGUUAAGUAUUUUAUUCUUAAGCUUCAAUCAAAUGCUUUUAGAAUUUUCUUACUUUCUAUAUCCUUAUUUUAAUUCCUCUCCUAUUUAUUCUUUUCAAAAAUGGAAUGAAGGCAAAUCAUCAUUUCAUUUAAAAUUGUGGCACCAUCAAUGAUUAAAAAUGUGUUUUUCAUUUUCUUUUAAAGUUCAUUAAUGAUCUUCAUUUAUUAUGGUGUGGUUUUAAAUCAAAUGGUGAAUUGUAUUUAUUUAAGUUUGAAAUUGAAGAAAGAGGAAAAAAAAUAAAUUUGGAAAAGUGAAAAAAAAUGAUAAAAGCUUUUGAUUGAGGUUUUGAAAAUGAAAAUUCUGCCUAAGUCUCUCUCAGUCGGUAUUGACACUUCCAGAGGAGUAGGAGCUACAUUGUCGGCAUCUUCUGAUGUUGGAGCAUCGACAAAUAAUGAUUCAAUUAUGUAAUAUGUUGAACAACUUGUACUUGAUCUCCACAAUUCUUUUAUUCGUGAAAACAGUUCUCUAAAACAUUCAAAGGUUUAUUCUUCUAAUUUAGAGGCUUACCCUUAUGUUUCGUUUACUUUCAUAUCAUUUUAUUAUAUGUCUUGAUUCAUCAUGGCAUGAUUCUGUAUAAUUUCAAUUCUUGAAUAUAAUGAAGUUAGGUAAAAUUGAGGAUUCUGAUGACUAUUUAACGCUAGUCACACUAAAGUUACAUAACUGGUUAACUAAAAAAUCACCAUUAUUCUACUUGAUAAAACUGGACUAAUGAAACUUUUAAACUCUACCAUCUCCGAUCUCUGGGAAAUCAUAACUAUAAUUUCUUCAUGUUGAGCAAUUGUUCAAUAAAAUUUUGUUUUCACUGUAACAAUACAACUUACCUAGUUUAGCUACAUCUAGCAAAAUGAAUUUGCACUAACAUGGGUAGGAAUGUAACAUUCUCAUGUAUAUGUGGGAAAGAUCAAACUUUAGCUAUAUUUAUUAUAUAUCUUCGAACAAUAUUGAUCAUGUUUCAAACUUGUAUCACGGUAGAAUCAAACAUUAAUUCAUACUGAACUAACAAUUUACAGAUAGUCUAUGUGCCUAUUGAAGAUUUUUGUUAUAAUAAGUGCAUAAGACAAUCCCUAGAAUCAAACUUUUAAUAUCUAAACAACUUAUCAUUGAUUGUUUUAUAUUUUUCCUCUACUCUGGCAUAAACCCACAAUUUGUAUCAACAUAAAUAUUAAGCAGGGACCCAAGUCCCAACCUAAAUGUCAUGUAGAUUAUGUCUUGUAAUCGGAUUCUCAUUGUCUAGUCGUAUAAGAUCAAUAAAUUUUCUAUACAAAUAACAAAAAAAAAAGAUAGAAUGGGUAUCAACUUAAUUAACUUUAGAUUAGUCUCUGUAUUGACUCUUUACUUUGUUAAAUGAAAAUACAUUAUUUAACAAAAAAAUGAAUAACAUUUUUGUCAAACACAUUUAAAAAGGUAGUGUCAUAAUCAUAGGGAUAUUUUGAUUUCCUAAGUUAACGUUGAAGUUGAUGAAGACACCGGAAUUGUAAGAUCGUGAUGUACUUGAGAUAUUGUUCCACUGCGUUUGACACAGUGUGUGUUAGGAGUAAUUGCCUGCCAAUAUUUUAGGCGCCUCUCCAACAACGUUAAUUCUUUUGGAGUGAUUUAUAAAAAACACAGUGGAAAGUAUAAAAAACAAAAAACAAAACCAAUACAAUGCAGUACUAAUAAGACCAAAAAUAGAAGAUGAAUUGAGAAGCCAUGAUUUUUUUUAGGAAAAGCAAACAACAACAACAUUCAUUCCAAGGGCUUCCCUAUGAAACCUUAUUGACGUGAAGUUUCUAACAUUUCCUAUUAUUAAUGGUAGAGUUGAGUAAUGAAUUGUACUAAGUUUAAUCAUCAUCUAAUUCGAGGGAGAUAAAACCUACCUAGUAUAGAACAUUCAGGUUGUUUAAUUAAUAUUGUAUACUAUUAAAUUUAAUAUGCAGUUACGUAUCAGAUUGUUUCUUUUUUAGAAAUAACUCACAGUUUUUAGUGAAAAUUAACAAAAAAUUAAAAAAUAUAAGAAUCCAUGAGAGAAUCAUAAAAGACAAAGACUGCAAAAAUAUUUGUUUAAAAACACUACGAAAACUAUUACUUUCCUUUCAAUCUCAUUUAAUAGGAAUUUUGAUUUUUGUUUUCUACUAACGAAUAGACGGUCCCUUUUUAAUGAGUCAUUUUUGUAAGUUGUUUAUUAUGUGUCAGAUUUUUGUACCAACACUAUAACAUAUAUUGACACUAAUUCGACAGAAGGGCUAAAUAUAAUUGAACUCCCUUCUACAGAUUCUUCUAUUGUCAUACUAGAAUACUUAAUUAACCAAUUAAGAAGUCGAGCUUUUUAACUAUUUUAAGACAAAAAGAACACAAAUCAAAAUCAUCAAUAAGAAAAAAUAUAAUGAAAUAAAAAAAUGACAAAAUGAACUCAUUUAUCAACCCAACUAAAAGUCUCUCUCCUUAUAAAAUUAGAAUUGCCUUAACAAAAUAUGCCAACAAAGUAAUAAAUUAAUAUUUUAAGUAUAUCAUCUUCUCAGUACUACCGCCUUAUUUGAUAUUAAUGAUGUGUUAGUAGAUUGAUUUGCAUAUUCACAUAUAAUAUUAAAAUAUAAAAGAAAACAUUGAUUUUUUGAUAUUAUAUAUCAGUUCACUUUAAAAUGGGAACCAUAAUCGAGUUUCACAAAGAUUGGAAAAAACAACUAUCUUCUUUGACCCCUUUGGUCACUGCAUUCUCAAACUCAAUGAAAGACCACACUUUAUAAACCUCAAUCAAAAGGUUUGAAGACCUAUGCAAAAUAGAUAUUUGUGCAAACCUGAAACGGUAAAAUAAAAUUAAAUGCAAAUCAAAACAAUUAACCAAAAUAUACUAGAUAAUUGCAAGAACAAUUUGAGAAGGAGCUUAGAAAGUUAAUGUAAAAAUAAAGCAUUGAGAGAGUUCCUUUUGACUAAUUUUGUUACGUUAAAGCGGUUUUGUUACCUGCACAAUAGCGUACAAUAAAUGUGUUUAUUAAGUUUGUUUGAACUUCAUAGCAUGAGAAAAAAGAAUGAGAGGAAUGGAAUACCUUCUCAUAGCCCCCUUGUAGUUAGAUUCUAAAAACAUCAUUGUCAACUUCCGAUUGAUUUGUAAUUGAGAGGAAUAAAAUCUACAAUUAUAAUGGAAAACUUUUCUAAAUACCUGUAGGCACGAAGUGCUAGUAUCAAAUGAGGUACCAACAUAAGGGGGUCAAAUCCUCCAAAUUUUCCCUCUUCUUGAAAAGGAAAAUAAAAGUAAUAAGAUAUUUGACUUUGUUUUCCUUUUUUUUCCAGAAGAGGGAAAAUUUUGAGGGAUUAGAUCCCUUAUUAUUCUAGAGUUAAUUCAUUUCUUCAGAUGCACAUGAUUUCUAAGGUAUCACUCCAUGUUGCGAUUCCAAUAUUUCUUAUAUCUGUUCAAACACGCAUUUCUUCAAUGAUUAUUGAUUACCCUUUCUUCAAACUUCACCAUUAAAAUCUAGGAAUAUAAGGAAACAUUUCAAACAAAUUUAAAACAAAUUUAAACACUGAUUAUCAACAACGAUCUUUAAAAUGAAAAAGCGAGUGAAAAGACUAAACAACACAACUUCAUGUAAUUAAUUAAACACCACCUAAUUCAAAAAAAUUUAAGCCAAAAUAAACCUCUAUUUUUGAGCAUUGAGAUGAAAACAAGAGACAAGAUCUAAAACUAACAAAGGGUGAUAAACAAUGAAGUUAAAUAUAACACCUUUAUUUAGUGAAUUCCAAUACGUAUACUUAAUCGCUAAAAAAACUAAACCCAACACUUCACAUUAAAAGAAGAAGGAAUACGAGUGUUACCUUGUUCUGGGCAGCGACUGGAACUCAAUCCUGGACGUGACAAAUUCCAACCCCACUCCGACUCAAAAUAGUUCCGAAUUAAUAAAACAUCAAUGACGAAAAUAAAAACACCCAAAAACAUAGAGAGGUGUUCUAUUUCUUGCCUCCAAAAAAACCUUCCCUGAACAGUAAGGGUGACGGGGUAUAUAUAGCACAAACUCUGGGUUGAAAUAAAGGGGAAAACGAUGUGGGAUUCUGGAAAUUUUCAAAUUCAUAAUAGGGUCUUGGAUCUUUUAAUGUGUAAUGGGUUUAUAUAAUGUGGGACAAAAUUUUGGGGUAAAGGUUAUAUAAUGGUCCAAAUAUGUACUAAAUAAAGUCCAUGAAGAGAGUUUCAAAGGGAAAUGAUAUGUAUUGGAAAGUCAACUAAUUACUCAAGCUUCUUAACUGUAACAACAUAAAAAUUAUUAUUUCAAAUGGAAAGAUCUUACUUAAAUUGUAAGUUUAAACAAAAUAAGUUGCAUAGUUAAUUAAAGCUUUGUUUUUUGGUAAAUCAAUUUACUAACUAUUUAUUCAAAUUGAAAAAAUAUAUAAAUCUAUAUAUUUUAAAUAUAAAGAUAUAUAAUGCAUAUGAAAAAGUGGAAAUAAGUGUUUUGGAAGAUAAUUUUAUAUUAUUUUUUAAUUUCAAAAAACUUUAUAUCCCAUUGUUCAAUAUUUAAGAAGCUUAAAAAUUAAUCAAAUCGUGGAGGGUCAAAAUUGGGUGUUAACAGGCAUCACCACUAUACCAUAUAUUAACGCUACUUCACAAGAAAGCCUAAAUAAAUCAAACUCUCUAAUAGUCUUCUUCUACUAUUCUUAAUUUACCCAUUAAGAAAUCGAUCUCUUCAAUAAUUUUAUGACAAAAAGAACAGAGAUGAGGAAAUGAAAAUGACAACAUGAACUCAUAUAUCCACCUAUAAAAAAGACUACCGGUAAAAGAUUUUAAAUUGUCUUAACAUUAUAUGACAAUAAAUUAAUAAAAUUAUUGUUUGAGGAAUAUCACCUUCUUAGUCUUACCCCCUUAUUUGAUUUUAGUUGUAACCGAUUGAUUUACAUAUAUGAGCACAUAAAAGUAAAAAAUAAAAAAUAAUAAAAAGAUUGAUUUUAGACAUUUAAAUCAGUCCACUUCAACAUCAAACAAAUUAAACUAUCUUUUUUUACCCCUCUGGUCACUGCAAUUCACAAAACCAAUCAAAGAUAAAAACUUUAAAAAUAAUUCACAUCGCUAUAUGUAACUCUUAAUCAAAAGUAUAUCAUCCGUACAUUGGUUAUUUGACGCACGUACUAGAUUAAGUCAUAACCUCUAUAAAUUGGUCCUCCCUCCAUUCACCCAUUCGGGUUAUCACAUAUUCUCUACAAUAAUUCAAUCGUUAACGGUUGUGAUAACAUAAAGUUAGGGAAAGGAGGUAGAAACCAAUUUACAACUAACGCUUCCGUUUUUCUCUUUGAUGAUGUCUUCCUCAUCAGGUAUGUACUCCUAACGAUCUCUAUGUAAGAUUAUCGUAUUCAAGAUCCUCAUAUUAUGUAUCCAAGUAUUAAAUCUUAUAUCAACAAUAUAAACUACUAAUAUAUCAUUACAUUUGAAGAAUAAUGAUAAUCUAAUAAUAUUACAAAAUAAUGACAGGUUGAAAUUAUCAUACAUUUCCUUUGAUUUCUCACAUUUAUAUGUGAAGAUGAUUCAACAAUAAAUGCAUAUCGAAUAUAAUCUCAUAAGCUAGAUUUGAAUAAAAUUAUGUAUAGGUAAAUUUACUAAUAUCCUACAAGCUAGAGAGAUUAUUCCUAUUAUAUCUUCAACUCAAAUAAAACAUUUCAAAAUAAAAUGAAAAAGAAACAUAGUAAUUAAAAAAGGAAGAAUAAUCUCAAUAAUUGUCCAAUUGAUGAAUAACGGAAUAUAAAUAUGCAAAAUGUGAUAUUUGAAAUUUAAAAAAAAUCAUAUUUAUCAGUAACUAAUAUAAAUGGCAAUUUAUGGACGGAAAUUGCCAUAUAUCCAAUCGAAUUAAGCCUUUACCCACUUUGGGAAGUUGACAAUGAGAAGAGUAAAGGUCUUGUUGACUAUGAGAGGAGUAAAAAUACAAAUUAAUUAAUCAUGAACAUUAAUAAGAAUAGAAAAAAUAAUUAUAAGAAUUUAAUAUGAAGUAAACAAUCAAAAACGCACUAACAAAAAAUUAAUUAAACAUUUAUUGAUUUAAUAUCAACCAAUGCACGUUGUGACGCUUUCUCCAGCUAACAUGUGGUGAAGGGAGAGAUAAUGAUAUGUUAUGUGGUAUCACAUCCUAGACGUAGAUAUGAUGAUUGUUGGUGUAGUAGAUGCACUUAGGGCCGACUCUAUAAAAUUGGGGGCCUUAAAGUCAAACCUUAAAUAGGGGCCUAAUUAUUAUUUUAUUUUAUUUUCAAAAAAAUAAUAAUAAUGUGCUAUAUAUAUAUUUAAGGUCAAACACAUAAACAGAUUCCUAAACUUGUUGGAUUUUUCCCCUAAGGUACAUCAACUAUGCUAUUUCCCUAUUGAAUCAUUGAAUAAUCCAUAAUUUUUUCCUUUUAAACACUGUUGGCUAAUAGUGGAAUCAGAUUUUGUGAGGGGUAUUGGUAGGAGAUACACAUGUUGUUCCAGAACUCAUUUAUGCCUUCAUAUAUUAUUUCCACACUUGUACAAUGUUACUGAUUUUUGGAGAAAAGAUAAAAAGGAAUAAAUCGUGAAGAUUCGCUUACAGGGAGGUCGUUUUCUUCUUGUCAGUGUCGCACAAAUAUUUUUUCUUACUACACUCCUCUCACUUCUUAAUUAGUUUUGCAUAUAAUUGUGUAACCCUAUUUAUUUAUUUUAAUAUAUUUGUGACAAAUACUAUUGGAUUUUUAAAUAAAGUAUGCACUUAGCCGUUAGCUAAUAACUAAAAUUAAUUAUUUUAAAACACCCGUAAUUAAACAAUCCUAAUUAACAAAUAGCUGAAAAAUUUCCGACCUAACUUCACAAAUUGAUCAAAACUGACUCCGGCCAAUACCGAGAUGGGUAAAAUGGUAAUAUUAUAAAAAUUUCUAAAAAUUACCUUCCGGGUCCGGGUGAUUACAUAUAUAAAUAUUACUAAAUCAACAUCUCUUUCAUCCUUUUAUGUUUAAACUUCUAAGCAAAAGAUUGAGAUCAGCUUAAAUAUAUAUAGACAAUUUUUCCUUUAGGUGAUGCAGACAAAAAAGAAUUUGAGAUCUCAAUGAAAAGCUAUAAUAUUGUGUCAAAAAGUUCUUGAUCAAGAAACUGUCGAUCUAUUAGCAUUCUCUCCAAUACCAGGGAGUUGGCUAACAAAGAUAUACUCCAUCUCAAACAUUCUUCAUAUAAAAUUUUCUGGCUUAACUUACUCGAGGUGAUCAAAUGUCUUGUCCUAUAAAUAUUCAAGUUCAAGUUAUUCUUCAAUAUCACUAUAUACAAUCUUCAUAGAAAACCUAAAAAAAUAUAACACAAAGUAAACUCUCAGAUCAUUGAGAUGCCAAAAAAAUACGAAAAAUAACACAUAUACGAAAAAAAUGAGAGUUAAGGCACUACAAACAUUCAUAUCAAAAUAUUUCAUGUUUGGGAAGCUUCCUAUUAAUGAAAGGACACACGAACGCUCAUCUGAUUUCACUAACAAAAUGUUAUGUAGGUAAAAUUAUUUAAUGUUAUCAGGAUUGAAGGGAAGCUUUGUUGGUGCUUCAUAUACUUCUUCAACUUUAAAGAAGAAUAUGAAGGACUAACAAGGUUUCCGUUUAAUCCUAACAAUGUCAAACGAUUUUAUCUUUUCGAAAUUUUUUGUUGGUGGAAUCAUAUAAACUUUAAUAUUCUCUUUGCUUAAUAAGAAGUUUCCUAUAUUUGGAAUAUCUCGAAAUGUAGGUUUGGAGUAUUUUGAGUCUCUUUUUCCAUAAUUAUUGAUUACUUAUCGCUGUUUUGGGAUCUAAUUUGAGAGUCAACUUCUUGUUAUGUUUCUUAGAUUUUGUAUGAAGGUGAUAGUGAUACUGAAGAAUCAUUUUAAUUCCAAAGUUUCUCGGAUAUGACAUUUUAAUCCUACCUUUUGUUUCAGAUUUCUCUUUGUUUUAUAGAUCUCAACUUACAAAGAAAAAUAAUGAAUAUUUUCAUCUAGUUCAAGUUUGCAAUUACUAAAAUAUUUUUAUAUUUGUGUAAUAAAAUAAAUAAACAUAAGAAGUUGUUUAAAUUUUUAGAUUUAGAACAUCAAAUCAACAAUUUUACUGUAUUAAAAUUCAAAAAUCCUAAAAAUAGUAUGUAAUAUAAUGCUAAUCGAAAAAUAUAUAUUUUUUUAAAAUAGAAAAUUAAAUUUUGAAUAACUUUUAUUAGAGUUUUAAUCAUAAGGCUUUUUUUGGACUCUUUCAAAUCUUUAACGUUAACAAGAAUAAGCAAUCUAGCCUUUAACUAUUUAGAUGAAUUUAGAAUAUGAUUUUAUACUUUUAAGAAAAGCAAAUAGGUUCUAUACAGGCAUAUCACGAUUUGUAAACAUUCGUCAAGGAUCACAAAUUAGCCAGAUCAUUUUCUCUUAGAAUGUUCCUGAAUAGACAAAAAGAUAAACUUAAAACUGAUGUUAGAAUUUACAAAUAUUAGUUAUAGAAAGAACAAUAGAAUAAAUCAUAUUGAGAAGAACAAAAAGGGCAAACUUGAGAACAAAAUUGAGGAUAUAAUUUGUUGUUGAUUUACCUAUAAUCAUUGGUGAAAUGGAGUGGAGUGAAAGCAGGAAUGACGAAUUGACACAAUUUUUUUUUAUUAUACUAAUAAUGAAGCCUAGAAAAAAAAAAUUUCGAGGAAGAAUGGGGGAAUUUUGUUCCUUUGUUUUCAAGACUACUAUGUGUAUUGAGUUUCUUACUUCACAUAGUACCUUUCUCUGUACAUUCUAUACUUCUGCUAAUGACAGGAUUUAUAUAGUCGAAUCUUGUAUAUAUUUUAUGCUCUUAUUUUUUUUUAGAUUAAUAGACAUUUAAUUCUUUUUUGAUCUUUGACUAGAUGUAUAGUUUUAUUAUUUUUGUAGUACGACAAACGAUUUGUGUACAUUCUACACUUUUAUCAUUGACUAAAUAUAUGCACGUUAAACCCUUCUUUGACCUUUUACUAGAUAUACUAAUAUAAUUAAUGGUAAUUUUUCAUUCAAGUAUCAAAAGGCUAAAAUAUAAUGUUGUUGUACUAUAAUUAAUGGUUAUUUUCCAUUCAAUACCAAAAAGCUCUUUAUAUUUUAUUACUGAUAUUUUUUCUUUUAGUACUAAAAAGCUCUUUUCAUUUCCAUAAGUAUUUUGUGUGAAAAACUCUUUUUCCAAGAGAGUAAAAAUUAUGAUCUUUCUCUGUAUAUGAUUAUUCUAAAACUCUUCACUAUGAUCGAGGUCAAACUCCAAAUAAGUUUCUAAUUGUCCUUUGUAACACCUUAAGAAUUGUUUCCUAUAGUUUUGCUCUAUUCUCUUAAUAUUCAAUAGCGCUACAUUAUAAAUGAAUUCCUAAACAUAAACAAGACAACACCUGUAAAAAUCUAAAUGUAGUAUCAAUCAAGAUCUUAUCUUCAAACUUCUCCAAAUAAAAAAUUAGGCAUCAAAAACUAAAAUACCCCUACAUAACCAAACUACAAUAAUCAGACUUCACUGUAAUAAUCUUGUUUGUUUCAGCAAUAAUGAUUGGUUGUUUUACACCUAUAACAAUAAUGAUUGGUUGUUUUACACCUAUAAUAAUAUUAGUCCAGUUAAAUAAUAUAAUUUGACUGUUAUAGCAAAAAUUAUUCAAAAAGAUAUUAAAUUAUAUAAUUCAAAAUAUCAUAGAUAUGUUGUUCUACUAAUUAAAAUUUAAUAUAAUUUCAAUAAACUAACUAAAUAAAUAAACUUAUGUAGAUUUGUUCCCUAAUAGUCGUGUUAAAUUUCAUUUAAAUUUAAAUUCUUUCAAAAUAGAAAAUUUCUAUGUAGAAAACUUUAAUUAAGUGUUUAUACAUAAAUUUUAAAUAAUAAUGCUAACUUCAUCACACUUUGUAUACAAAGAAAAAUCUUGAUUGAUCUCAAUUGAACUAAACUUUCAACUUCAAAAUAUACAUUUAAACAUCUUAAUUUGGUUUAAGUUGACUUCAUUAUCCUAGAAAAUGCACAUCUGGAAUUGACCCUCUUAAAUGAGUAUGUAGAUGUGCAUUUUAGAAAUUAUUCGUAAACACACUUAUAUUAAAUUGAAGUAUCUUGAUGAUCAGUGGCACAACUAUAGUCUGAAGAACACCUUUCUUUCGAAAAUUACAUUAUAUAUCCGUCAAAUCUUACUUUAUAUUGAUAUAUAUAAAAUAUCUUAAACACUAGCAAAACAAAUGGAUACCUACAACACAAUGAUAUAUAUAUAUAUAUAUAUAUAUAUAUAUAUAUAUAUACAUAUAUGAGACUUGCUAGCUAUCAGAUUCAAUUGAUUGAUUGUUGUAAAUUUUUUUAAAUGCCUAAAUUUGACGUGAACUAAUUGAGCAUAAGCUUGGUGACAAUUGAAUGUAAAAGUAUACAAGGGAUGUAAGAUUGAAUCUAGAGUUACUUUUUUAUUUAGUUUUAUUAUUCAAUAUUUGACAUCCUUCAUUACAUUUCUUAUUAUGUCACUAUGAAUGUCUAGACACAUCUAUUAUUAGUUAAGAUUAAAUAUACCACUUGCUUGUUGUUAUGCAUGGCAAUCAGAAAAGGAAAUUAUCACAGACAUUGGCAGUUGGCUUAUGAAAAAACUUUAUAAAACAGAAACAGAUCAAUCAGAAAAUUAAUUGAUUUUUUUUUAUAGAAAAAACAUUCUUAUAAAUGCAAAGGAUUCAAGCAUAAAAUCAUACAUAUCAGAAAAUAACAUAAUAAACGUACUUUUAUUUCUACAUUACAUAUGAUUAAUUCAUAAAAUAAAGUUGGUGUACAUUUAGUGUAAUUUUCUUUUUAUGAAAAAAGACAAAUUAUUGAAAUAUACAUGAGAAAAACUAAAUACAAAACUGUUGAUUAAAUACAAAACUGUUGAUGUUAUGUCCGUCCUUUAUUUGUUCGCUUAUAUAAAAAAGUAAAUACAUGUCAUAAGAUUAACUUUAAAAAUGUUGGGUUUAUGAUCCAAAAUUAAAGGUGUUCAAUAGAGAAUUGACACACCUAAUUAAUGAUUUUGUUAUUCACCUUGUACCAUAAAAAUAAUAUAGUAGUUUUGCUUUUUUAAAGGAGAAAAGUCAUAAAGUGACAUCUGAACUUGUUCCGGAUUUUUAAAAAGACAUCUUAAUUAUACAGAUGUCCUAUUACCCCCCCUAAACUAUUCCGAACUUAUAUUAUUACAUCAUUAUUGGAUCAAUUCUAAUCAUUGUGUGACACAUGUUAAUUCAAUUUGAAAUAUUAUUUUUUUAAUUUUAAGUUUUUCUUUAUUUUAUUAUCUUACUUUUUGACUUAUUUUAGUUUUAUUAUUUUUAUUUUAAUAUCAUUUCAACUUUUUUAUUGAUCUUCCGUCCCAACUAUCAAACUUUCUCCAUUUUCUUUCUCUUUUCUUCUUCUUAUCUGGUCAAAUUUAUUACUUUCCAAAAUUUUACUAUUUUUUAGACUUUGUUGAGUUAUUGAUAACAAAACUAAUUAUAUUUCUAAGAAAGAUAAAAAAUUUGAAGGUAUCAUCAUUUAAUUUAUCUCAUUUCCAUAUAAAUUCAAAACUAGAAAUGAUAAUUUUGAAAGCAUAAGGAUUCUCCGAAAAUUGAAUAAUUUUAAUUAGAAUUUGGAUUAAAAACUAAAUAAUGUCUACUAAUCAUCUUGAAAUCUAAUGGGUUUAUCACAUUUUUCGAAAUGUAUUAAAAUAUCUAGAUGUAAUUUUAAAAUUAAAUAGAGUUAAACUAAUAGUAGAAUAAAAGAGAGAUGGAGUUGUGGUCAAAAUUGACAUUGAAAGUUAAAAGUCAAUGAAGAUGACAAUGAAUUAUUAAAGAAGAAGGAAGAAAGAAAAAGAAAACAAUAACAAGGAGAAAAAUUUAAAAUAAUUAAAAAAAAUAAAAAAUAAAUUAUAUAGUAAAAUUCUUGUAAAAACAAAAUUAUACAUUUUUUGUUUGUUCACGCUCUUUAAGAGAGUGUAUUCAUUCUCCAUGCCAGGUGGACAAAAAAUGGAAUAACAUCAGUUCAGGAUUGUUUGAGAGGGUAAUAGGACACUUGCAUAGUUUAGUUGUCUCAUUGAAAAUUCGGGAUAACUGCAGGUGUCACUUUAUGUCUUUUCUCUUUUUAAAUCUAUAAAGUAGCUAAAGACAUGUCAUUCACAAAGAAAUUUGUAGCUAAAAACAUGUCAUUCUGAAACAAUAUAUAUACUUUUUUUAAAAAAAUAUCAAGUGACAACUAAAUUUAAUCGAAUUUUCAAGAAGAUAUCUUAACUAUACGGGCGUUCUACUCAGGGGUGGAGCUACAGCCCGUGAAGGGUGGUCAACUGACCACCUUUUGUCGGAAAAUUAAAUCAUAUGCAUAGGCAAUAUACUUUGUGUUAUUUCGUUAUAUAAAUAUAUGCACACACUAAAUAUCAGUGGAGGUUGAUAGUCUAGUUGUAAGUGUGUUCAGUUCAGUGCAAAAUGUCUGCAGUUUGAUUCAUAGUGAGGCUAAUGUACAAUAACCAUUUUUAAGUUUAAAGAAAAAAAUGAGAAAUGAAUAUGCAAUUUUUUUUCAAACCCACUUACUAUUAAUAAAUAAAUUGCACACCCAGUACCUUAAAAAAUUUACUCUACCAAUUUCGAACACCCUUGACAAUCUUGAACUGAUAUCAUAACAUUAUCUUUUGUCCAUUUCACAUAAAGAUAUUGUGCACUCUCUUAAAGAGAGUGAGCAACCAUAUAUAACUAAUAUAAAUUAAUUUUCGGGUUAAAUAAAUUGUUAAUUCACCAUAAUUCUUUUAUAUACUUUAAAAAUUGUGAAAUGUUAUGGCUAUAAAAACAUUUUGGAACUAACAAAUUCAUAAUUUUUGUUUCAACAUCUAAAGUAGGAAUUCACAUUCAAAAUUUGAAAAUGAAGAUAAAAAUUGAGAUAGAAGGAAUAAUAUUUAUCGUUACAGACAUGCAUGAUGCAUAACUUAUGCAGCUAUUUAAUAUUUGCGUACACCAAGGCCAUGUGUAGAUAUAGGAUAGUCACUGCUAAAAUAAACUAAAUUUUCCAUGAAAAUUUGAAAAGGGUCAAAAGUAUUUAUGAACUAUGCGAACUAGAUUGUUUCUGUCUUCUGUUAUAUUUUAGGAUUAAAAAUACUCCGUCAUUAUUACAAGAGAUCACAAAUACCUCUCAAGAGUUAACACUCAAAACUUUUAAUGACGUGGCUAGCCAUAUGAACUUGUCCCUCCACUUAAGCUGCCAAUUAAGGGAGGGACAUUAAAAGACUAGUCUUUGUUCUUUUUAUAUUACUAUUUUCAUUCAUUUUUUAAUUGUCAUAGUUUUCUUUUACUACACUAGUUCACUUAUAAUUGUCAUGAUUUAUUUUUUAGAGUCAAAUUUUAGAAAUUUUGACUAUAUUUUAUGUGAAUUUUUCAUCAUUUUGGUAUGCAAAAAAAUUUCAAUUUAUAGUACCUUUGUUAUAGCUUUUUAAUAUUUAAAUUAUGUUUUAAAUAUCAAAUUAAUGUAAUCUAAUUUAACUUUGAAAUUAGUCAAAUUGACUGUCUAGAAGCGCAACAUGACAAAUAAAAAUAGACGGAGGGAGUAAUAACUUUGACUAAGAUUUUAUGAUGUACUUUUUCAUCAUAUUAUGUAAGAAAUUAGAAUAUAUAGUAUUUUCGUAUAGCUUUGGCACUUUUUUUUUAAAUAACGAAUUAAUGUAUUCUAGUUUAAUUUUAAAAAUUAGUAAAAUUACCUUUUGAUAAAUAUGACAUAACAAUUAAAAGUGGGCCCUGGAAGUAUAUUUUAAGGAGAGAAAUAAGUAAAAAUAUACUUUUUGUAGGUAAAAUUAUUAAAUAAUUUAAACAAAUAUCCUUUUUGUUUCUUACAACUUUGAUUUUUUUAAAAAAUCAUGUCAGAAAACAUAAAUUAAAAAUUAAUUAAAUAGGUUUGACAAUGCGUAGGUAAAAUAUUUAUAAAAAGGUGACUUUGAGGUUAUGAAAAAGAGUUGACUGACUUUCUAAGAAAAACUUCUAGCUGAGGGAUCUUGUGAGAUAUUAUCUUUUUAAUGUUAAUGAGUAUAUGUAUAUUUUUCAUUUUCUCUUUACUAAAUUUAGGGAUAAUUUUGGAGACCUCCUCAAGAUAUGAUUCAAUUACAGUGUACCUCUAAGGGCGAGGCUACCCAAGGGGCAACACUGUCAAGCUACACCCCUUCACCGAAAAAUUACAUUGUAUAUAUUUAUUUGACAUGACGUUUUACAAAGAACGAGAACUCAUUGACAAAAAUAGAAAUGGAGAAGAAAAAGUAUUCACACUCAUAUUACUGGUUGAAGCGACAUAAGCAGAAAAUAUAAGAAUGCUCUAAUUAUACAUCAGAACUUGCUUCCCGUUUGGUAUGCGAUAUGAUAUCAUGAUAUUGAAUUAUGAAAUGCUAUCAUGAUAUUUAAUCAUGAGAUGAAAUUGAAGUUUUAUUUGUGUUGGUGUGAAAUUUUAUAUUAAUAGAAAUAUAUAUUGUAUGUUACAUUAUAUAUCAUGUUAUGUCUAUUGAUGAACAUUACAGUUGUGCCUCUUUACUCUCAUCAAUUGUGGAAGAAAGUGAUUGUUAGUUUUUAGCAAAUUAUGUAACCACCAACUCUUCAUUUCAUCCAUUAUUCUAUAUUUGUGUCUUGUAACUUACGUUACAUUGGAGCCAUUCAUUUGGCAAAUUUAUGAUCCACUAUCUCCUAUUCAUUGCAAGAAAGAAUUCAUCACCUAUAAAUUUUGUAGUCUUAAUUUGUGUUUGGAUACAAGAAGAAACAAGAGAAGUACAAGAAAAUAUAGAGUGCGAAAGAUGAGUAGUAUAAUAUUGAGGUUUGUGUAGUGAAAGAGAGAUUUGAGACACACAAAGUGUUCUAAGUCUUUAACUAUAUUCACUAUACAAAAGAGAGUUUUAUUUGUUGAAGGAAUGUUUUCUUUUGUGGAGCUUUGGACUCUUCAACUAAUCUAGAGUUAUUUGAGUUAUACGCUCUUGUUGAGCUCUUGUAUCGAGGAAAAGUCAAGAGUUAUACUACUGGACCAUUGUAUAUUAAUCCACAGUGGGCUUGAAUCUCCUUAAAUAGAGCGAGAUAUUCGUAUUUCGGCCUAAAGAUUUGUUUGUACAUUUUUGUUAAUUUUAUGUCAACUGUAGUUUAUUGUAUGUGUUGUAUAUUACACCAACAAUUUUAAGGAGAUUCAUGUUUUGUUACUUUUGAAAAAAUAUGGAUAUGAAGAUAGGGAUCACAACAUCUGUCAUGCUCUGAGCUACCCCUGAUACGUGGACACGGAACCUAGGACCAUAAGUGAUCCCAAGAUAACCUUGCUGACAUUAUCAUGAGCAUACUAAAGAUAAUAAAAUUAAUGCGGAAGCUAAAUCAUAAUUUAAACUUAAAAGAUGGGGAGUACCCAUAUUUUAUAACUCAGAUAAAUGAAAUAUUGAUGAGUUUAAUACAAAGAAGUUACUAAUUCAACACUAAGCUGAAAGUAUCUAUGUCUAAAAUAAGCCUCUAAAUGACUAAGAAUAAUGGGACAUGCCCCUACUAAGCCUAGCGAAAAUUGAAACUAAAGGACUAAAUAAUGAAAAGUAACUCAUGACUAUUGUCCUCGGCGAAUCAGGACUCACCACUCAAUCUGCUGAACUAAAAAUAGGAAAUCGAUCUAAGCGUGAUAUUGAUGCAGCGAACCUGAACCUACAUCACGAGAAGAUGUAGCUCACAUAUGUGUUAGUACUUGGAAGGUAUGUCGAAUGUAGGAUAAAAUAAAGAUGAAAUAAAACAUAACUGAACAAGUACAAAAAAUAACAAGUAUAAUAAUAUGAACAUCAUAUCUAUUAACUGAAUGCAAUAACUAAUUUAUAACAUGCUGAAACAGAAAACUAAAUAUACUGAUAAAUGGUCAAUGCAAGAGAGUCUUAGUAAACUGUGGGACCUACUAAUAACCGAUAAUAAAGUAACAUGAUCUAAAUGUGGAGUCCGAUAUAUACACCCCAUCGAGAGGACCCCAUAUACCCUGUCAGAAGAAUAAAGACAUGCUGACGUGAUCACUAAACUAAUUUCCCAUAGAGGGGACUUACAACCUAAUUGGCUAGUAGUUCUCGGACUAAUUAGGUAUGCUGAACCAUAGUCCAGCUCGCUAUUUUUCUACUCCCAAUAAGUUAUAUUUACCUGAUUAUGACUAAGAUCCUAUAAAUACUGGAUAUCUCAAAAUGUAUUAUGCAAACUGAGAAUGCAACGUUUAAUCUUAUAAUUAUGCAUUAAUAACUAAGGCAUGUAUAAUUGAAUAACUGAAAUAUUUGACCUAGCAUGUGUUAUUCAAGAAUUGAAGAAAUACAUAGCUAGGUUCUGAAAUUCAUGCGAUAAAUUGAACAAUAACUUUAUAAUCUUAUUUGGAACAAUUAUUUAAUAAAUUCAUCAAGUUCUAUCGAAGUUCUAGAAACCCUAGGUUUAAUCAUGAUAAUAGAAUCAAGAACUAACUGAAAACUAGAAACCCAAUGGGUGAAAGGAGACCACUAGUGAUAUCCCCCAUACCUGGUGAUGAAAUUCACAGAGAAAUAUUAAGAUUUUGGGGGCAGGAACUGUGGGAACCUUACUGACUUCUUCACUAGGGUUCAUGACCUUUUUCUCCUUUCUUGGUUCUAAUUUUCUAUGUUUUGAUUAAUGAUUUGACUUAGGUAAGUUUUAGUUAUGUUUCUAGGCUUAAACUGACUAAAAUCUUAUGAUUUAGGAUCACAACGACGUAUCUUGGGGUUUAAGUGAAGUGGGAGAUGACCAAAAGACCCUUGAGUUAAUUUUUGUCGAACCAAACGACGACCUGGAUAGACGGUCCAUCGUUCCAUCGAUGGUCAAUCAUUUGAGUCUAUUCGACAGUCCUUUACUAAAACGGGCAUAACUUUUUACUCAGAGGAUUGAUCUUAGACAAGUUGGUGGCUAUGGAAAGUUGAUUACAUUAUCGAUCUGUGGAUAUUCCAUAGGACACCUAAUUAAUUUUGUGUUAAGAGUUAUGAUCAAUUGAAGUUGACCCAACUAUAUUCCCCCCUAAACUGUCUGCUAAUUUCCAUCUAUGGUAAAACCUACAGACCAUAGAUUGAAUGAUAGCACGUGAUGUUGAACCAUGGUUCAUAUCAGAGAGUGGGUGAAUGGGAUGUCGACGACCGUCACAGACUACAGACAAAAUUAUGACCAACGGACCGUAGGUCCGUCCAUCAAUCAGGACUUAACAAAUUUUCCUGGGCUGAGAUAUUUGGGGUUUCUGACCAUAUUAACGGAUGUGCAGGAUGGACUGUUGGUCAGGAUAGGGGUCUGUCGAUGUCCACCGUUUGUUGCACCUGUAGAUUUUUCUUAAAGAUUGUUUUUGGUGUGUUUUGGAUAUUCGGUGUUACAUUAUCUCCCCGUUGGGACCAUUCUUCCUAGAAUGAAGACUAAACUAGCUGGAUUAGAGGGAGAGAGCUGCAAUCCCUACUACUAAACAUAGAAAACUGAGUUUCUAAAUCAAUUGAUUUCCGAGAACAAUCAAAUACGCUAAAAAUGCAAGCAAAACUGAGGGAACAUGAUUCUAAGACUAAAUUCACGCAUGAAUGACUGGAAAAUUCAAGAGGAACUAUUACCUCAAGCUGGAGUGGAAUCGGUAGGAAAAAAUUAAGGAUAUUUGGCUUCAUGGACGCUUUUGCUUCUUAAGUAUCUCCCUCUACAGACAGAAUCUUACACAAAACCUUCACUGAAAAACUUCUUUAUUUCUCAACCUUCUAACUUGACGGUAAAGAAUCUCAACUGGUACAUCCUCAUAAGAAAGAAUAUCUCUCACCACCACGCUCUAUAAUGGAACUACAGAGGUUGUAUUACCCAAACAUUUCUUCAAGAGUUAGAUAUGGAAGACCGGAUGCACUGCUGCUAAUUCUGCUGGCAACUCUAACUCAUACGCCACCUUGUCAAUCCUUUUCAAGAUCUUGUAAGGGCCUACAUACCUAGGACUGAGCUUCCCUUUCUUGCCAAACCUCAUCACCCCUUUCAUAGGUGAGACAUUAAAAAAAACAAUCAUCAACUUGGAACUCUAGUUCCCUCCUACUUACAUAUGCGUAAUAUUUCUGAAGACUCUAGGUUGUCCUAAUCCUAUCUCUAAUGAGCUGGACUUUCUCCAUAUCAUAAACACAUGAAUCUGGACCUUGCAAAGAUAUUUUACCUACUUCAAGCCAACCACCAUGAGAUCUACAUCUACGCACAUACGAAGCCUCACAAGGGGCCACCUAAAUGCUGGAAUGGUAGCUAUAGUUGUAGGAAAACUCAAUAAAAGAAAGGUGAUCAUCCCAAAUACCUUUGAAAUGUAUCAUAUAUGCUAUCAACCUAUACUAUAGGGUGUGAAUGGUACGCUUUGUCUGUCCAUUUGUCUGUUGAUGGAAUGUUGUACCAAGGUUAACCUGAGUAACAAGACUUUUCUGAAAUGACUUCUAGAAAUGAGAGGUAAAAAGAGGACCUCUAUAUGAGAUGAUAAAUAAAGGAAUACCGUGCAACCUCACAAUUUCGUUAAUGUAAACCUUGGAAUAGUCCUCUGUCGAAUCUGUAGUCUUAACCGCUAAGAAGCGAGAAUACAUAGUAAUUUUGUCAACUAUAACUCAAAUGGAGACAUGUUGUCUGCGAGUACGAGGUAACCCUUUGAUGAAACCCAUAUUAAUAACUUCCCACUUCCAAGUAGGAAUAUCACUCUGUUGAGUCAUACCUCCUGGUUUCUGAUGUUCUACCUUGACUUGGUGGCAAUUGGGGCACUUAUUCAGAAAGUCUUUUAUAUCAAUCUUCAUACCAUUCAACCAAUAGACUUCCCGCAGAUCAUUGUAGAACUUAGUGGCAGCUGGAAGAAUAGAAUACCUUGAGUUAUGGGCUUCUGCAAGAAUGUACUAUCUUAACUCGCCCAUAAAAAGAAAACACAAUCUACUUUGGUAGCGAAGUACACCAUCUCCCCAUUGAGAGAAAACCUUCGCUUUCUGAUUGUGUACUUCACCCUUAUGUUCGAGCAAGAUUGCAUCACUGUCUUGCUUUUCCUUAACCUCCACUACCAAAGAAGAUUCUACCUUAUUCUGAACUAUUACACCAUUGUCUGAUAUGCUCUUAAGGCGAAAAUCGAAGCGAGCAAGCCUAUGAACAUCCUUCGCUAGCUUCUUCCUUUCUUCCUCAACAUGGGCUAGACUACCCAUAGAUAAUAUGCUAAGAGCAUCUGCUACUACAUUCGUCUUACCAGGAAGAUAAUACACACUUAUAACAUAAAACUUAAGGAACUCAAGCCAUCUCCUCUAGCGAUUAUUCAACUCUUUCUGGGUGAACACAUAAUGAAGGCUCUUAUGGUCAAACACAUCUACUUUAAGUUCUAUCGAAGUUAUUGAAAUCCUAAGUUUAAUCAUGAUAAUAGAACAAAGAACUGAUAGAAAAUUAGGGACCUAAUGGGUGAAAGAAAUUCACUAGUGAGAUCCCACAUACCAGGUGAUGAAAUUCACGAAGAAAUAUUCAGAUUUCGGGGCUACAACUGCUACAACCUUGUUGAGUUAUUGACUAGGGUUCUUCGCCUUUUGCCCUUUCAUUCUUCUAAUUUUCUAACCUUUUGAUUAAUUAUUUGACUUAGGUGAGUCUUAGUUAUGUUUCUAGGCUUAAAGUGACUAAAAUCUUAUGAUUAAGGAUCAAAACGACAUAUCUUGAGGUUUAAACAAAGUGGCAAAAGACCAAAAGACCCCUGAGUUAAAUGUUGUCUGACCAAACAAUGACCUAGACAAACAGUCCCUCGUCUGGGUCUGUUCGACAAGCCUAUAGUAAAAUGGGAAUAAUUUUUUUACGUGAAGGUCUUAUUUUAGCAAGGUAGGUGGCUACGGAAAGAUAAUUCAAUUUUCUAUCUGUGGGUAUCUCAUGGGACACCUAAUUAAUUUUUUUCUAAGAGUUAUGAUAGAUUAAAAUUGACCCAACUGUAUUUCCCCCUAAAAUGUCCGCUAAUUUCCAUCUACAGUCAGACCUGCGGACCGUAGAUAGAAUGACAGUUCCUGCUGGACUAUCGUGGUUUGUAUUAGAGAGUGGGUGAAUGUGUUGUCGAUCGUCGGUCACAUACUAUGGACUCUAGUCUGACUUACGGACCGUAGGUCCGCCCGUCGAUCAGGACUUAACAUAAUUUUCCUGUGCAGAGAUUUUUGGUGUUUUUGACCCCAUUGACGGAGGUACAGGACGAACCGUUGUUCAGGCUACGGUCCUUUGAUAGCUACCAUUAGCUGCACCUACAGAUAUUUUUGAAAAGCUUGUUUUUUGUGUGUUUUUGGUACGGGGUGUUACAUCAUUUUUCUGCUCAAAAAUCACUCUCUUCAAGAGAUAGAAGAGAAGACGUGUAUGGUAAGUAUUUUUCUACUUGAUCAAAAGUGGAGAAAAGGUAAAGAAAAAAAUUUACCUUGUACUUUCAGGAAUAAAUUGAAUCUACUUUUAAUGAAAAAAAAUGAUGUUUGAAUUCUUGAAAUAGUACGGGUUCAUGAAAUUAAAAAAAUCAUUGUGAAAUUCUGAUUUUUGCAUCUUAAAAAAAAAGCUCCAAAAGAGUGCUACAAGUACAUAUAAAUUAAUUGUGGGAUAAAAGACAUGUUAUUAUUUCGCAAUAAUGUGAUGAUUUUUAGAUCUAACAUGACACUUUUAAAUAAAUUAUGAAAGCCAUUUUAUGUAGUUAAUUAACAUAAAAUGUUAUGUUGAGAUAAAUUUCAUUCUUCAAAUGAAAAAAGAACCAUAAAACAUGCGAUGCAAUUUUCCUUGUCAAGUCACAUAAUAUGGAAAUAAUUAUGAAAUGAAAUUUUGUUUGUUGAGUUAGUCUUGCAACUCCUUUUUGAUUCGAUUGUUUAAGAAUGUUGUGAUAAAUAAAAAUAAAUGGAGUUUGCUAGUCUAAUAAAAAUAUUAGUUGUGACUAACAACUUGUCUUGAUAUUGUGUUUGCUGUACAAGUACUUUGAAGUUAGUAGCAAAUUAUAUGAAAAAAAUUUUGGUGUUAUUUAGUGGGAUGAUAAAAGGAAAUUACUUUUUUCCAUCUCUUUUAUGAAGGUUGAAGAAAAAACAAUAAAUAAAUUAAACUUCAACUAGUGAAAAAAUGAUCUGAAACACUUUAUUUUGAGAAAAUAUUUUUUUCUAAUUUUGAUCAAAGGUGAAAGCACCAAUAUAGUUGUUGAUUACAAAAUCGUUAUUAUAACGAUAAGUUUAGACUCAUGAGGAGAAAAACAUAAUACUGUUAGAUCAUAUUAAACGUUGGUAUACGAUGAAUGUUUAUUGUGUUAAAACUUGUGAUAAUCUUGCAGAUUCAUGAACCAAGGCCUUAGAAAGAUAAAGAGAUUGAAACACAUGGACCUGGAUGAAAGUUGAAGCUCAUAAAUUCUUAGUCAUAUAUGAGAAAAUCGAACUUGGGAACUACAGAUCUUAUAACCAGGUUCAAUGAGAAGAACAAAUCAUAUGAUUACUUUUUUGUGACAUGGACUACUGUUAAUUUAAACUCUUAAUGAAUGUUUGUAUCUCGUAUGAGUUGGGUGUAAAAUUAUAGGAGCACCCUUGACAUAUUUCACCUAUGUGGAUAUUAAAGCAGGUCACUUUCUAUGAGAAGGGGCUUAUUCUCAAAAACACUCAUGCAACAGCAAUAAGACAAGGUCGUUACAUGUUAGCUAUUAAAGGUGAAGUCAACACAUUCAUUAUUGUGUGUAAGCUGCAAUUUUUUAUUUCCGUUAAGCAUUCAUAGUUCAAAUCUGACUAAAGGUUCAAAGAUGAGCAUACCUUCAUUAUGCAAAAUAGUCUACCUUCAACAAAGUUGUGAAUAACUCUCUUAUCUUAAUACUAAAAUAAGUGUCGGAUUUUUGGUGUGAUAUUUUAAUAUUAAUUAAAAGAUAUAUUAUAUGUCACAUUAUACAUCAUGUUAUGCCUAUUGAUAGACAUUACGUUUGUGCCUCUUUACUCUCAUCAAUUGUCGAAAGAAAUUGAUAGUUAGUUUAUAGUAACUUAUAUAACCACCAACUCUUCAUUUCAUCCAUUAUUCUAUAUUUAUGACUUGUAACUUAUGUAACAUUUGAGUCAUUAUUAGGCAAAUUUAUCAUCCAUUAUCUCCUAUUCAUUGCAAGGAGGAAUUAUCACCUUUAAAAAGUGUAGUCUUCAUUUGUAUUGAGAUACAAAAAGAAACAACAGAAAUACAAGAAAAUAUAGAGUGAAAAAGAUGAGUAGUAUUAUAUUGAGGUUUGUGUAGCGAAUGAGAGAGUUGAGACAUACAAAAUGUUCUAAGUAUUCAAUAAUAUUCACUUUACAAAAGAGAGUAUUAUAUGUAGAAGGAAGAUGUUCUUUUGUGGAGCUUUGGACUCUUCAACUAAUCUAGAGUUGUUUGAGUUAUACAUUGUUGUUGGGUUGUUGUAUCUUAGAGGGGGAAAAUCAAGAGUUAUAUUGCUGGACCACUGUAUAUUAUGCCGCAGUGGGAUCGAAUCUCCUUAAAGAGAGCGAUAUAUCUGUUCCUCAGCCUAAAGAUUAGCUUAUACAUUUUGGUUCGUUUUAUUUCAACUUUAAUUUAUUUUAUUUGAGGUAUAUUACACUAUAAGUUUGGAUAUGCGAUAUAAAAUUUUGGUGUUGUAUAUUUUCUUAUAAACAUAAAAAUCUCAUUGAUUCUAAAAGUAUUAAAAUAACCCCAAUUAUUUAUUCGAUAUUAUCAAAUAAACAAAAAAUUAUAAAAUCUCAUAAUAAUUUUGUAGUGACCCUCAAAGUGAAAUAGGUCAAACUAGAGCUUCGCAUGUGUUUCAUGAGUUCAUAAUAUAUUAAAAUAAUAAAUUUUAGCAUUAGAGGGAAUGAGGUCAGUUUGAUAAGUUUUGAAGUCAAACAUCAAGGGACGAUCAAGAUGUUCGACGACUAGACGUCUAUGUUAUUGUGUGUGUAUAUGUGUGUUUAUGCAUGUUUUAUGUAUUUUUUGGGGUUCUAUUUGAUUGGAGAGAACCUAAGACCUAGAUGAGAAUUCAUAGGGUUUGACGUCCAGGUACAACUCCCCAAGGGAGACCCUAUGUGUCAUUGAGGAAGACCCAAGACUUUCCAAGAAAGCUGUUAAGCACUACUCAAAUGGCGACAGUAGUUGAAAGGCAAAAUUGAAUGACGCCCCAUUGUUUGGGGGCAUAGAUCCAUACUUAGUUAUGGGAUCUAAGCCCCAAAGAAAUGACUCUCUGACUUAAAUGACGCCCAUCAGGAUGGGUCCUUGUUAUGAAACAGAGUGAUGAUGUGGAGGAAAGCAAGAGUAAUGAAGCGGAGAACAACGAGGCUAAAUCGGAAGAUAAUUUUUUUUAGCCUAGAAGGAGCAAACGUGUGACAAUACCAUCUAAAAGAUUUAUUGACUUUGUCUAACAAAAUGUGGGGAGUAAAGUUUGCGCUAAAUAUGCGUCAAGUGGAAUAGCAUGUGUCGGAUAUAAAUCUAUUAUCUCUAGGCGAAGUUAGUUUAGACUAUCAUUGUUGCAUCGUAUCCCUAAUUCUUAUCCCUAUUUUCUUCUGUAAUUCUCUUCUCAUCUCUUCUUUGUUUCUUUUUCUUUCCUUGCAGUUCUCUGAAAUCUUAUUCAUUGUAAUUUCUUCAGUAAUUAAUAGAACGAUUAGUUUUUUGUUAUUGCGUUUGUUUCAAUCUUCAUUCUAACGACACCUAUUAGAUGGGUCCGUUAUUUGGAAGCCUACAAAAGUUGUUUGUGAUUCAUCCAUGAUUGGGGUAUUCUAGUUAAUUCAUCCCAAGACUUUUAAAAGAUAUUGACGGUUUUUUAGGGGUAUUUAGGUAUUUUAAGUUUGUUUGUACUCCUAGAACCUAAGUUUGUCUUCACUUUUGAAAAUCAAAACCUCCCACCCAAGAAAAACUCUCCCAAAACCCCAUUGAAGCUUGAACUCAAGGUAGAACUUGGAUUGAAGGUUUUGGGUGAUUUCUUCACCAAAUCUCAUGGGUUACUUCAUAGAAGGUAUGAUAGUUGAUCCUUGAUUCUUCUCUCAUGCAAGGAGCCAAUCCAAAGAAUUUUCAAAAAGGGUUUCAAAUUCCUAAAUUCUUCUAUUUUGAAUUUAAGUAUGGGUUCUUGCAUAAAAAUGUUUUAAUGAAAGAAAUAUGAAAUUUUUCAAUGUUAGUUAAUGAUUUUACUGUCAAAAACCCAAUAAACCCAUGAAUAUGCAAAUCCUCAAAUUUUAAAUUAUGAAGUGUAUUUAAUGUAUAUGACUAGAUUAUUCUAGAGAAGUGUUUCUUAUAUCAUAUUGUGAAUUACCUACUACCUUUGUGCUUUAUUAUGAUGAUUUUUUUGGAGAAUUGAGAAAAGGUGGCCUCGUCGACAUUACUUAAUGAAUUUUGAAACAAUGUGGCCUCGUUGACCUUAAUUUUUGUAUUAUGAUUUUAUCAUGUUAUAACUUGAUUAUGUGAGUGUUAUGAAGGUUAUGAUGAUUUAAGUGUAUAUGUGAAGUCUAAGCAGGAGUUCUCCUAGUUGAUUUAUGUGUGUCUAGGGGACCUCUUUGGUAAGGUGUUAUGAUUUUGUGGUGAACUAGAUAAAGAACCUCUUCAUAUACUUCUUUUUGUGAACUACACUAUUAGAACAAAUGCUAUCACCAAGUGAGUAUGUCUUGGACAGUCACUCUAAAUAAGAUGACAUUAGAGGACAAAGAAACCCUUCAUAUUCCUUAACCAUGAUCCUUCAUGGGUUGUGUCCUAGUUUUAUCCUUGCGUAGUAGAACACCCUUUAUCAAAGUAGGAUUGACUCUGGAUUCCAUGCUUAGAUAGCAGUGUCUAUGUAAUUUAUUGCUCUUUUCUCGUUAUGUGGGAUAAAUGCUAGUAUUGGAUAAGUUCUAUUAAGUUUAGGUAGUAGAAUUGGAGAUUAUCUAGACAUUGCACGAUUAGGCUUUGAAGAUGUUAUUAUGUGACUCCUUAGGUCUUCUCCAACACCAUCAUGUGACUGUGCUUAUGUGUUUUGAUGUAUUCUUGAUGUUAUCUCGUGAUACCUGAGUUUUUUGUGAAGUUACUCUAAAGUCAAUGUAAGGUGCUAUAAAUUGAGUAUGUUUUAGAAUGUGUAUUAAAUGUGAUGUUUGGUGUUUAAAUGUUGUCGUUAUGCUUAUAUAUGAAGUCUUAAUAUAAAAGUGCAUAUUGUGAUACAAAUGUUCCUUUAUCAUGAUUUUAUGCAUUAUGCUAUAUUAGUGCAUGCAUUGUAAUUUUGGAAUUGGUCCAUAUUUCCCUCAAUUUCCCCAAAAAAUCUCCUCUAUUUAAGCCCUUGUCUGACCUUUGUUUCUUUUUUUGGAAAAAAGUUUAAGGGAAAAAGGGGCCAAAAUAUUUUUGGGAGAACAGAAAAAAAAGGUUGGAAGAAUGUUUUUGAGAAGAGGCGAUAAAAGCAACGAUUAAGCUUUCUUUCAUUUAAUACUAAGUAAAAAGCUUGAAAAAUAGAUAAAACAUAUGUUUAAAGAAUAUAAAAAUAGCGAGAAAAAAAAUAGAAUGAAAUGUAAAAUACUAUAUAAUUAAACUAGCUAGUAAAAUAUUUAAAUAAAGUAAAAUAUUUUGAGAUGAUUUUCGAGUAAAAAUAAAAUAUACUAAUGAUAUAUAUAAUUAUGUAAAUCGUAUAUAUUAUCUUCAAAUUAUAAAAGUGAUGGGGUUAGUCUAAAAUAACCUACAAACAUUUUAAACUUUAUAAAAUAUAAUUAUUUCAAUUUGUUUAGAAUUAAGAAACUCAAUGACUAAUUCAUGUUAUGGAGGUGCAAAAUUGGGUGUCAACAAGUUGUAUUGUGAAGUUGCCAAUUUGUGUCUUAAAGAAGCGCUGUCUAACUGAGGUAUAAUAUGAAUGUGAAGCAUGAUUUAGUGUGAAUUAUGAUUAUUGUAGCAUGAUUAUGUGUAGAAGUCAAAGUUAUGAAUAUGGUGGUUAUGUGAAUAGUGUUCUCACAUAUACUCUCACACACACUUAGAAUGAGUGAAUGAAGUUAAUUAAUGAAAAUGGGGGAUUCUAGGGUAGACAUCAUUCAAGAGUAGAGAUGAAGUGUCGAAAACCAACCAUUCUAUUCCUAAGAACUCUACUGAAUGAAGAAGGAGGAUUUUGGGGUGGACACUCUUCGUGAGUUGAGAUGAAGUGUUCAGUAGCAACCUCCCUAUUCUAAAGAGUUUUCUGAAGAAAUAUUGGACGUUGGAUACUCUUCAUGUCUUGAAAUGUAAUAUUAGUAACCUCUAGAGAUUAGUAUAUUUCGUGAGGUGCGAUGUAAUUUUAUGUAAUCCCUUGAACUAUAGCUAAUGAAUGUAAUGAAUGUAUAAAACUCUGUGGGACCUUAUGCUUAGCAUCGAGAGGAUUUGAAGAAGGAGUGGAUCCUCCUAGUGAGUAGAGAUGUUGUAUCCAAUGUACCAUCUGAAAGAGUACUCUUCGUGAGUUGAAAUAAAUCAUUUAUAAGCAAUCUCCUUAUCCCCUUACUUUGGGUGCACAUAGGUUUAGCAUUUGAAGAUCCAUGUAAAGGUUAAGAGAAUGACCCUAACUAAGGCAAGAGGGAUCUUUCAUAGGUAGGGGUUAAUACCGUGAUUCCAUGCCUAGCUCUCAUUGUUAAUGUUGGUUAAAUCUAGCCCACACAAACGAAUGUAAAUGAACUAAGUCUUCUUAAGGGUGUACUACUUAGGGUAGGUGGUGGAAUGGGAUGCUAUCUAUCCAUUGCACAAGUAGACAUUUUGAAUAAGUCUUGAUGUGUCCUUAUAUGAAAAUGUAUGAUGGGUUACUAUAUGAUGUUAAUGAAGUAAGUUGACUUUAUGUCUAAUGUUAUUGAAGCAUAUUGAUAUUAUGUCUAAUAUUUAUGAAGUUAUGUAAAUGAUAAAUGUGAUGUGUCUAGUCUAGGGUGUUCCUAAUGGGCAUUAAGUGUAAUUAUUAAUAUGGGGUGCUACUUUCACAUUGCACAAAGUGUAACUUGGGGGUUUUCUUGGAGGAUUGUCUUCAUGUGAAGCUCUUGAAUGUAUGUGUGUUUCCUCUAGUACCUUAAGCAAUAGAUGUUGACUUGUAAAUGAAAUGAAGUAUGCUUAUAUAUAGUAGUCUUAAAGAUCACUAAGGUGGGUAUUGAAGUGGUUGUAUGAGCGGUCUCUUUAUGUAUUACCUAGGUGAGGCUUAACUAGGAAUUAGAGUUUAUAAUUUCUUAAGUUACAUAGGUUUGUAAUUUUUUGUGAAUUAACUAUAUAAACUACUAAUAUAUCAUCGCAUUUGAAGAAUAACGCCAGGAUUAUAAUUUUAUAAAAUAAUGACUGGAUUCAAUUUUCGUACCUUUCCUUUGAUUUCUCAUAUUUAUAUGCGAAGUUAAUUCAACACUAAUUCCAUAUGUAAGGUAAUCUCGUAAGCUAGAUUUGAGAAGAAAAGUUGAUAUGUUUGGGUUUGUAUUAUAUGUAUCAAGAGAGGUGGAUGGUGAAUACUAAAAACUCGACGGUGUCCAUUGUAGAAGAAUUUUUCUAUGGACAAGAUAACCAAUUUAGGGUUUUUCCAUGGUCCAUUGGAUAUAAUCCUAAGGAGAAAAUGACAUUUGUUGUGGUUUUGAUUCUUUUUAUCGAACUUAUCUCUCCAGAUUUGUUUGCAAAGAAGUCUUUGUUAUGUAUAGAAUCGGCAUAUGGAAAUCUAACAGCCAUAGAUGAAGCUACUCAAAUCAAGCAAAGAUGCAGCACAACUAGGGUCAAGGUUAUUCUUGAUCUAGUGGAAAAGCUUCCAAAUCAUAUAAGAUUGUAGUUUGAGGAUAGAAAAUCCGGUAAGUAGAAUGAGGGAUCACUAGAUUAUACCCUCAAAUGCUUGGAUCACUCUUCUUCUUUAUCAACAUUUAAUAGAUAAAUAUAUAAUAAUAUUACUUGUGCCAUUUCAAAAUAACAAUUUAUGACUCGUGUGAUUUGUGUAUAAACUAUAUAAACUAUUAAUAUAUCAUCACAUUUGAAGAAUAACACAAAGAUUAUAAUAUUAUAAAAUAAUGAUUGGUUUAAAUUGCCAUACCUUUCCUUUGGUUUCUCACAUUUAUAUGCGAAGUUAAUCCACCAACAAUUGCAUAUCUAAGAUAAUCUCGUAAGCUAGAUUUGAGAAGAAAAAUUGAUAUGUUUGGGUUUGUCUUAUAUGUAUCGAGGGAGGUGGAUGGUGAACACUAGAAACUCAAAGGUUUCCAUUGUAGAAGAAUUUUUCCAUGGACAAGAUAAACAAUUUAGGGUUUUUCCAUGGUCCAUUGGAUAUAAUCCUAAGGAGAAAACGACAUUUGUUGUGGUUUUGAUUGUUUUUAUUGAACUUAUCUCUCCAGAUUUGUUUGCAAAGAAGUCUUUGUUGUGUAUAGAAUCGGCAUAUGGAAAUCCAACAGCCAUAGAUGAAGCUACUCAAAUCAAGCAAACAUCCAGCACAACUAGGGUCAAGGUUAUUCAUGAUCUAGUGGAAAAGCUUCCAAAUCAUAUAAGAUUGCAGUUUGAGGAUAGAAAAUCCGGUAAGUUGAAUGAGGGAUCACUAGAUUAUACCCUCAAAUGCUUGGAUCACUCUUCUUCUUUAUCAACAUUUAAUAGAUAAAUAUAUAAUAAUAUUACUUGUGCCAUUUCAGAGUAACAAUUUAUGACUCGUGUGAUUUGUGUAUAAACUAUAUAAACUAUUAAUAUAUCAUCACAUUUAAAGAAUAACACAAAGAUUAUAAUAUUAUAAAAUAAUGAUUGGUUUAAAUUGCCAUACCUUUCCUUUGGUUUCUCACAUUUAUAUGCGAAGUUAAUCCACCAACAAUUGCAUAUCUAAGAUAAUCUCGUAAGCUAGAUUUGAGAAGAAAAAUUGAUAUGUUUGGGUUUGUUUUAUAUGUAUCGAGGGAGGUGGAUGGCGAACACUAGAAACUCAAAGGUGUCCAUUGUAGAGAGUUUUCCAUGGACCGGAGAACCAAUGUAGAGUUUUUCCAUGGUCCAUUGGAUAUAAUCCUAAGGAGAAAACGAUGUUAGGUGCGGUUUUGAUUCUUUUUAUCGAACUUAUCUCUGUAGUUUUGUUUGCAGAGAAGUCCUUGUUGUCUAUCGCAUCGGCCGAUCGAAAACCAAAAGUUUUAGAUAAAGCUACUCAAGUAAACCAAGAUCAAGCAGAACUAGGGUCAAUGUUAUAGUUGAUCUAAUGGAAAAGCUUCCAAAUCAUUUAAGAUUGCAGUUUGAGGAUAGAAAAUAUGGUAAGUUGAAUGAGAUUUUUCAAGAGAUUUAUAUGAUAACCCACCUUUGUAUUAUAAUUAUAUUAAGCACCGAUAUCAUGAAAAAGAUAAUUGUCGUUUGAUGUGGAAAUAAAAUUAAAACAACAAACAAAUUGAUGAUACAAUUGAAUUUUUUUCAAAAGGUACUCUCAAUAGUUAAAAGUAUCAAUGUGAUGUGAGAGAAAUAUUAAAUGAAAAAAAAGGUUUAUCAAUAUUUGGUUGUUUCCACUUCUAAGCAAAAUCAUACACAGUCAAUAGAUGUUUUACGAGAAAUAUUGGUGUCCAAAAAACUGAACAUAAAGGGAAAACAUCAAUAGUUGUGGUUGAUGUUCCGCGAGUUGGUUUUGCCAAUAAUUAAUGAAGUAAGGAAGAAAACUAAUGGAGACAUCUGAUGUUGAAGAUGCUGAAAAUUCUGGGCAGUAUGUUUUGCAAGUUUAAACCAAUAUUGUAACUAAAAAUUGGACUCUGGUUGCACACAAAAAUUCAACUUGUCGCCGAAGUCUUUUCCUGACUUGUCAAAAUAAUUGUCCAUGUAGUGAAAAGGGUGUGACAGAAAAUUUUCAUGCAGUGGGAAGAGACAAGAUAUUAGUAAUGUCUCAAGAGACCUAUUAUGUUCAAAUAACAUAUAUGUUCUAUCGAACUACUAGAAAUUCAUCGUUUAAUGACCACAAAAAUAGUUAAAAUGUAGUAGAAAAUUGAGUUUUUCGACGACUUUCUGACUAUUUUUGGGUAGUCAGCAUAUUGAAUGCUAUAAAAUAUUUACCAACUACAGUAUUAAGACUUAGCCGAUUACGGUAGUCGGAAAAUAUAUUAAGCUACUACUGACCAUUAAACUAUCUAAAUGAGUGACUACAGUAGUCGCAAAAAUAUUAAAAUAAUAGUUUAUUAAUUUUAAAAAAUCCAAACUACAUUUGUCGUAGUAUUGAAGUACUGAAUUCUUUGAAUUAAUAUAUCUUGCGACAACCGUAAGUCGGCAUAUAUAACUUAUUUAUAAUCAUUAAGUAUUUUUCUGAGUAUUGAGGUCAGAAUAUAUCAAUAAUUUAUUAAAUAAUUAUUUAGGUACUCUCCGCUUGCUAUAGCAGAGAAUAUUAAUUUUUUGAAGAAGUUAGGUUGUUUUGCUAAUUACUGUGGUAAAAAAAUUGCAUUUUUAUAAAGAAAAAAUUGUUUAUUUCAUACACCAUCAGUUAAAUUAUACUACAAUUCAUUCGUGAAAAUUGAAAAAUAAAUCAAACAUCAAAUACAUUCCUAAUCAUUCAAAUUUCCAUUCAAUAUAAUUAAGUUUAAAAGUUCAAGCAUCACCUGAAGCAAGUCUAAUAAGUAUCAAUUUUUUAUACAAAACGAAAGUAAAGAGUUAAAGUAUACUAAUGCGUCUACAUGCAUCACCUUGGUUAUGACAACCUAUAUAAGAGAUAUUAAGAGUUAUAAUUGUCUAAGAGUGUUGUUAGAGGUUCUACAUUUUAAGUGCAUUGCUUGUUGGGUGUUUACUUUAUUAUUUUCUCAUGCGGGUUAGAUAAGUUUGAUUCUGCCUUAAUAAGUAGUCAAUAUCUAAAGUCAAAUUCUUAUAACUUAAACUCGUGAAAAGGUUGUAUUGUGAAAGGGAAUUUUAAUAAAAUCUAUCAUGAUUAUUCAUUAUGAGUAUGUGGUGGUUAGUUCAAUUCCACUUCAGUGGUAGCUGGUAUUGAUCAAAAUUUGAUUGUGGUUUUCCGGGAAAAAAAUCAUCAUGGUGAUUAUGUUAUACUUCAGAGUGUUUCUGUUUAGAUUGAGUUCAAUGGUUAUUCUGUGAAUUGAUAAAAGUUUUAUUCGGAAGUUUAGUUCUUUGUAGUAUAUCUUGAUUAAUGGUCUUAACGAAGAGCUCACAUGGAAAGACGGACAACGACUGGUAGGUCAUAACUGAGCUUUGAUAACGUUGUCUAUUCUUCCUUCUUCCAUAUGUUUGAGGACGAAUAUUGUUUUAGUGGUGGAUAAUGUAAUGACCCGAAAGGUCACUUUUGGAAACUAUUACUAAAUUACCGUUUAACCAUCCCUGUAGGUUCAUAGAGUCACUUUUUAUAAUACUAAAUAAACAUCUCUUUCUCCCUUUUGAGUUUAAGCUUCUAAGAAAAACAUUGAGAUCAUCUUAAAUCUAUUUAGACAUUUUUUGCUUUAGGUGAUGCACCAGAAAAAAUUUGAGAUUUCAAUUUAAAAUUAAUCUUGUAUCACGAAGUUCUUGAUAAAGAAACUAUCGAUCUAUUAGAACUCUCUCAAACACCGGGGAGUUGGCUAUUAAAAUCUUGAUAAACUGCACCUCAGACAUUCUUCAUAUAAAAUUUUCUUGCUUAACCUUCGUCGAGGUGAUCAAAUGUCGUGUCCGAUAAAUAUUUGAGUUCAAAUGAAUCUUCAGUAUCACUAUAUACCAUCUUCAUUGAAAACCUAAAAAAAAUAACACGAAGUCAACUCUCAGAUCAUUGAGAAACCAAAAAGGUAAGAAAAAUGAACCCUGUAAGAAGAAAAAGGGUUAAAGCACUACAUGCAUUCAUAUCAAAACAUUUCAAGUUUGGGUAGCUUCUUAUCAUGGAAAGAAUACACAAACACUUAUCUGAUUUCACUAACAAAAUGUUAGAUAGGUAAAAUCAUUUGAUACUAUCAGGAUUAAAGAGAAGCUUUGAUGGUGCUUCAUAUGCUUCUUCAACUUUGAAGAAGAAUAUGAAGCAUCAACAAGGUUUCCCAUUAAUCCUAACAAUUUAAAAGGAUUUUAUACCUAAUAUUUUGUUGGUAUAUUCAUAAAAACUUUCAUAUGCUCUUUUCUUGAUAAUAAGUUUCCUAUAUUUUUAAUAUCUCGAAAUGUAUUUGUAGUAUUUUGACUCUUUUUUCCUUAAUUAUUGUUUAUGUAUCGCUCAUAUGGGAUCCUCAAAAUCUGAGAGUCAACUUCUUGUUAUGUUUCUUCGAUUUUUAUGAAGAUGAGAGUGAUACUAAAAAAUCAUUUGAAUUUGAAAGUUUGUUGGAUAUGACAUUUUAUUUUUACCUUUUGUAUCAGACUAAAAAAUAAAAGAAAAUAAUGAUUUUAGAAAUUUAAGCCAAUCCACUUUAACAUCGGAAACCAGAAUCGAGUUUCACAAAAAUAUGAAAAAAAACAACUAUCUUCUUUGACCCUUUGGUGACUGUAAUCGAAAACCCAAUAAAAGAUCAAAAUUUUUAAAAUCAACCACAAAAUAUAAACCUUAAUAAAAAGCUAUAAAUACCUCAAACAAUACUGCGAAACUGAUAUCGUUUCAAACCCAAAAAGGUAAAAGAAAAUUGAAUGCAAGUCAUAACGAUUAACCAACGUAUACCUGAAAAUCACAUGAACAAUUCGAGAAUAAGAUUAUAAAGUUAAUGUGAAUAGGAAGCAUUGGGAUAGAUCAUUUAUACUAAUGGCGUUGAAGCAUUUUUGUUGCCUGUAAUACCACGUACAAAUUGGUGGGGGCUUUCAGAAAAGAAAAUCAACUACACAUUAGUGUACAUUAAACAUGUUUAUCAAAUUUUUCUGAAAUUCAUAGCAUGAGAAUAAAGACUGAGAGGAAAGGAAUACCUUCUGAUAGCCCUCUCAUAGUUACAUUCUAAAAACUUUUUUGUCCACAUCCCGAUUGAUAUGCAUUUGAGAAAGGAAUAAAAUCUACAAUGGUAAUGGAAUACUUUUUAAAAUACCUGUAGAUAUAAAGUAUAUACGAUAUUAAAUGAUUGCAACAAUAAGUGGUCAAAUCCUGGAAAAGUUCCCUUUUCAAGAAAAGGAAAACAAAGGCAAUGAGUUAUUUGACUUUGCUCUCCUUUUUUAAAGAAGAGGGAACUUCUCCCUUAUUAUUGCCCUUUUUUGGUACCAUAAAUUCAUUCAUACAUAUAUUUUGAGAAGUAUUUCAAUAUUAUUCUAGAGUUUAUUCGUCUCUAUGACGCACAUGAUUGCUAAGGUAUCACUCCAUGCUGCAAUUCCAAUAUUUCUUAUAUCUAUUAAAACAAACAUUUCUUAAGUGAUAAUUGAGCACCCUUGCUUCACACUGCACCAUUAAUAGUUAUGAGUAUAAGGAAAUAUAUUUACCUAUUACGGCAAGCUACUAAGGAAACAUUUUAAUAACAUAUUAAUUAGGGUUACUAAGGAAUUCAAAUGAUUAAAUUUUAAAAUGUCCUGUAGAAUCCUACUCUUUUUCCAUCUUGUGGAGUCUUAGGAUGAUAUCUAUGAGAAACUCAACAAAUGCUGAUAACUUAUUUUAAUAUGCAAAAACUGCACAGUUGUAGAAAGACCUAAAAAACAAAGCGGAAAUUGAGACGUCAUAACUAAGAAAAGCCAUAAAAGAGACGAAAAGACAAUGUAACAGCUCAUAUACCAAAUCUCAUAAAUAGGUGUGGACAACAUUGUGUUAACCGCAUAAUCGAAUGUUUUAAUAAUUAGAAAUGCAUAUACUUACUAGUCACUUGAUGUAGGAAAGGAACAAGAUACAUCACCGAAGCACAUACUCUAAACCCAGAUGAAUGCAGGAAUCAAGUGAAUCAUGAGAAAAUCUAAUCAAGAAAGGAAAGUGAAUAUUUGAUCAAUCACAUCAAAUUUCACAGUUUGCAAGAAUUAAAGAAGAUCCACAAGGAAAAUAUUUUACAACUUGCACAUAUUAAAGGAAGACACACAAGGAAAAUCUCUCUAGUUAAACAAGAUGGACAAGAUAAUUAAAUUAAGGUUCAAUAAAGAAAGAAAUAUCGGUAUUUAAAUCUGGAUACUAUAAAGGAUUUCAAAAAAAUUGAACACUGAUUAUCGAGAAUGAUCUUUAAAACAAAAAAAGUGAGUUAAAAGACUAAACAACACAACUUGAUGUAAUUAGUUAAACAUCACCUAAUUUAAAAAAGUUAAUCUAAAUUUAACCUCCAUUCUUGAGCAUUGAGAUCAAAACAAAGACAAGAUCUAAAACUAAGAAAGUUAUAUCUAAACACCUUUAUUUAGUGAACUAAAAUAUGUAUUCAUAAUCGCUAAAAAAAAACUAAACCCAGCACUUCACAUCAAAUGAGGCAGGAUUACCAGUGUUACUUGGUUUUGUGCAGCAACUGGAUCUCGAGCCUGGACUUGACAAAUUCCAACACCACUCUGACUCAAAAUAGUCGCGAAUAAACAAAAUUUCAGCGACCAAAAAUAAGUACUCCGAAAAACAUAGUGGGGUGUUCUUUUUCUCGCCUCCAAAAACUCCUCCCUUAAGAGUGAGAGUGAUGGAGUUUAUAUAGCACAACGUCUAGGUUGAAAUAAAGGGCAAAACAAUGUGGGACUCUGGAAAUUUUCAAAUCCCGAAUUGGGUAUUGGGUCUCUUAAUGUGAAAUGGAUUUAACAAAUUUGGUCCAAAAUUUUGGGUUAAAGGUUAUAUGAUGGUCCAAAUAUGGACUAUAUAAAAGUCCCUUAAGAGAGUUUCAAAACAAAAUGAGACGGAUUAUUAAGUCAAAUAAUUACUCAAGCUUCGUGACUUUACCAACAUAAAAAUAAUUAUCUCAAAAAGGAAGAUCUUAAUAAAAUUGCUAGUUUUAAAGAAAAUAAGUUGUGUACUUAAUUUAAACUCUAUUUUUGGUAAAAUGAUUUUCUAACUAUUUAUUCAAAUUGAAAAAUUAUAUAAAUCUAUAUAUUUUAAGUAUAAAUAUGUAUAAUCCAUAUGAAAAAAUGUCAAAAAGUGUUUGGAAGAUAAUAUUGAAAGUAUUUUUGAUUUUCAAAAACAAUUAUUUCCAAUUGUUUAAUAUUUGUGAAGCUUAAAAAUUUAUCGAAUCGUGGAGCGUUAAAAUUGGGUGUGAACUUGUAUUAUCACUAUAACAUAUAUUGAUGCUACUUCAAUAUAAAUCCUAAAUAAAUCAAACUCUCUAAUAGUUUCCUUCUAUUAUUCUUAAUUUACCCAUUAAAAAAUCAAGUUUUUCAUAAUUUUAGGAAAUGAAAAUGACAAAAAUGAACUCAUAUAUCCACCUAACAAUUAGACUACUGGUACAAUAUUUAGAAUUGUCUUAACAUGAUAUGACAAUAAUGUAAUAAAAUUAAUGUUUUAGGUAUAUCAUCUUCUUAGUGUUUCGCCCUUAUUUGAUUUUAGUUGCAGAAGAUUGAUUUGCAUAUAUUAAAACAUAAAACCAAAAAAAUGAAAAACAAAAAAAAUAUUGAUUUUAGAAAUUUUAAUCGGUCUACUUCAACAUCAGAAAUCGAGAACGAGCUUCAGAAAAAAACAAAGGAAAAGAAGUCAACCAUCUUCUUUUUACCCCUUUUGUCAUUGCAAUUCACAAACCCAAUGAAAGAUAGAAAACUUUGAAGUCUAAAAGAAGUAGAAAGUAGAAACUUGUCAUAUGAUAUUCCAAAUUCGAAGUAGAAGAGGAAGUUGAAACCAAGUAGAAGAAGGAGUUAGUGAUUAAUAAAGUUUCUUAUUCAGUUAAGGUAAACUGCGUGUAAGUAUUUCCUUCCUAAGACGAAUGCAAGGAGGAGCCCUAACGUGAGAAGGAGUUCGAGUCAAGUUUGAUUUAAAGAAGUUUCAUUAUAGCGGCGAAGACUAUGUUAAGUAUAAAAGACUUAGGAGAGUUUCAAAGUCUAUAAAUACCUCAAUUUUUUUGGGUUUUAAAUGUAUGAAUGGAAAAUGAAGAGUUGCGACUUUUAUGAAUAGUUUGACUUUUAUGAAAUGUUGUGACUUUAAUGCAAAGUUUUGACUUUUAUGAAAAUUUGCGCCUUUAAUGAAAAGUUGUGACUUUUAUUGAAAGUUGUGGCUAUUAUGAAAGAUGACGAUCUUUCCAAAAGAUUGUGAAUUUUCCAAAGGUUUAUGACCUUUCCGGAAAGGCACAAUAAGAUCCUUUUUGUACUACCUUUUAUUUCGAUAAAUUGAGAGAUUUCCUCUCAUUUUAAUAAUAGAAUUUAAGACUUCUUCUAAUACUUCUAAAUCGAGUAUUCUAAGUGUACUUUGUUCUAGUUGAGUGGCUCACUGACACCAACGUUUUUGAUAUACACUGGUGAUUAAGAUCAUUCUAUCCUGGAAGGACAAACCUCGGAUACUAGAGGGGAAUAAUUUCCUUCAUGAGACAUUGUGCAUUCAGUGGUCUUGAUCUACUUUUUGUUUUUUUAAAUUCUUGUAUUUGUUACAGAUUUUAGAUUUGUGAAAUAAUUUAUGUUCUUCUGUUCCAUACUGGUUCAUUAAACUUUGGUAACUUCGUAUUUCUGCAAAGUUUAUUGGAAUCACUAAGAUUCUUUAAAUACAGAUUGACAAUAAUUCUUCUUUAAGAAAAAUAUUUUUUAUACUCUUCUAAUUUUUUUCUGAUCUACUUUCUCUACUAUUUUUAAUUUUCUAGCCAUGAAAAUAUUGUAUUCUACUGAUUGAGAGAAUCUGAUCAUGGAAGUAGAAGAUAAAUGCAUUACAUCUCCAUAAUUCAUUGCUUUGUUUAGAAACUUCGAAGCGAGAUUGUAACAGAUAUUUUUUUUUGGUAUUCCAAUUAAAGAUGUAACUUCUUAUUAUUCAUUUAAGGAGGAAAAAAGUUUCUAAAGGUUAAAAAUAGUUAUAAUUAUCAUGUAUGCGUUUUGAAAAAGUUCUGCAACUCGUAAGAUUUUCGAAUGAAUUUUCCUUGGGAAAUAGUGUUUCCUUUAAAUUUCACUAGUUUGCAGAGUGAGACAUGGAUAUUUUUGUUUGAUAAAUAGUAUAACAAAAUGUUAUACUUGGAAGAUUAUUUUUUUAAAAAAAACAUUUCUAUGUGAUAAUCUAAGAAUAUGAUUUAUUCUGUUUGGAAUUUUAAAAAAAACCUUUGUAGUUUUGUACUCACUGUCAAUUUGAUUGGGUCUGAUUGUUGUAGACUAAAAAAAGUUUGUUGUUUUCUACUCUGAAUUAAUUGGACUUUGCAAUUGCUUUGAAGAAUAUGAAAACAUUACAUGAUAAGUCAGUGUUGUACUUUUUAUGGUCUAUAAACUUCAUUGUUAAAUAGAAAAAAAUGUACAAAAUUUUGUCUUUAUUAUUAGUAUUCUAAAUACUAAGUAGUAUGUCUAUUUGUGAUAGACAAGAAAGACCAGCGACUUAGUGUUAGUGUGUUUGUUCCUCUAUGGAAUGAACUUUGACACUAUGUAAAGAUUGUCAAAGAGAAUUGAAACUCUAUAAUUCUUUCGUGGAAUAAUAUUUUCAAAAGAGGUUUUGAUACUACCAAUGACAUUUGUGAGAGUAUGGAAAAAUAAGUGAAAAAAUUUAUUUUCAAAUACUUGAAAAAUAAUUUUGAUAUCACAUUUAAAAUGUGGGGGUUCAUUGCUUAUGAUUAUACUUGUUGUCUAAUUUACUUUUGGAGCAAAAGAUAUGAAAUUCAAGGAUACUUUUGUAUCAUGUUAGGGUUUCUCUGUUACUAAUAUAUAGUGUGACUAGUAUGAAACAAUCAAAUUAUAUAUAUACUUGUUCAAAAUAAUCGUGUUCUUUUAUGAAGAAAGUGUCGCUUAAAAUAUUGUGAUUUUUCAUGAAAAGAUAUGUCUAUUAUAUUAAAUGUAUUUGCGUAGUCAUGAAUAUUGGUAAAUAGUCAUUUUUUAUGUUUGUGUAAAAGUAACAUUUGGACUAUAUUGCCUUCAUUUAACCCGAUGAAACUUUGUUCAUGGGUAGUUCUAUAAAAAUCAAAUUUAAACUUAAGGAAAGGUCCUUCUUAAAAGGACAUUUGAAAAGGCUAUGACUCUAAACAAUAUUUGUAUCAUACAAAAUUGUAAAAAAUAGGAACAAAAAAUUAGUGAAGAAAAAGCUACCUCGCAAAGAGCUUUUUGAACAGAUUGUUUUUAUUUGUUCUUACUUUCUUGGGUCAAUGUUUGUGACAUGAACACUUGGGGCAUGUCAAUUACAAAAUCUUGUAAGGAAAUCUGAUCAACAUAGAAGUUUUGUCUAACUUUGAGUGCAAAAAAUAUAAAUGGCAAGUUUAUGUGGUAUCUAAGUAUGUUGAGCAUUCUUAUAAAUAUGAUGAAAGGAAUUAUAAUCCCUUAAAAUUGAUUUACAGUGAUAUUUGUGAAAUGAAGUCAAUACCAUCUCGUAGUGGGAAAAAGUAUCGCGUUACUUUAAUUGACAACUGCAUUUAACAAAAGAAGAUUGUCUAUUUGCUUAAUGGUAGGGAUGAAGCAAUAGAAAUUUCUAGAGAACAUAAUAUUGAAGUUUAAAAUAGUUGGGAAAAAGAUAAGAAGUAAUAAGAAUGGAGAGUAUGAAUCUCCUUGUGCAGAAAUAUAUUCGGAAAGUGGAUUUAUCCAUGAAACUACAGCCCUAUUCGCAUCAAUCUAAAGAGAAUAAAUUGAACAUUGAAAGAAAUGAUGGAUGCAUUUGUAGAAGUUCGGAUUUACCACAAAACCUGUGUGGAGGAACUAUCCUUAUUUCUAAAGGAAACAAAAAAAAAAAUGUCUUUUCAUAAAAAAGCAAUUUUGUUUGUUCAGGACAAAAUCUAUUCCAUAUGAGAAAUGGAAAGGAAGGAAAUCCAACUUGAUAUAUUUCAAAGUGUGGGGGUGUCUAGCCAAAGUCCAAGUUCCUAUUCCUAAAAGGAUUGAAAUAGAACCUAAGAUUGUGGACUAUAAAAUUAGACUUGAGUACUCUAGUGAAAGGUCUAAACGAACUUGGAAAGAACAAAACGAAAAUGUACUUAAUAAGGAGAUUCAGAGGUUUACUAAAUGUCAAGGGACAUAAACUUCAUUAAAAAAUGAUUUUGUAACAUUUCUUGUGACUUAUGUAGACAAAUCCUUUUGGAAAAAUGGUAUCAAUAGGGAGAUUGAUGUAACCUUUAGAAAUCCUAAUGGAAGUUUGUUGUUCUUCCUCAAGGAAAUAAAAUUUUUGGUUCAAAGUGAAUCCUCAAAAGGAAAAUGAAAGUCGAUAGAACUAUUGACAAAUAUACAAUAAGAAUUUGUGUCAAAGACUUUAGGAAAAAAACAAACAAGGUUUUGAUCUGUUGAUAUAUAUACUCAUCAGUAACUAGAAUUGUAUCCAUUUGGAUGUUAAUAUUAUUAUUGUGAUACAUGACUUCAAAAUUCAAUAAAUGAAUAUGAAACAUUUCUCUUAAACAAAAAAUUGGAGGAAGAAAUUUACAUGAAACAACCCGGUGGUUUUAUGGUUCGCGGUGAAUAAAAGAAAAUGUGCGAACAUGUGAAUUCACAUUAUGGAGUAAAACAAGCACUCAAUACAAUGACAUAAGAAAUUUGACCAAACCAUGUUUGCAAAUGGAUUUAAGAAUGGUAGAACUGAUAAAUGUGUUCACAUUCAAAUUACAAGGUCAUUGUUUGUUUGUAUAUUUGUAAUAUGUUGAUCAUCAAUAUAUACACUAAUGACAUAAAUGCUACUGAACUUAUGCUUGAAAGCAAGCUUGGAAUAAAAAAUUUUGGAGUUGCUGAUGCGAUCUUUUGUAUAAAAAUCCUUUGAACUCCAUAAUGUUUAACAUUUUUACGGUCUUCAUUUCAUUGAAAAAGUACUUGACUAGUUCAAAUAUUUGGAUGUCAAUAUUGUCAAUUCUAUAAUAAAUGUGAGUUUUACAUUUCAAAAGAGUGAAAGCGAAAGUGAUUCACAAUUGGAUUGUGCUAGAGUAUUGGAAAGUGUGAUGUACAUCAUGAAGUGUGCGCGAUCAGGUUUAACAUUUUCUAUUAGUAAACUGAGUCAGUCACAAGUAAUUCUAAUCAAAUUCAUUAGAUGAAAAUAAAUAGAGUUUUGGUGUAUUUAAACAACACUUUAAACGAUGCCUUGAAUUAUAACGAUAUCUAACAGUAUUAAAAGGGUAUAGUGAUACAAAUUUGAUCACUGAACAAAUGAAGUAAAAUCCACAAGUGGAUAUAUACUUAUUCUUGGUAGAGGAGUAGUCUCUUGGAAAUAUUUCAAAAGAAACAUGUAUCGUUACCUUUAUAAUGAUCUUUGAGCUAGGUGCUCAAGAUAAGGUCGAUGAAUAAGUUGAAAGACUCCGGAAUUUCUUGAUAGAUAAUUUCUUUGGGCCAAAACCAUUAGCAUUAGUGUGCAUACACUUUUAUAAUGAAGAUGUAAUAGGUAUGGGAUGGAGCAUGAUGUAUAACAGAAAAUCUUGUCAUAAAGGACAUAAACAUGAUACCGAUAAAAAACUACUCUCUAGAGGAAUUAUCAGAAUUGACUAUGUAAAGUUAAAGGAUAAUGUGUCGGAUACACUUAUAAAAAGGCCUAACUAGAGAGAAAGUUUAAAGAUCAUCUAAAGGAAUGGAUUUACAGCUUAGGACAAGUUAGCAUGGAGGUAACUCUACCUAGCAGACUCGAGAUCCCAAGAGCUAGAUUCAAGGAGAAAAAUGAAGUUGUGUCUGAUGAUUCGUCAUUGUUAGCAAACUCAAUCCAUUCUCAUGAUGAAUUCAAUGCUCAAGGACAAGGAUACAACAUUAAGUCUUGUUAAUGAGUUAAUAAAGCUUAAUGGUUCUAAUGAUUUGCUAUAUUUGGCAGAGUUGACCAAAUAGUGUAUUUACGCGAUAACACAAUUAUAAAUUACGUAUGUGAGUGUAAAGAGUAAGCCACUUCAAAGAGGAUGAUUGUCAAAAGCCCAUGUUUCUAUACACUCAUGAAACCAGGAGAUGUUCAUGGCUGAAACGAACGCAAUCGUAAGAACCAUAAACGGUAAAGGGUUAAUUGUGUGACAUAUGGUUUUCUAGGUAUAUACUGAAGCUCAACGGUUCAAAGAUAUCGCAUCUGCCGAUUGACCUAGUAUAUCCGACAUAUGUUCACUACGGAAAUUCCAAGGGGAAAUCUACUAUUCAGAUGCAAUUAAUUCUUUCUUGUAAAGUACACAUACGUGUGCAUUUCUUUGUCUUGGAGUCAUUCCCCAUUCAUGUGGGGAUUUUCGGGUUUUGAAUGUGUGAAUGGAAAAUCAAGAGUUGUGACUUUUAUGAAUAGUUGUGACUUUUUUGAAAGGUGUCACGACCCAAAUUUUGCAAGUCGUGAUGGCACCUAUGUUCCCAACCAAUAGGUAAGCCAACCCAACAUAUUAACCCAACUAAACCAACAAAUGAGUAAAAAGACCAACGCUUAGCAAGAAUCUCCAACAUUGAGUUCCUUAUAUGUACGAAAGGCGGAAGAUAAAAUAUAUCACCCCAAGAAUUCGUGUCUUAAGUACAAGAGCUUCUAAAAUUCGAUGCAAGUCUGAAACUAAAUGACAAAUCUAACAUAAGGGAUAUCCUGUUUGAAUACUAAUAACAGAAUAAAUAAAAGAUAAAGGGAGGUGUGGGCCACGGAACAGCCAAGCAGCUCACCACAACUCCAAGAACUUCAAGCCGGACUCAAUUUGCUCCACGAGAUGUGCUCCUACUCGGAAUCGAAUCUGCACCACAAAGAGUGCAACAAGCGUAGUAUGAGUAUGAAACCACGUGUACCCAGUAUUGUCUCAUUGACCGACAAUGAAGAAGUAGUGACGGGAGUUAUAUAAGAAAAUAAAUUCUUAGAUUGUACAAGUGUGUAUAUAUAUAUAUAUAUAUUACACUUACUGUUUAAGUUUCCUCAAUAAAGGAAAUAAACAUUUAAUAUUUUCCAAACACCAAACGAAACAUGUAGUCAUCAAGAAUGAAUGAUGGGAUGAAAUGCAACGCAAUAUGAUGCCAUGUAAUGAUAUGUCUCAGAAUACCCAGUACUCACUCAACCAUAUAUACAUGAUACUCCUCGGAAAUACAUCGAGAGUUCAUGACCCAUGGGGGACUCGCGAGGUCCAUAUACCGACACGGACGAUCUCCACUUGUCUGUGCGGACGAUCUCAACGCACUAUCAUAAUAUCAAACAAUUUUCGCACGGACGGUCUCCACGUUCCCAAAUUACAAUCUUAACAUCUCACCAUCCCCAGCACGGACGAUCUUCACAUGCCCAACUUAUACUCAGUCUCAUCUCUAUGCAUGUGCACAAUAUUGUUUCGAUAGAGGGAAUGAUGAUGCAUCUCAAUCAAUCAAUAUGAAUAUAAUACAUAACCACCUUAAUUAUCUCAACUAUACGGGUGAAAUAAAUAAAACACAAUCACACAAGGAUUCAAGUCAAUAAUAUAUCAGCUAAUGUUCAUAUGCUUUGGCAUUCUCCAAUUUCAGUCCACAUUCUAUAAUAGUACUUUUCCUUUUUAUAACACCGGUACUCGUACCAAUCCCGUCACACCAUUGAUACGAGACCACCAUCUUUCCCCCUUACCCCUUGUCUAUUUUCAUUUUUUAAUGUUUAAUUAGGAAAACGUCCUUCAACAAGUCUAAAAAGUCUUAACAUACCUUAGAUGCCGAGCUUGUGCCACGAAUCUUUUAAUAUUUUUCCUUUUCUUUUCGCAAGGUUUCGGAAUGUUCCCAAUCUACCAAUUUUUCAAUAUUCGUAUGUAAGCAAUUUUUUUUGUAGACAUUCAAAUUAUUAUAUGUCUAUCAUAGACGCUAAAACUCACUCAUAUUUCCAACAAACUCCAAAUUUUGAUAUAUAUUGGUAUGCCAAUUUUUUUCAUACUUGCUAAAUUUCAAGCCAAGAACUUAACUCUAACCUCUUCAAAUGGACUAAAAUUCAAUGUUAGAUCAUAUAAAAUAACACCUAAUAAUUAAUUACCAAUCCCAAUAUAUUAAAAACUAGCAUUUUAAUAUAUGAAUAAUACGUGAACCAAAUUUCCACCCAUUGGCAGAAGUGGAACGCCCCUCCCCUUUUCACAUUUUUUUUCUUUCUUCGUUUGCACUGCCCAUUUCAAACAUCUCCCAUUAUCUAUAUAGCAUAGAAUAAUAACACAAUCCCAAACACUCCGACAAUAUAUUACUAUAUAUAGAAUUGAAAAGAACGAAUAGCUCAUAUCAUUACCUGAACAAUGGCUAUGAUUUUUCUCCCUCUCGCUGGUCACCUGUGGUAAGGUUUCACCUCCCUAAUUUUCAUUUUCCUUUUCUUCUGAAUAAGAAAUUAUUAACCGUGAAACUCCACUAACCUAUUAUCUAAUUAUUUAAUAAAAGUUUCAUCAAUUGGGUACUCAUAGUUAUCUGAAAGCUUAAAAAUAACCCCUUUAAAUUUUUAAAAGGAGUCAAACUAGUCCUAGUUCUCAAAACGACCUAGCGGGUCGUUACAAAAGGUUGAGACUUCAAUGAAAAUUUGUGACUUUUAUGAAAAUUUGUGACUUUAAUGAAAAGUUGCGACUUUUAUGAAAAGUUGUGACUUUUAUAAAAAGUUGCGACUUUUAUGAAAAGUUGUGACUUUUAUAAAAAGUUGCGACUUUUAUGGAAAGUUGUGACUCUUAUGGAAGGUGCUGACCUUUCCAACAGACUAUGACUUUUUCAAAGAUUUGUGACUUUUCCGGUAAGGCAUAAUAAGAACCUUCUCUCACUACCCUUUGUUUUUAUAAAAUUAAAUAUUUGCUCUCAUUUUAAUAAUAGAAUUUUUGUACUUCUUCUACUACUUCUAAAUAUAGUAUUCUAAAUGUACUUUACUGCCGUUGAAAGGAUCGUUGACACUAGCAUUUUGGGUAUCAAUACACUGGCUAUUGAGAUCAUUUUAUCAUGGGAGGAAAUAUUUCAAAUAAAACCUCGGAUACUAGAAGGGAAUAAUUUCCUUAUGGAGACACUGUGCAUUUAGUGGGCUUGAUCUUCUUUCUGUUUUUAAAAAUACUGGUAUGUGUUACAGAUAUUAUAUUUGUGAAUUAAAUUCAAUUCUUCAGUUCUUCACUAGUUCAUUAAACUUUGGUAACUUCAUGUUUCUUUAUGAUUUGUUUGAAUCAAUAAGAUUCUUUAAACGCAGAUUGACAACAAUUCUUCUUCAAUAAAAAUAUUUCGUAUAUUUUUUCUAAUAUGCUUCUGAUCUAGUUUCUCUACUACUUUUAAUUUCUAGUCAUGAAAAUAUUCUUAAACUUUGUGUGUAUUAUUAAGCUCUUCAAAGUUUUGUUUUAAGUAUCUUAGGAAUAUAAAAUAAACAACAAAUGGUUCAUUUAAGAAUUUUGUAUUACAUAAUGAGAAGAUUAAAACACGAUCAAAAGUUUGAGAGAGUUUUUAGAUUUAUUGAGGAGUGUUGCGAGUUUUUGAGGAAAGAGUUGUAAGAUUAUAAUUAAGAGUUUUGAUUGCUAUCAAGUGUGUGUAGGAUUCGUCUAAAAAAUUUUAGGAACUUGAUGGAUGCUAGAAGACAUGAACCUGGGUUUUUUUGUCUUUGAUAGCAAGGAAUUACAGAUUAUAAUUUCUUAGCUAGGAAUAAGAGUUUAUAAUUUCUUAGGUUACAUAGGUUUGUAAUCUUUUGUUGAGGCUCAUAGUUUAUGAAGUGGAGUUAAAUCCUACAGAGGUGUAGGUCAUGGUUUUUACCCAUUAUGAGUUUGGAGUUUUAGCGAUAAUAUAUUCUAUCGUUAUUUUAUUUUCUUUAGAAAACGUAACUGCUCUAAUAUGCAAAAGAACAUAGAGAAUAUACAUGUUCUUUAGGCAAAUUUGGGAGACAAAAUUCUAACAGAGUAAAGAUUACCGCGACAUGGAAGGAUAAGAAUGGAGAAAUGGAAAGACCUAGAAGAGAGUAGAAAGAACAAAAAAGUCAACGACAGGUUAUUUGUUGAAAACAAAAAAAAGUUUAUAUGAAACACCUAGAAGAGAGUAGAAAUAAGAAAAAGUAGUCAAGAACACGUGGUUUAGUCGAGGAUGGAUUCUUUGCUGAAAAACAAGAAAUAGGCUACACAUGCUAUGCGUUUUUAGAAAAGUUAACUUUAGUUGCAACUGAUUUUUUAAUAACAUUUUUAUUUAUUUUAUAUGAUCUAUAAAAAAGUAGGAAAAAGAUUAUAAAAAUAUAUUUACACAUUAAAAAAAAUUAGAAAAAUAUAAAAUAAAAAUAAAAAUAAGUUAUGAGCAGAGAGUUAGAUGAGGUAGAGUAUAUUUUUAUUUUAUUUUAUUAAACCAUUAUGAUUGAAUUCAUUUAAGUGAUUACUAGAUUACACCGUUAAAUACCAGAAUCACUCUUCUUCUUCAUAAACAUUUAAUAGAUAAUUAUAUAAUAUAUUACUUGUGCCAUUUCAAAAUAACAAUUUAUAACUCGUGUUAUUUGUGAAUCAACUAUAUGAACUACUAAUAUAUUAUCACAUUUGAAGAAUAACACAAAGAUUAUAAUAUUGUAAAAUAAUGACUGGUUAAAAUUGUCAUACCUUUCCUUUGAUUUCUCACAUUAAUAUGCAAAGUUAAUCCAACAAUAAUUGCAUAUCUAAUAUAAUCUCGUAAGCUUGAUUUGAGAAGGAAAGUCGAUAUGUUUGGGCUUGUGUUCUAUGUAUCGAGAAAGGUGGAUAUAGAAUACUAAAAACUAAAAGGUGUCCAUUUUAGAGAGUUUUUCCAUGGACAGGAGAACCAUGUAGGUUUUUCCUUGGUCCAUUGGAUAUAAUCCUAAGGAUAAAAUGACGUUAGUUGAGGUUUUGAGUCUUUUUAUCGAACUUAUCCCUCCAUAUUUGUUUGUAAAGAAGUCUUUGUUGUCUAUAGCAUCGGCAGAUGGAAAGCCAACAGCCGUAGAUAAAGCUAGUAAAAUCAAGCCAAGACCUGGCAGAACUAGGGUCAAGGUUAUAACGAUCCAAUGAAUAAGCUUCCAAAUCAUAUAUGUUUGCAUUUUGAGGAUGUAAAAUCUAGUAUGUUGAAAGAGGUUUUUCGGGAGAUUGUAUAUGAUAAUCUACCUUUGUAUUUUAAUUAUUUUAAGCAUCGAGAUCAUGAAAAAGGUAAUUGUCGUUUGAUGUGGAAAUGAAAUUAAAAUAACAAACAAAGUGAUGAUACAAUUUAAGUUUCUUUAAAAGGUACUAUCAAUAGUCAAAAGUAUCAAGGUGAUGCGAGAGAAAUAUUAAAUGAAAAAAAAAGGUUGAUCAACAGUUGGUUGUUGUAACUUCUGAGCAAAGCCAUAGACACUUAAUAGAUGUGUUAUGAGUAAUAUGAAUGUUCAAACAACUAUUUAAUAUAUAGGGAAAACGUCAAGAGUUGGGGUUGAUGCGCCCCGAGUUGGUUCAAGCCAAAAAUUAAUGGAGUCAGGACACAAACUAAUGGAGACAUGUGAUGUUGCAGAUGCUUAAAAUUCUGGGCAGCAUGUUUUGCAUGUUCAAAUCAAGAAUGUAACUAAAAAUUGGAUGCUGGUUGCACACAAAAAUUAAAUUUGUAAACCAAGUCUUUCCCCGACUAGUUAAAAUAAUUCUCCAUAUGGUCAAAAGGGUGUGACUGAAAAUUUUCAUGUGAGAAGAGACAAGAUAUUAGUAAUGUCUCAAGAGACCUAUUAUGUUCGAAUAACUUUUAUGCUUUAUCGAACUACUAGAAAUUCUUAGUUUGCCGACCAGCAAAAUAGUUAAAAUAUAGUAGAAAAUGGAGUUUUUCGAUGACUUUCGGACUAUUUUUUAAUAGUCAGCAUAUUGAACAUCGUAAAAUAUUUACCUACUAAAUUAUUUAAACUUUUCCAAUAACGGUGGUCGAUAAAUAUAAAACUAGUCCUCACCAUUAAACUAUCAAAAUGACUGACUACAGUAGUCGAAAAAAUAUUAAAAUAAUAGUCUAUUAAUUAAAAAAAUCCCUACUACAGUUGUCAUAGUAUUUACGUAAUUAAAUAUUAGAAUUAAUAUAUCUUACGACAAUAGCUAGUCGGCAUAUAUAACUUAUUUAUUGUCAUUUAAGUAUUUUUCCGAGUACUGAGGUCAGAAUAUAUACAAUUUAUUUAGUAUCUUUUCAUGUGAUCUUUUCUUGAUAAAAAGAUUCCUAUAUUUGUAAUAUAUCGAAAUGUAGAUUUGUAGUGUUUUGACUCUUUUUUCCUUAACUAUUUGUUUUGUAUUGCUCUUAUGGGAUCCCCAAAAUCUGAAAGUCAACUUCUUGUUAUGUUUCUUCAAUUUUUUAUGAAGAUGAUCGUGAUACUAAAAAAGCAUUUGAAUUCGAAUGUUUGUUGGACAUGAAAUUUUAUUCCUACCUUUUGUUUCAGACUAAAAAAUAAAAGAUAAUAAUGAUUUUAGAUAUUUAAGCCAAUCCACUUUAACAUUGGAAACAAGAAUCGAGUUUCACAAAGAGAUGGAAAAAAAUAACUAUCUUCUUUUACAGCUUUGGUGACUGUAUCUGUAAACCCAAUCAAAGAUCAAAAAUAUUAAAGUCAUCCACAAAAUAUAAACCUUAAUCAAAAGUUUUAAAUGCAUCUGACAAUAAUGCAAAAUAGAUAUCUUUUCAAACCCUAAAGGGUAACAGAAAAUUGAAUGCAUAUCAUACAAAUUAACCAACGUAUACCUGAAUACUACAGGAACAAUUCGAGAAUAAGCCUGGAAAGUUAAUGUGAAUAGAAAAGAUUGGUAGAGAUCCUUUAGACUAAUGGCAUUGAAGCAUUUUUGCUGCCUGUAAUACCACGUACAAAUGCGUGAUGGAUUUCAGAAAAAACAAAUUUCACCUACAUAUUAGUGUACAUUAAACGUGUUUAUAAAAUUUGUCUGAAAUUCAUAGCAUGAGAAUAAAGAGUAAUAGGAAUGGAAUACCUUUUCAUAGCUCUCUCAUAGUUAAAUUCUAAAAAUCUCUUUGUCCACUUCCCGACUAAUUUGCAUUUGAGAGAGGAAUAAAAUCUACAAUUGUAAUGGAAUACUUUCCAAAAUACAUGUAGGCAUGAAGUGUCUAUAAUAUCAAAUGAAUGCCACAAUAAGAAGUCAAAUCCUAGAAAAGUCCCUUCUUCAGGAAAAGGAAAACAAAGGCAAUGAGUUAUUUUGACUUUGUUUUCCUUUUUUCCAGAAGAGGGAACUUUUCGAGGAAUUAGCUUCCUUGUUAUGACACUCUUUUGGUACUAUCACUGCAUUCAUACAGAUAUUCUGAGAAGCGUUUCAAUAUUAUUCUAGAGUUAAUUCGUCUCUCUGAUGCACAUGAUAGCUAAGGUAUCACUCCAAGCUGCAAUUCCAAUAUUUCUUAUAUCGAUUCAAACACACAUUUCUUCAAUGAUUAUUGAUUAUACUUUCUUCACACUUCACCAUUAAAAGAUAUGAAUAUAAGGAAAUAGUUUUAUAUUUUACGGCAAACUAUUAAGGGAACAUCUUAAUGGCGUAUAAAUUAGGGUUACUAAGGAACUUAAAUGAUUAAAAUUGAAAAAUGUCCUAUGGGGUCCUAGUUUUUUUUUCUUUUCAUCUUGUGGCAUCUAAGGAUGUUAUUUAUGAGAAAUUCAACAAAUGUUGAUAACUGAUUUUAAUAAACAAAAACAAUACAGUAGUAGAAAAACUCAGAAAAGAAAAUGGAAAUUGAGACGUCAUAAUAAAGAAAAGCCAUAAAAGAGAGGAAAAGACAAUUUAAUAACUCAUAUAUCAAAUCUCAUAAAGAGGUGAACACAGCAUUGUGCUAACCUCAUAAUCGAUUGUUUUAAUAAUGACAAAUGCAUAUGCUAACUAGUGAGUUAUUGCAGGAAAGGAAUGAGAUACAUCACCAAAGCACAGACUCUUGUUCAAGAUGAUUGGAGGAGUCAAGUGAAUCAUGAGCAAAUCUAAUCAAGAAAGCAAAGUGAAUAUUUGAUCAAUCAAAUACAAUUUCAGAGCUUGCAAUAAUUAAAGGAAGGCAAACAAGGAAAAUAUUUUACAGCUUGCAAAAUUAAAGGAGGACAGACAAGAAAAAUCUCUCAAGUAAAACAAGAAGGACAAGUUAAUUAAAAAAAGGUACAAUCAAGGAACAAUUAUCGGUACUUAAAUCUGUAUACUAUCAUAGAUUUCAAAAAUAAUUAAACAUUGAUUAUCGGCAAAUAUCUUUAAACGAAAAAAGCGAGGUAAAAGACUAAACAACAAAACUUGAUAUAAUUAGUUAAACACAACCUAAUUCACAAAUUAUUAAGAUAAAAUAAACCUCCAUUCUUGAGCAUUGAGAUCAAAACAAGAGAGAAGAUCUAAAAAUAACAAAGAGUGCUAAACAACGAAGUGAAUUCUAAAAACCUUUAUUUAGUUAACUAAAAUAUGUAUUCAUAAUAGCUAAAAGAAAAACUAAACCCAACACAUCACAUCAAAAGAGCAAGGAAUACGAAUUUUAACUGGUUUUAUGCAGCGACUAGAACUCGAGCCUGGACGUGACGAAUUCCAACACCACUUCGACUCAAAAUAGUUGCGAAUUAACAAAAUUUCAGCGAUGAAUAUAAGAACUCCCAAAAACAUAGUUGGGUGUUCUUUUUCACGCCUCCAAAAUCUCCUCCCCUGAACAUUAAGAGUGAGGGGGGUUAUUUAGGACAAACUCUAGGUCAAAAUAUAGGGGAAAAUGAUUUGGGAAUCUGGAAAUUUUCAAAUCUUGAAUUGGGUCUUGGGUCUCUUAAUGUGAAAUGGUUUUAGUGAAUUUGGGCCAAAAUUUUGGGUUAAAGGUUAUCUGAUGGUCCAAAUAUGGACAAAACAAAAUUCCCUUAUGAGAGUUUCAAAGGUAAAUGACAUGGAUUUAAAGUCAACUAAUUAUUCAGGCUUCUAAACUUUACCAACAUAAAAAUAAUUAUUUGAAAAUGAAAGAUCAUAAUUAAAUUGCUAGUUAUAAAGAAAUAAGUUGCGUACUUAAUUGAAACUCUAUUUUUCGUAAAAUGAUUUUCUAACUAUUUAUUCAAAUUUAUUAUGGCAUGCCUCUUUCUACCCCUGAGACGCAGACACUGAACCUAGGACCACAAGUGAUCCCAAGAUAACCAUGCUGGCAUGAUCAUAAGCAUACUAAUGAUAAUAAACUAAAUGCGGAAGAUAAAUCAUAAUUUAAACUGAAAAGAUGGGGAAUAUUCAUAUUCUAUAAGUGUGUAAAUUAUAUCAACGAGUUUAAUACAAAGAAGUUAUUAACUCAAUACUAUGCUGAAACAAACUAUGUCUUAAAAUAGCCUCCAAACUCGACUGGAAAUACUGGGACAAGCACCAACUAAAUCUAGCAAAAAUUGAAACUAAAUGACUAAAAGACUGAGAAAGAAGCUCAUGACUAUUGUUCUUGGAGAAUGACUCACCUCUGAAUCUAAUUAACUGGAGAUUGGAAAAUUGAUCUAUGCAUGAUCUGAAUGCUGAGAACCUGAAUAUUAAUCACGAGACGAUGUAGCACAGGUAUGCGUCAGUACAUGAAGGUACUGAGCAUGUAGAAUCGAGUAAAGCUGAAACAAAACAUAACUGAUCAAGCUUAAAAUCAAGUAUAAUAAUUUGAACAUUAAUAUACUGAAUUAUGAGCUAACUAAAUAUAAUGACCAAUUUAUAACAUGCUGAAACUGAAUAAUAAAUAUACUGAUAAAUGGUCAAUGCAAGAGAGCGUGAUUGAACUGUGGGAGAUACUAAUCACCGGUAAUAACACCACAUGAUCUAAAUAUGGAUUAUGAUGUAUAUGCACCAUCGAGGAAACCCAAUAUACCCUGCUAUAGGUAUAAAAGGAUGUUGGCGUGAUCACGAAACUGAUUGCCCAUAGAAAUGACUUACAACCUAAUUGACUAGUAAUUUUGGGACUAUUAGGUAUGCCAAACCCUAGUACAACUCAGUAUUAUGCUACUCCCAUUGACUUAUGUAGUUAACAUAUUAUUUCUGAAUUUCUGUAAUUGUUGUAUAGCUGAAAACUGAACAUGUAAAUUGGGAAUGCAACAUUUAAUUUGAUAAUGAUGCAUUAAAAUUGAAGAAUGUAUAACUCCAUAACUGAAUUAUUUGACCUUGCAUGUGUAAUACAUGAACUAAAGAAAUACAAAUCUAGUGUUCUGAAUUUCAUGUGAUAAUCUGAGUAACAACAUUAUAAUAUGAUUUGGAACAUAUAUUUUUACUAAAUCAUGAAGUUCUGUUGUAAUUCUAGCGAACCUAGGUUUGAUCAUGAUAAGAGAAUCAAGAAUUGACUUAAAACUAGGUACCCAAUGGGUGAAAGUAUUCCAAUUGUGAAAUCCCACAUAUUUGGUGAUGAAAUUCACGGAGAAACACUUAGAUUUUGUGGCUAGAAGGGUUCUUGACCUUUUUCUCCUUUCUUGCUUCUAAUUUCUAACUUCUGAUUUAUGAUUUUGACAUAGGUAUGUUCUUGUUAUGUUUCUAGGUAUAAAUUGACUAACAUAUGAUUAUUUAGGGUCAAAACGACGUAUCUUAGGUUUAAAUGAAGUGGGAAAAGAUAAAAAGACCCCUUGGAUAAGUUGUUGUCGGACCAAAUGACGAUUAGGACAGACGGUAUGUCGUUUGGUCCGUAGAUUGGGUCUAUUCAAUAGGUCUUUACUAAAAUAAAGAUAACAUUAUACUCAAAGAUCUAAUUUUAGCAAGGUCGGUGGAUAUGGAAAGAUAAUUCAAUUAUAUAUCUGUGGAUAUGUCAUAGGACACCUAAUUCAUUUUGUGCUAAAAGUUAUGACCAUUUGAAGUUAAUCGUACUGCAUUUCCCCCUAAACUGUCUGCUAAUUCCCACAUAUGGUCAGACCUACGGAUCGUGGGUCCACCUACGAACCGUUCUGGUCAUCCGUGGCUCUUGUCAGAGAGCGGGUGAAUAGGGUGUUAAUCGAGGUUCAUUUACUACGGUGUAAAGUCUGACUUACAGACCGUAGGUCUAUCCGUUGAUCAUGACUUAAUUAAAUUCUCCUGUGCUGAUAUUUUGGGGGUUUCUGACCCCAUUGAGGGAUGUGCAAGAAAGACCGUGGGUCAGCCUACGAUCCGUCGUGGCCCCCUUGGUUGCACUUGUAAAUUUUUUUGAAAAUCUUGUUUAUGGUCUGUUUUGGAUAUCGAAUGUUACCGAUAAAUUAUACAAAUCUAUAUAUUUUAUGUAUAAAGAUAUAUAAUUCAUUGAAAAUAUGGCAAAAGGUGUUUGGAAGAUAAUCUUGAGAGUAUUUUUGAUUUUCAAAAACUAUUAUUUCCAAUUAUUCAAUAUUUAAGAAGCUUAAAAAUUAAUCGAAUCGUGAAGGGACAAAAUUUGAAAUCAACAAGUGUCAUCACUAUAAAAUAUAUUGACGCCACUUCAACAGAAAGCUUAAAUAAAUUGAACUUUCUAAUAGUCUCCUUCUACUAUUCUUAAUUUGACCAUUAAGAAAUCAAGCUCUUCAAUAUUUGUAUGAGAUGAAAAUGUUAAAAUGAACUCAUAUAUCAACCUAAAAAAAUGACUACCGAUACAAGAUUUACAAUUUUCUUAACAUGAUAUAACAAUAAAGUAAUAAAAUUAAUGUUUUAGGUAUAUCAUUUUUAUAGUGCUACCCCCUUAUUUGAUUUUUGUUGUAGCGGAUUGAUUUGCAUAUAUUUACUUUACACAUAAAACUUAAGAAUAAAAAAAACGAUUGAUUUUAGAAAUUUAAUCUAUUCAACUUCAACAUCAGAAAUCGAGAAAGAGUUUAAAAAAAGGAAAAAAAUAAACUAUCUUAUUUUUACCCCUUUGAUCACUACUAUUCACAAACCAGAUCAAAGAUCAAUACUUUGAAAAUAAUCCACAUCUCUAUAUAUAAACCGUAAUCAAAAGUUUUAAACACCAAAAAGGGUAAAUGAAAAAAAUUAAUUAAAAAUCAAAACAAUUAACCAACAUAUAUAUGCCCGAACUGGUUGCGCAAACAUCUACUUUUUAGACCGAAUUCGACCGGGAUAAGGAGAAUGUCAUCCUCGCGAAUUAGAAGUUAUAAAGUUGUAGAAGUAUGUCUUUUUCAACAACCAAACAGUAUAUAAUGUUUUCUUUUGUAAAGCAUUACGCAGACAAGAUAAUUUUCUUAAUCAAAUUGGUAAACUAGAAAAACUACGAAGCAGAAGUAAAGGAGACAAAAGCCUGAAAGAUGUAGAAAAGCAAAAACUUGUCACGUGAACUUCAAAUUUGAAGUAGAAGAGAAAGUUAAAACCAAGUAGAAGCGGGAGUUAGUCAUUAAUAAAACUUUCUUAUUUUGUUAAGGUAAUCUGUGUGGAAAGGAGCCCUUACGUGAGAAGGAGUUCGAGUCAUGUUCUGGUUAAAGAAGUUUUUUAAAAGCGGCGAAGGCUAAGUUUUGUUUAAUCAUAUGUAGGAUAGUUUCAAAGUCUAUAAAUAUCGCAAUAGUUCAUUGAAGAAUUUUGUGCACUUUCAUUGAGAAAAGAUUAAAACAUGAUCAAGAGUUUGAGAAAGUUUUGACAUUUAUUAGGGAGUGUCGCGAGUUUUUGAGGAAAAUUUUGUAAGGUUGUAAUUAUGAAAUAUUAUUACAAUCAAAUAUAUGUGUAGGAUUCUUCUAACAAGUUUGAGAAACUUUACGGAUGGUAGAAGACUUAUACAUGGGGGGUUGUGUCUUUAGUAACUAGGAAUUACAGUUUAUAAUUUCUUAGCUAGGAAUUAAAGUUCAUAAUUCCUUCGGUUACAUAUGUUUGUAAUCUUUUGUUGAGGCUCAGAGUUUAAUGAAAUGAAGUUAAAUCCUACAUAGGUGUAGGUCCUGGUUUUUAUCCUCUAUGAUUUGGGUUUUUUGCGAUAAUAUAUUGUGUUACUAUUUUAUUUGUUUUACAAAAUGUAACUAUUAUAAUAUGAAAAUUAACAUAUAGAAUAUACUUGUUCCUCAUACAUAUUUGGGGGUCAGAGUUCAAACAGAGUGAAUAUCACUGGGACCUGGAAGAAUGAGAAUUGAGAAAUGGAAAGACCUAGAAGAGAGUAGAAAGAAAAAAAUUAGUCAAAGACAAGUGAUUUAGUCGAGAAGAUGUGAUUUGUUAAAAACAAUAAAUAAUGUAGACAUAAAGACCUUGCAGAGAGUACAAAGAAAAAAAAGUAGUCAAGGACAAGUGGUUUAGUCGAGGACAUGUUAUUUACUAAAAAACAAGAAAUAACACAUGUUGUGCGUUUUUUAGAAAAGUAUUUUUUACUUGCGGCAACACUUUUUUAAAUAACAUUUUUAUUUCUUUUCUAUUAUCUAUAUGAAAGUAGGAAAAAAUUCUAAAAAUAUAUUUAAAUAUUUAAAAUAAAAUAAGAAAAAUAUAAAAAUAAAAGUAAGUUAUGAGAAGAGAGUUAGAUGAGGUGGAGUAUAUUUUUAUGUUAUUUUAUUAAACCGUUAUGAUUAACUUCAUUUGAUUGAUUACUCUUAUUCAUUAUUAAUAUUUAACAUAUAAUAAUAUAAUGAUAUUAGGUGUGCCAUUUCAAAAAAAAAAAAUUGAAUCGUGUGAUUUGUGAAUUAACUAUAUAAACUACUAAUAUAUCAGCAUAUUAUAAUAUAAUGACAGGUUAAAAUUACCAUACCUUUCCUUUGAUUUUUCACAUUUAUAUGCUAAGUUAAUCCAGCAAUAAUUGCAUAUCUAAUAUAAUCUCGUUAGCUAGAUUUGAAUAGAAAAGUCGAUAUGUUUGGGUUUGUUUUAUAUGUAUCGAGAGAACUGGAUGGUAAAUACUAAAAACCAGAAGGUGUCCAUUGUAGAGAGUUAUUCAAUAGACAGGACAACCAAUUAGGGUUUUUCCAGAGUCCAUUGGAUAUAAUCCUAAGGUGACAACGAUGUUAGUUGUGGCUUUGAUACUUUUUAUUGAACUUAUCUCUCCAAAUUUGUUUACAAAGAAGUCUUUGUUGUCUAUAGAAAUGACAGUUGAAAAGCCAAUAGCUAUAGAUAAAGCUUCUAAAAUAAGCCAACACCAAACACAACUAAGGUCAAGGUUAUACUAGAUCUAAUGGAAAAAAUUCCAAAUCGUAUAAGAUUGUAAGCACCGAGAUCAUGAUGAAGAUAAUUGUCGUUUGAUCUCGAAAAGAAAUUAAAAUAACAAACAAAAUUGCAUAUACAAUUAAUGUUGCUUCGAAAGGUACUAUCAAUAGUGAAAAGCAUCAAGGUGAUGCGAGAGAAAUAUUGAAUGAAAACAUGAAGGUUGAUCAACAAUUCAUUGUUGCCAAUUCUGAGCAAAAUCGUACACACACUCAAUUGAUGAUGUUAUAAGUUAUAUUGCUGUCCAAACAACAACUGAAUAUAAAGGGAAAGCGUCAAUAGUUGGGGUUGAUGCGCCGCGAGUUGGAGAAGGCCAAAAAUUAAUAGAGUCCGGACAAACUAAUGGAUACAUCUGACGAUGUUGAAGAUGCUGAAAAUUCUGGGAAGCAUGUUUUGCAAGUUUAAACCAAGAAUGUAACUAAAAAUUGGACACAGACUACACACAUAAAUUCAACUAGUAAUUGAAGCAUUUCCUCGACUAUUCAAACUUAUUCUCCAUUUAAUUGAAUAGGGUGUGAAUGAAAAUUUUUAUGAUAGUGAAAAAAGACAAAAUUUGAGUAAUGUCUCAAGAAACCUAUUAUGUUCUAAUAACAUUGAUGCUUUAUCGAACUACUAGAAGUUCGUCAUUUGUCAACCGCAAAAAUAGACUUAAUAUAGUCAGAAAAUGGAAUUUUUCGAUGACUUUCUGACUAUAUUUGGGUAGUCGGCAUAUUGAACGUCGUAAAAUAUUUACCAGCUACAGUAGUCAGACUUUGCCGAUAACCAUAGUCGAAAAAUAUAAAACUAGUCCUGAACAUUAAACUAUUUAAAUGGACGACUACAAUAGGUUAAAAAUAUAUUAAAAUAAUAGUUUAUGAAUUCAAAACAUCCCAACUACAGUUGUCGUAGUAUAUAAGUAAUUAAUUAUUUAAUUAAUAUAUCUUCCUACUACAGUAUAAUCAUUUAAGUAUUUUUCAGAGUAGUGUAGUCAAAAUAACUAAUUUAUUAAAUAAAUAACUAGGUACUCUUCGAUUAUUAUAGUAGGCAAUAUUAAUUUUAUUUUUGUUGUGGCAGAUUAGUUGCCGCUAAAAAAACUUUUACCAGCAACUGUUCUUUUUUUUUGUGGCAGAUUUGGUUGCCGCUAUACAACAAACUUUCAGCCUCGACUAUAAGUUUCUUUAGUUGACACUAAACUUUUAACGCAACUUUAAAAGGAAUUAGAAGCGGUUUUUUUUGCCACUGAUACUUUAGUUUUGCGGCGAAUUUAUAUGAUUUAGUACUAGAGGAGGGUUCGGUCUUACCUCAAAAAUUUUUUAUCCUUUGCAAAAGUAGGGUUAUGAGAUUACUCAUCAUACAUACCUUUAUCAUAUUCAUAAGUAUCCAAUUAAAUCUUUUUAUGAUAUCUUAGCUAAAUUUGAUUCGAAAUAUAAAAAAAACAGUUAAUAUUUCUUUUAAAUAAAAUUUUAUGCUUAAGACAAUCUUACUAAUAAUAUUCUUUUCUUCACAUAAUAAAAACAUAUCUGCCUUAAAUUCAUUCAUAACAUCUGGUAAAACAUAUCUUUAAUUUCUUCUUUGUACUUUCUGAUUAAGCUUUAGAGUAUAUACCAACUAGUUGACUUAUAAGGUUGAUCACUUAAAUCUUUUAUAAUUCAUUAAUCUUAUUUCUUCUCAAGUAAACAAAAGGUUCUGAAUACCAUCAAUGUCUAUUGGAGGAGCAGCAAUGAAGAAAAUAUAUAAUAAAUACACAAGUUAUCAGCAAUAAGCUAGGGAUCAUCAAAACAUCAAACCCUUUUCGAAACAAUGUGAGACUUUUACCCACUCUAACAUAAUUACGUCAAUGGUGAUGACAUGGGCAUCAAACAGCGGUAUUAAAACUGAUAGAAUAAUGAGUCUUAUUGAUAAAGAGGUCUACAUCAAUUAUAUAUAGAGGAAACAUAAAUAAGUAAUUACACAUGACUCACAUAAUUAUAUUUAAUUAUAGUUAAUCCUAUUACCCCCCCCCCCGAAAGCUGAUCCACGGGUACGAGGGGAAGCUUGGUAGCGAGGUAAUGAAACCGGUGGAAGGGGUUUAGUAAGGAUGUCUGCAAGUUUUUUGGAAGACGAAACCUGAGUUUUGCUCAUAGUACCACUCAUAAAGUGUUCACGAACAAAGUGGCAAUCAGAACCAACAUGCUUCAUAUGAUCGUGAAGGACUGGAUUUUGGUAAGGAAAAUGGUGGACUCAUUGUCACAGUAAAUCUUUGGCCGAAAAAGAGGAAGACCAAGAGCAUCCAUAAUAUGAUGAAGCCACAUAGCUUCGGCACUCCAGUCGCCAUAGCCCUGUAUUCAUCUUUGGUGGAAGAGCGAUAAACUCGCGUUUGCUUUUUUGUGCACCAUGAUAUUUUGUUUGGUCCAAGAAACAGUAGAUACCCGGUAGUGGAGCGACGAUCAUCCUUGUCAUUAGCCCAAUCUGAGUUUGAGUAGACGGAUAGUUCCAUAUAUUCUUUUUGGAAAAGAAGCCCACGACGUGAUCUACCCUUUAGAUAACGGAGAAUCCGUUUCAAUGCCUGGAAAUUCUGUUAAGUUGGAGCAUGCAUAGACUCAGAGACACGAUUAACAACAUAUUGAAUUUAUGGACGAGUAAAAGCCAGAUAAUGAAGUCCGACAAUAAUGCUUCGAUAGAGGGUUGGAUUGUCAAAUAGACGGCUGUUUGAGUUGGUCAGCGGUCGGACAUCCAUGGGAGUAGGUCAAGUUUGGAUUCAGCCAUCCCAGCCCGGGUGAGACGCUCCUCAGUGUAUUUUGACUGAUGAAGUAGGAGACUAGAAGAGGUACAGAGUACCUAAAUUCCAAGGAAGUAAUGGAGAGGGCCAAGAUCUUUCAUCUGAAAAUUUUGAUGCAUGGCCUUCGUGAUAAUUGAGAUAAGAUCAGAUGAACUGCCGGUAAUCAAAAUAUCAUCAACAUAGAGAAGGAUUAUAACCAGGUCACGAGGAUGCCGUAGUGUUAAUAGACUCGUGUCAUGAGUGCACGUAUGGAAGCCCGUAUUUUGCAGAAAAGAGGAAAACCAUUAUACCAAGCCCGGGUGGCCUGUUAAAGACCAUAGAGGGACAAUUUGAGCUUGCAGACAAGGUAUGGAUGGCGGGAAUCAACGUAGCUGAGUGGUUGAUCCAUAUAAAUGUCCUCCUACAGAGUGCCAUGCAGAAAGGCGUUGCUAGCAUCUAGCUGGUGUAGGGGAUAGUCAUUAUGAAGGGCUAGACAAUACUAGACGGAUAGUCUUUUGCUUGACGACUUGGCUGAAAGUGUCCUUAUAGUCAAUGUCAUACUUUUGAUUAUAACCCUUCACAACUAGGCGAUCCUUGUAACGAGAUAUGUAUCCAUCUGCAUUACAUUUGUUGCAGUACACCCACUUGCAACCAAUUUGUUUUCGAUGUCGGAGUGCUGGCACCAAUUAAUAAGAUACAUGUAUUCGUCAUCCAUAGUCUAACACCAAAGGGGAUUACUAGAGGUUUGUUUGUAGGUAAUAUGUUCAGAGGGAGAGAUAGCAGGCAAAGUAGUGGUGUAGGCUUUGGUCUUGAAAAUUCCUGAUUUGGAAUGGGUUUACAUACGAUGUAAUGGUGGUGGGGGUGGGGGUGGUAGGGGUGCUGGUGAGACUAUUGGAAAGUGUUGUUAAGGUGGGUGGAAGCUUGGUGGGGUUUGUGGGAUGGGUAGAUUUUGUGGGCUGGGUGGUCCAACUUGGAUAUGGGAUUCGGGGUUAUUCGUUGGUUGCAGAAUUGAUGAGUUGAUGGGUUCCGGUACAAGGACAUGUGAGCUCCGUGGAAAGAUCGGAAUAAUAUCAAGUGGGUUGGACGUGGCAGAGAUAGAACUCAAUCGGGGAUAGGGAAAUUCAUCAUCGAUAAAACGAACCUUACAAGAGACAAAUGUUUUUUGAGAGACGGGAUCAAAACAUUUGUAUCAUUUUAUGGUUUGGUGGUAGCCUAGAAAGACGCACGGUGUAGACCGGGGUUGAAGUUCGUGUUGAGUUUGAGGUCGUAGCCAAGGGUAGACAAGACACCAAAAGGUCGAAGGUUAGUGUAAUCAGGACGGUGUUUGUAGCGACAUUCAUAAGGAGAUGUGUGUGAGAGAGAGGGUGUGGGCAUGCAGUUGGUGAGAUAGUUGUUAGUGGCCAACGCCUCAACCCAGAAGGAUGCAGGGAGAUGAGAUUUAUAAACGAGGGUUACGACAGUCUCAAUGAGGUUACUGUGCUUGCGUUCGGGAAACCCAUUUUGUUCAGGAGUAUAGGGGCAAGAUGUGUGAUGAAUAAUACCAACAGAUUGUAGAAAAAGACCAAAGGCAAUGUUUAAAUAUUCUUUGCCAUUGUUACUACGAAAGAUUUUAAUGUUGGAACUAAAUUGGGUUUUGACCAUGCAUUCAAAAUUUACAAAAAUCGAAUAUGCUUAAGAUUUGCGUUUUAAUUGAUAAAGCCAUGUAAAUUUACUGUAAUCAUCAACAAAACAGAUAUAGUAACGAAAACCAUUAAAGGGGAGGUUGGGCCACACACAUCAGAAUGUAUUAAUUCAGAUGGCAUUGUGGCCUUAGUGUCCAGUAAGAUAAACGGUAAACGACUCGAUUUUGCUACAUAGCACUACUCACAAUGAUCCUUAGUGCAAAGCGAAAAACCUAAGAUAUCUUCGAAGGAAAAGUGUUUAGACCUUGCUCACAACGGCCCUUGUACCGGAUCUGUUUUGUUAAAUUUUCCACUAUCUUAAAAUUAUGGGCAUUAAAAAUAAGAGUGCAAUUAUUUUCUUUGGUAAACAUAUAGACAUACAAAAGGUUGGAUGUUAGGGAUGGGACGUGAUGUAAUGUGGAAAAGGAGAAAGUACCUGUGGAGGUGUAAACGUAGCCGGAACCUAUAAUGGAAAUGGGAAAGAUUGGCCGUUACCUAAAGUGAUCGUGUCAAUGCCAGAAUAGGAAGUCGGAAUAUGGAGCUGAGAGUAAUCAGGCGUCACGUGAGAAUUUGCUCUAGUAAAAAGAUAACAAUAACUGGACGAGUUGCUUGUAGAUGCAUGCAUCGCACGAGUUCCUCCAGAUGGUGAAGAAUCAGACUGCUCAUCGUAGCGGUACAAACACACAUGAGCCACAUGUCUGCGCUUGUCACAUAUUUGACAGACAGGCAUGUCACGACUUGAUGAAAACCUAUCUCUCCUGCGUCUACUGUCCUGGACCGAUCUGACGUGGCCAGGAGUGCUGCCUUGACCGAGUGACUAAUGACGUCCGCCACUACGCUGCCCGGCCCUGUAGAGUGCUGUGUGGGUUGCGUGCGCUAUCGAGUCAGCGAGGGCCAAUUUGGAUUCCAUGGCAAGAUAUAAUUCUACUGCAUACAACCAGCGCGAUAUUUGAUUGAGUGUGAGUGGGACAUCGUGAUAGAGGAUGUGUUGUAUUAGAGAAGAAAAUUCGGCAGGCAAGCCCCGAACAACAACAUUGAUGACAUCUCGUUCGGGAACAAAUUCAUUAAGGGCAUCAAGAUCAAAAUUAAUUGAGGUUGCUUAGUCUAGAUAUUGGACCAUGGUGCGAGUGCCCUUGUGGAGUGUGGGAAGACGGUCACUCAACUGGAAAACAUGGGCCGUUGAUAAGGAGUGGAAACGGGUAGCAAGAGCAUUCAAAAGAGUUCAACAGGUAGUAAAACCACGAGCAUACUUCUGAAUUUGUGGGCUAAUCACGGCGAUAAGGCAGGCAUGAACUUUAACAUCAAUAAGAGUCCACGACAUAUGAGCAGGAUUCGAUCCAAUCGAGGCCUUACCAUCUUUGUCCGUGAUGGUGACACUAAGGGUGACACAACACCGGUACUGUCGACCCUAUCGAGAAGAAGAUUGGAGAAAAGCGUCGUCUUGACUCUAUUCGACCAAGCCGGAUAAAUAUGAUUAGUUAAUUUUUCUAGUAUGAGAUUGUGAAGAUUGCAAAGAAGCAAUUUCACGCUGGAGGGGAGUGUUGCAGGAGGAUCGGCUGCCAUAUUGAAAAAAAAUCAGAAUGUAUCGAUUUUUUUUUAUCGGCAAAAGGAAGGGUUUUAGGUUUUAGGUUUCAGAAGAGUUUAAACCUUGAUCUGAUCCCAUGAUAGAAUAAUGAGUGUUAUUGAUAAAGAGGUGAACAUCCAAUAUAUAUAGAGGAAACAUGAAUAAGUAAUUGCACAUGAGUCACAAAAUUAUUAUUAAUUAUAGUUACUCCUAUUACCAUAGAGGCAGAGUGUUUGAUGGCUCCAACUCAAAUAGAACGAAUAUUGAGAACUUUUAUAGCAUUUUAGUCUUACAGUUUGCCAAAAAAAUUAACGAAUUAUGGAAGAGUAAUCUGAUCAACCUCACAACACAAUUAGUUUAUAAAUGAUCUAAAGCUAGUUAAAUCAGAAAGUAUAAGAGGAAGAAAGCAUCUUACUUAUGUUUUGGAGAAUAUUAUGAACGAAUACGUUUCAUAACGUAAACUUUUUAUUUGAAAAGAAAUGUAUAUUAACUAUUUUUAUAUAUUUCAAAUAUAAUUUAGCUAAGAUGUUUCAAAGAGGGUUAUUCAAACAUUUAUUUAUCAUUCUAAAACAUUUCCUUGUGAUUUAAUGGAUGAGUCUCACUACGGGUGAGUAGACGUGGUAGGUGAUCAAGUCAAUUGUUCUCUAUCUACAACCUCCUAUUGUGCAUCUAACAUUGAUUUUGGGUCGUCUGGCCUCCAGACGAUGAUUCCCCUUUAACUAGAUGAUUUCUUCCCACCAAUAUAAGUUUUGUCAAACAGAGUUGCUAGAGAGAGAUAGUAGAUAUGUUUGUAUAGUCGUGACGUAUGUGCAAUUUUGCAUGAGCACCAUCAUAAGUCUCCUAAGAUAGUUUCAAAUUUUCGUUGUAAUCUUUUGCUAGUUGCUACUUUGAGUUUAUUUCAUUCUUUUAGCAUUGUGGUAUUUGCAUUUGUUUUGUAUGUUUGACAUGUUUAGAGGUCCUUUUGGAUCUCUCAAGUAAAAAUUUUGACACUUUCUUGUUCAACGCUCUCACUAACUUUACAAUUCUGAAAAAAUAUUGCAUUAUAGAUUCAAUAAUUCUCAAACUAUGAUUUGAAUAGUAACACCUAUGUUCUUUAGAUUUCUUUGGAUAAUGAAUUAUUCACUUACUCUUUGAAUUUUAAGUUUAAUUUUGUCUUUCUUAUAAUAUCAUUUCCUUAAGUAAAUAAAAUAAACCUAUCCAUUCAUAAACACAUUAUUUGAUGCUUUCAUCCUCUUAUGCUUGUUGAUUUAGCUUUAAAUAAUUAAUCACCAACUACCUAAACUUAUAAGGUUGAUCAAAUUAAAUAGGGAAAACACGAAGAUAUACCCCAAAAAAAUUGUGAACGGUAUGCAAAUACCCUUCGUCCUAUUUUUGGGACAUUGGUGCCCCUUUCGUCAUACUUUUGGUACAUUGGUGCCCUUGUCCUCAUACUUUUUGGACUUUUUAGCACUUGUCGUCAUCGUCUUGAGGCCAAACGAAGAUUCCCUUCCAACUAGAUGAUUUCUUCCCACCAAUAUAUGUUUUGUUGAGUAGAUUUGCUAGAGAGAGAUAGUAGGUAUAUUGGUAUAGUCUUGACAUUUUUGAAAUUUUCCAUGAGCACCAUCAUAAGUCUCCUUAGAUAGUUUCAAAUUUUAGUUGUAAUUUUUUUGUAGUUCCUACUUUGAGUUUAUUUCAUUCUUUCAGCAUUGUGAUAUUUGCAUUUGUUUUUUUUUGUUUGACAUGUUCUAGAGGUCAUUUCGUAUCUCUAAAGUAAAAACUUUUACACUUUUUCGUUCAACUCUCUCACUAACUUUACCAUUAUGAAAAAAAAUUGCAGCAUCGAUUCAAUAAUUCUCGAACUAUGAUUUAAAUAUUAACACCUAUGUUCUUUAGAUUUCGUUGGAUAAUGAAUUAUUCACUUACUAUUUGAAUUUUAAGUUUAAUAUUGUCUUUCUUAUAAUAUCCUUUCCUUAAUUAAAUAAAAUAAACCUAUCUUAAAUUCAUACAUAAACACAUUAUUUGAUGCUUUCAUCCUCUUAUACUUGUUGAUUUAGCAUUAGAUAUUUAAUCACCAACUACUUCAAAUUAUAAGGUUGAUCAAAUUAACUAGGGAAAAAAGAGAGAUAUAUCCCGAACUUUUUUGAACGGUAUGUAAAUACCCUUCGUACUAUUUUUGGGACAUUGGUGCCCCUGUCGUCAUACUUUUGGGACAUUGGUUCCCUUGUCAUCAUACUGUUGGGACAUUGGUGCCCUUGCUGUCAUACUUUGGGUAGAAUGGUGCCCCUGCCCCUUCGUUAGAGUGAAUGACAUAUAUGCUCUAAUUUAUGAAAGACAGAGACACCAAUGUCCCAAAAGAAUGACAAAGGGUAUUUGUGUACCAUUUACGGUAGUUCGGGGUUAUAUUUGUGCUUUUUCUCAAUUAACUAUACAGAAAUUCUAAUAAAAUAAGAAUGUGGAAAGAAGAUAUAACUUAAAUUUAACAUGACUGACUUUUUGACUCUUAUCAUUGAAACCGUUUAAAUAUAAAAACUAUAAGGUCCGAUUAUUUAUACACUUCAAGACAUCUAUUUUUAUAUAUCUUUUUAAAGAAUAUAUAACACUAAUAUAUACUAUUCAAGAAGAAAACUUAGGUUUACGUAAACUCAGUGACUCCAUUUAGAUACACCCCUGAUCAAAUAACACUCUUUUAAUGGUAGAAAAACAAGUGCGGGAUGAAAUAUAUGAAGAAGAAACAAUGCAUAAUCUUUCUUAUUUUAUGCUUUGUUGUUAGUAUGUAUAGGUUUUUACAUGUUUCUGUAAAUACUUUGCUACCUGGUGCUAGUUCUAUCCCAGACAUUUUCCAAUAUAGAACUAAUGAUUUAAUGAAUAAAAAUAACUAAUCAUUGCAAUAUGCUAUUGUUUUUCUGUUAGUAGAUUAUAUAUUAUUGUUAUUCCUUUUAGUAUUCAACACACAAUUAAAAGUUCUUAAUCAAAUAUAUUUUUUAACAUACAAAUAUAUACAUUUGACUACCAAAAUAAAAUAACUUGCUCAAUGUGUUUACUAUUUAUGAAGUAAUUGAUUCACUUUAGACAAUAAGCUCUAACAAUUGUGACAGACAAUUUUUUAUAUCAAAUACAAAUAAAAAAAUUUAAUAAUGUAUACCAUUAAUAAAUAUAUUAACUCAACCACGUUGAUGACAAAUUACAUCACUUUAUGCAUUUGUAUUCUUUUUCAACAAACUAGUUUAAUCACUUUAUUAACUAAUAAAUGUUUCUCAUUAAGAUAAGCUCAUCAUUAAAUUUAUUUACCCCAAAAAUAACUUGCAAAAAUAAAAAAAUAAGACCAUUAAUUUAAGUUUGUAAAAUGUCAAUCACGUGUGAUCUACAGGCAUGGAAAAUCACAAAUGAGAUAAUUUUAAAAAUCUCCGAGAUUUUUAAAAGUGAUCAUGUCUGCAGUGAUUCUGAUUUUGGAGGAUUGGGAAUGCUAGUGAGACAGUUAUCUGAUAAAGCAUGUAUUCAUAUACAUUUAUUUAUUUCCUCUUUGGCUCUUGCGGACUUGGUGAAGAUGUAAAAGUCUCCAGACAAUGCUAAGAAAGAUAUUGCUUAUGAAUCCAUUCGUAGAUUCAUCAAUUCAUUGAUGAGUACUGAUAUGCAUAUGAGGCGAUAAAGUAAAUGUGCUCAACGGAUAUCAGUGUUCUGUAACUUACUGAGAAACGUUUUUGGGCGUGAGGAUCUCUUGUAUAGCUUUUAUCCGAGUAGUAUAAGGUAAAUAGUAGAGGCUGUUGGAAUUGCAUGAUGUUGAAGAAUGUUGCUAAUGAAUUGUUAGCAUUGAAUGAUGUUUUCUGUUUGUUCGUGAGGUUUUAGUUGCUGAUUUAUCCUGUGAGUUAGAAUUGAGUAUGAAACCAAUUGAGUUUGGGGGGUUAUCACUGAUGAGCACCGUGUGUGAUUUUACUGGGUACAUAUGCUUGGUGAGGGUAUUGAUGCAACAACCUUUUGACUGUCCAAGCGAUUAAGCAGUGUAUGACAGGGAGUACAUUGAGAGCUUGCAUCAUAUUUUAUCAUAAUUACUUAUCGUUUUAUAUGAUUUGAUGGAUAAAAAAGAGCGGUGCUUAAGGAAAUUGGAAUAUCAGUUUAGAUUGAUCGAUGAAGAUGGAAGGCUUAUCGUACCGUGCCUGUGCCAGUAUAUUGUUGUAAUGAAAGAGUAAAACAACAUUUUAAAGUUGUUUAACAACUCAGAGGUAUUUUGGCAGAAGUUGAGUAAACUAAAAUUUUCAUUGUGCUAUCUAAUUGUGAUUUUGCAAAGAGUUUUAAAGAUUAUAAAUGGAUCAUUGAGCACAAGGAGGUAACCAAUUUCAAAUUACAGAGAUAUUUUAUAAUGAUGAGGCUUGAAGAAGUUAAAGAUGGAUACAAUCAGGAGAUAUAUGAGAUGAUUAUCGAUAGGUCCAUGUUAUUGGAUUUAUCUUUUAAGUAUAUUGUAGAUGAAGAUCCUGCAUUGCUGUGAGGCAAUCUCUUAAUGCAAUUCAAAUAUGAAAAAGAUGUUUGGUCCAGAGUGUUGAGAGAGUGGUUCUUCUUUGUAUGUCGAUAAAUGUUCAGUCCUCACAUAUCUCUCUUUGUUGCUUGUCCCAAUCUGUUGAUCAACCUCCUUAGAUAUCUUUUCUACUUCAAAAGUUAAACAAGUAAAUGUACUUAUCCUCUCAAUCACCAUUGUGUUGGAAGCAUGCUGAAACAUUCUAAGUGUUGGAAGCACGCUCAAAAAGUACUAAGUGUUAGAAUAAGCUGAAAUAUGCGUAAUGUUGGAACAGACUGAAAUAUUCUAUGUUUUAGAAUGGUUAAUUUCUAUUAUGCUUUAGAAUGUAUUUUGAAUUUGAAAAUAUUCUAUAUGUUAGAAUAUUUAGUGCUGGAACUUAGUCUGAAUACUGUGAGGACAAGUUUUAGACACUUGUCUGAUGUAACCGCCUAUGUAACUUUUGUAACUGCCUUGUGCAAAACUUUUAUAUCGGGUGGAAAUUCGUCUAUAGCAAAGGAGAAUGAUUCUGUCCUUAGAUUAAUUUGUGAAGUCUUAUCCUUUGUUGAUUUGUUAUUAGUAAAAGGUUUAGAAGAGUUCCCGUAUAUUGAAUAUGUUGUUACUUUGAUUGUUGCCUAAGAAAACUAAAUUAAGUCUUUCUAUACUUAGUCAAAUUUGUGUGAGUGUAAGACUGAAGUUUGCAAGAGUUGUAGACUGCCAGAAAAUUGUGUUAGGUAUAAGAAAAUUAUCGACCUUGUUUUAGUUUGCAUGGAUUCACAAAUUAAGAUAAUAUAAAAAUAAAUGGAGUAUUCAUUAUUUAUCAUCAUAAUUAUUUCGUCUACUUCUUCUCUAUUCCAAAUUUAUGUGACAAACUUUUCAUUAAUCAGUUUAUUAAAGAAUAACUAAUGUAUCAGCAUAUAACUUGUGUUUUACUUCAUUCAAUCAUGUAAUGAUGAAAAUUGUAUUAGUUUUAUGUAUACACCUUGUGCGGAUAAUUUUUUUCUUCAUAUUUUUGUGUUUUACUAAUGUUUAAUGACCCUAUCAAUAUUAUUUGGCAAAAUCAUCCUAGGUAUAUAUUUAAGAUUCUAUAUUACAUCAUACAAAUAUACUAAUAUGAAAUUAUUAAUAUAAAAAUUUAAUAACGUGUGAUAACAAAUUCGAAUUAAUGUAAAUUUAAAUUUUAUUUAUUUAUUUGUUAUUUUCUUAUUUAAUGUUUAAAAGAGAAAACAAAAUACGUAUUCUUUUUAUGGCAGUUACCAAGAUAUUAUCUAACCAUAAUAUAGAAAUGUCACGACCCAAAUUCACAAGUCGUGAUGUUAUCUAUGUCCCCAACCAAUAGGUAAUCCAACCCAGCAUAUUUUACAAACUUUAACUAAAUUGUGUGAAGAAAAAAAACACUAAGUGAAAAUCACCAACAUAAAGCUCUUUAUAAGUACGAAUUGCAGAAAGCUAAAAAUACCAUCCCAAGAAUCGGUGUCAUAAGUACAAGAGCUUCUAAAAUACGAUGCAAGUCUGAAAAUAAAAUUACACAUCUAACAUAAGGGAUAUCCUUUUUGAAUACUAAAAAAACAGAAUAAGUAAAAGAUAGAGGGAGGUGUGGGCCACGGAACAGCAAAGUAGCUCACCACAACUUCAAGACACUCUAAGCUUGGACUCAAUUUGUUCAAAGCGAUUUGCUCGUACUCAUAAUCGAAUCUGCACCACAAAGAGUGUAACAAGUGUAGUAUGAGUACGAAACCACAUGUACUCAGUAUAUCUCAUUGAUCGACAAUGAAGAAUUGUGACGGGAGUUUUUAUAAGAAAAAACAUUUCUUUAAUUGUACAAGUUUAUAUUACACUUACUAGUCAUGUUUCAUUGAAUAAAGGUAAUCAAAUAUCAAGUACUUUCCAACCACUAAAUAAAACACAUAAGCAGAAAAUAUGAAUGAUGUGAUGAAAUGCAAUGCAAUAUAAUGCCAUGAAAUGAUAUGUCUAAGAAUUCUCAGCUCUCUCUCAACCAUAUAUACAUGAUACUCCUCAUAAUUACAUCGAGAGUUCAUGACCCAUCGGGAUCUUGCAAGGUCCAUAUAUAGACACGAACGAUCUUCAAGUGUCUUUGUGAACAAUCUCAAAGCACUAUCAUCAAUCAAACAAUUUUCCAUGGAUGAUUUCCAUGUGCCCAAAGUAGAAUCUUUACAUUUUACGAUCCCCAGCACCGACGAUCUCCACGUGCCCAACUUAUACUCAAUCUCAUUUCAAUGCGUGUACACAAUAUUAUUUCAAUAAAGGGGAUGAUGAUGCACCUCAAUCAGUCAAAUAUCAACAUAAUACAUAACCAACUCAAUUAUAACAAGGAUUUCAAGUCAAUAAUAUAUCAGCUAAUGCCCUUAUGCUUUGGCAUUCUCAAAUUACAAUGUACAUUCUGUAUUAGUAACUUUCCCUUUUAUAAUACUGGUACUCGUACUAAUGUCCGUCACAUCAUUGAUACGAGAUCCACAUCGUUUGUCCUUACCCUUUUUCUAUUUCAUUUUUAAUCCUUAAUUACGAAAACAACAUUUAACAAGUCUAAAAGGUCUUAGCAUACCUUAAAUACCGAAUCUCAAGCCACGAAUCUUCAAGAUUUUCUCUUUACUUUUUGCAAAGUUUUGAAAUGUUCUCAAUCUAUCAAUUAUGCGAUAUUCAUAUGUAAAGUGGCUUUAUAGACAUUCAAAUUAUAAUAUGUCUAUCAUAGACCCUAAAACUCACUCAUAUCUCUAACAAACUUCAAAUCUUGACAUAAUUUAUAUGUCAAAAUUAUCAUAUAUGCUAAAUUUCAUGUAAAAAAUUGAACUUUAAUCUCUCCAAUAAUCUGGAAUAGAGUUAGCACCAGGAAGUAAAAUAUUUACAGCAAGAUGUAAAAACUUAUAUAUAUUAACGACAAAACACAAAGUAACAGCGAGAAAUAAAAUUGAUAAAAUAAAAGUAGAAAAUCCCUUUGAAAAAAUAAUUACUGUAAUAGACAAUAAUGACUACAGCUAUAUAGAAAUUGACAUAGAAGAAGAUUUAGAAAUUGUAAAAGAAAGAUUAAGCACUUCAAGUAUACCGAAUACAUUAACAAAAACUACCUCAUCAAGAAUGAGUACAUUAGAAGAAACUAUGAAAUUCCACAAAAAUUAUUAGAAGAUAUAAAACCAUACCAUUAUUUUAAAACAGGAAUAAUAGAUCAAAGAAGAUAUAAAAUUUUAAUAAAUACAGGACAAGAAGAAAAUUACAUAACAAGAGAAUUAGUAUUAUAAACGGAAAUUAUAAAAACAGGACAAUUAUGCCCCGGACUACCUAGUGAGAUAGUAAAUACAAAUGAAGAGAUAACAGGAAAAGAAAUAAUUAUAGGAGGAAUCCAUUAAUAAUACCAUUUAAAAUUUUUCAAGAAAAUCAGAAUAUUACAUUAGGAAUAAAAUGGUUAGAAAAAGUUAAACCAUACAAUAUAGAAAAUGAACAAUUAACAAUAACUUACCAAAAUAAGAAAAUAAUUAUCAAAAGAACAAAAUGAAUAAUAAAAAUAUAUAUACUUGCAAAAAUUAUUCUAGAAUGAUAUCACAACAGAUACUAUACCUCUAUGAUAGAUACAGGAGCAGAAGCGAAUAUAUGUAAAUAUAAUUGUUUACCAGAAGAUAAAUGGGAAAAAUUUAAAACACCUAUGGUGGUAACAGGAUUUAAUAAUGACGGAAGUAUGAUUACAUAUAAAGCAAAAAAUUUAAAAAUACAAAUAUGGGUUAAAUACUAAAAAUAGAAGAAAUGUAUAAUUUUGAAUUUACAACAAAAGAUAUGUUAUUAGGAAUGCCAUUUCUAGAAAGAUUUUACCCACAUAUUAUAACGAAAACACAUUGGUGGUUUACUACACCAUACGGAAAUAAAAUAAGAGCAAAAAGAGUAAAUAAUAAAAAACGCAAACCUAUAGAAUAGAUAAAAGGAAGUGAAAAAAUAAAUGAAAAAAUGGAAAAUAUAAAUAAAAAACAAAUAACACAAUUAGAAAUUAUAAUAUUUACAAUAGAUAAAUUGAAAAAUAAUUAACGAACAACUAGAAUUACUAUAUAAUGAAAAUCCAUUACAAGGAUGGGAAAAACAUAAAACAAAAACAAAAAUUGAAUUAAUAGAUGAAAAUAGCAAAAUAACACAGAAACCAUUAAAAUAUAAUUUUGAUGAUUUAAAAGAAUUCAAAAUACACAUAGAUGAACUAUUGGAAAAUAAUUAUAUACAAGAAAGAAAUAGUAGACAUACAAGUCCAGCAUUUAUAGUUAAUAAACACAAUGAACAAAAAAGAGGAAAAUAUAGGAUGGUUAUAGAUUAUUGUAAUCUAAAUGCCAAAACUAAAACAUACAAUUACCCAAUACCAAAUAAAAUACUAAAAAUAAGACAAAUACAAGGAUAUAACUAUUUUAGUAAAUUUGACUGUAAAUCAGGAUUUUAUCACCUAAAACUAGAUGAAGAAUCUAAACGACUAAUAACAUUUACUGUACCACAAGGAUUUUAUGAAUUGAAUGUUUUACCAUUUGGAAAUAAAAAUGCACUAGGUAGAUAUCAAAAAUUUAUGGAUAACCAUUUCAAUCAACUGGAAAAUUGCAUUGUCUAUAUAGAUGAUAUAUUAUUAUAUUCUAAAACACAAGAUGAACAUAUUAGAUUAUUAGAAAAAUUUAUACAUAUAAUUAAACAUUCUGGUAUAAGUUUAAGUAAAAAGAAUGUAGAAAUUAUGAAACCACAAAUGAAAUUCUUAUGAAUACAAAUAGAUAAGAAUGGAAUAAAAAUGCAAACCCACAUAGUACAAAAAAUAAUUACCCUUGAUGAAAAUAAAGAUACAUAAAAAGAAAUUACAAUCUUUUCUAGGAUUAGUAAACCAAGUAAGAGAUUAUAUACCAAAAUUAGUAGAACAUUUAAAACCAUUACAUGAAAAACUUAAAAAAGGUGUUGAAUGUUUUUUCGACAAUAAAGAUAAAGAACAUAUAAGACAUAUCAAGAGCUUAUGUAAGAAACUACCAAAACUAUAUUUUCCCGAUGGAAAUAGAUCAUCUACUUAUAUUGUUGAAACAGAUUCAAGCGAUCAUAGUUAUGGAGGAGUUUUAAAAUAUAAAUAUGAAAAAGAAAAAAUAGAACACCAUUGCAGAUAUUAUUCAGGAUCUUAUGCAGAAACACAAAUAAAAUGGAAAAUAAAUAGAAAAGAAUUUUUUGCACUAUAUCAAUGUCUGUUAGUAUUUGAACCAUAUAUUGUUUACAAUAAAUUUAUUGUAAGGACAGAUAAUACACAGGUAAAAUAGUGGAUAACUAAAAAGGUACAAGAUUCAGUUACAAAAAAAGAAAUAAGGAGACUAGUAUUAAAUAUAUUAAAUUUUACAUUUACAAUUGAGAUAAUCAAGACUGACAAAAAUAUGGUUGCUGACUACUUAUUAAGACAGAGCUACUCAAACUGAGGACAAAAACGAACAUACAAUUGAAGAGCUAUUCAAUGCCAUUACUACACUUUGUACCAAAGCGGACAGAAUGGAUAAUGAGAUACAAAAUCUACAGACUAAUGAAGAUAACCUGAACUCUAAAGCUAAUAUAAGUCAACAGCAUGACUGUAAAAAUGCGGAGCUACGUCGUUCGGCAGACGAAAAACAGCUAGAGAUAAAAGGAGACGUUGGGAAACUCCUUAAAAUCUAUAACGUUGCUAAUGUUGUUGGUACAAGCACAGAAAUUAUGGAAAAAGCUACACCAAAAAAUACAAAUCUAAAUAUCCUAUUUACAAAGCCAUUUAUUCCAAAAGUACAAAUGAUAGAUACCCCAACACCACAAACAUCUACAUAUGCAGCCAGCAUGCAUAAAGAAAAGAAAACAUAUAACCAUAUUUCCCAAGCUUAUAUUGAAAAUCUAUAUAAAAUACAAAACUUUUUAAACGUCAAACCUAGAUCUACCACAACUACAGAAAAAACCCAAGGCUAUUUAACCCAGAAAUUAUAAGGUUAUAAUAAACUAAUUGCACAGCCAAAAACAAAUCCCAAUCUAGUUAAGACCUGUUACAAUUAUGGAUUAUUACAUAUAUUUUACACAUAUACAGGAGAGGAAAUAAGUGGAAUCCAGAAGUCCAGAAAUCGUUUUUAAUAUAUAACAAAAUAACAAAAGGAAAUUUAUUUUUUAUAGGAUUCUAUACAGCACCAAUUGAAAUACACUACGACGAGAUAAAACCGAUGAUCCAAAUAGUAAAAAUUGGAGUAACCCGGGAGAUGAUAAUACCAAAAGAUAUAGGACAACAACCGGAGAUAUCAAAACUUGAGAUACCCAUUUUUUAUGCGAACAAAAGAAUAAUUGGGCUAUCAACAUCAUAUAAGAGUUAGCCAACAUUUAUUUACAAGGAAAUACUAUAUGGAGUUAUUAUUUCAGAGAUCAUUUGACUAUAUAUGCCAAUUUACGGGAGAUAAGACAAGCAAGUCCAAAAAUUGAUUUUAUCCUUAUUAAAAUCCGAAGCCACUCCAACAACCAGAGCAAUACAGAAAAGAUUUAUCUCUGAAGAAUUAUUGACAAGAUACUGUAAGUUAAUUGGACAUAAAUAUCCAGAUCAUAUAUGUUCAAAUUGUAACGAAGGUUAUGAUAUAAUCCCUGAAGUACAAUUAGAAUAAUUAAAAAAAUAUAUAAAGUAAUGUAAAGUAGUAAUAGUAUUGUCGGCCAUUAUAUAAUGUAUUCGGCCAUUAUAUAAAGUGCUUUAUUUUUUAGCGUCGGCCUGCUAAAGUAAAGGCCAUUAUAUGUAAAGUAUUUUGUUUGUUAGUGUCCGCCAAAGAAAAUUAGGUCAUAUGUAAAACUUUAUUAAAGUAGUGUCGGCCACUUAUAUUGGCCAAGCAUGUAAGUUUGAUUGUAUAAAUAGAGGAUUUUUCCCUCAUAAUAAAGGCAUGCUACUACCAAUUAAUUCUAUCUCAAUAUAUCAAAACAAUUAUCUUAAUUUGAUAAAAUAAAUAUAAUAAGGAUCAAUUCUACCAAUUAACAGCACCAGACAAAGCACAUAAAAUCGACAACGUUACACAUUUUUCGAAUCCAUUUUGUAUUAUAAAUGCCUUUAAUUUUCAAAAAAAGAAUCUAAUUAAUAACCAUUGGAACUACACAUUACAUUCAGGCAGAAUAUAAUUGUUGGCAUUGACUAUCAAUUUCCAAUGAUAACCUAAUCAUUGUCUAAUGAUUUAACUUAAUAAAAUAACAUUUACCGUAACCUAGUUCAGCAAACAUUGCCACAUGGUAUUUCCACUUUCCACUUCCCUUUCUUGCAAUUCAAACAAAUCAACCAACACCAUUGGAAAUUCACCACCAUAAUUUAAUAAAUCCUAAAAAAAGUUUAAUCACUCAUAUAAGGUUAUUAUUCGAUCCAACCAUUUUAUUAUCCAUCAAUUCUGACCAGCCUUCCCACUAGCACUACCGAAACGAAAUUUAUUCACAUACAAAAUAUAAAUAUUAUUACACUACUACAGCUGCAUUGCAUAAUUUACAUUUACAAAUUGAUGGAAUUUGAAGUACUUACAAGGAUAACCGACGAAACCGUGUUGCCAACCGCUAUUCUUAAAAUCUUGAGUUAUGAAUAAAUUGUUAAAGGAAACUUUCACAUAUAAAAAAUAAAAAAUUAAUAUUUGUAUUCUAUAGCAAAGUUUAAAUAAUUGCGCUCCAUAGCACACAUAAAACUGUAUAAUUGGCUAUACAUAUACAAUUGUUUAAUUCGCUGACCUAAAUUGUAUAAUUCGCUGGCAUAUUUCACUGCAAUUGUAUAAUUCACCAUCCUAUUUCACUGCAAUUGUAUAAUCCACAAUUGUAUAAUUCGCUGCCAAUUUGGAUGCAAUAUUUUUAUAAAUUUUCUUUGCAUACAAUUGAAUCGAAUCAAAAUGUAUGUAUAUUGCUUAAUUAUAAGGGUAGAGCAAGAAGAUAUAUGUUUUUCUUUCGCUUUAUACAAAAAAAGGAACACAAUAUAUACACUUCUAUUGUAUAAAGCGACAGAAAAUUUUAUUUCACUACAAUUGUAUAAUUCGCAAUUGUAUAAUUCGUUGGCCUUUAUCGCUGCAAUAUUUGUAUAAAAUUUACAUUUGUCUACAAUUGAAUUGAAAUAAAAUGUUUGUAAAUUAUAUUAUUAAGUGUAUAACACGAAGAUAUAUGUUUUUGCAUGUAUAUAUACAAUUUUCUCUCGCUUAAUACAAAACAGAAACAAAAUUUAUACACUUCUUUGUAUAAAGCGAGAGAGGCAAGCAGAGGGAGAGUGGCAAGCGAGAAUGGGAGAGUGGCGAGCGAGAUUUUUGGGAGAGAGGCGACUGACAAACUUUAGCUAACGUUUGCUAAGGAGCACAUUUAAAUCAAACCGUAGCUACUCCAUUUAUAUUAGGUUAUUAGUUUUCUAUUAUAUACAAUUAUCUCAUUUAUUAACUCCUCUUUACCUAACCUAAUUUCAUGGGCCAAGUAUAAAUGGAUAUUGCAUGAAUUAUGGACUUGUCCCACUAAAAGUUAACUAUACUAAUUAUUUUAUAAAUUUCAUCAACUAGAUACUCGUAGUUACCGAAUAAUUAAAUAUACCCUUCAAAAUUUUCUGGAGAGAGUCAAAAUAGUCACAGUUCUCAAAACAACCUAGCGUAUCGUUACAUCACUUACAACUUAAACAAACGUUCGUCCUCGAACGGAAAAAGAAAUAAAAUCUAAUCUAAACUCUCAAAAAGAUGUGGAUAUUUACUCCUCAUGUCGGACUCGGUCCCCCAUUUAGCCUCCUCUACCAUACGAAACCUCAAAUGUGCCAUUUCAAUACUCGAAUGGUAACUAUUAUUGUAAGCAAACUCCACAAGUGGCAAGAACUUAUCCCAAUGACUACUAAAGUCGAUCACACACGCUAAUAACAUGUCCUCAAGAACAUGAAUAGUCCGUUUAGAGUGACUGUCAGUCUGAGGGUGAAAGGUUUUACUAAGAUCCACCCGAGUGCCAAACUUCUUCUGCAUAGACCGCAAAAAAUUAGACGUAAAUUGGGUGCCAAGAUCUGAAAUAAUAGAAAUAGAAACCCCAAGCAAACGAACAAUCUCUUGAAUAUAAAUAGAGGCUAACUUCUUUGAAUAAUAGGUAGUCUGAACGGGCACGCAAUGUGCAGACUUAAUCAAUCAAUUCACGAUGACCCAUAUAGCAUCAAACUUACCCAAGGUACGUGGCAACUCUACCACAAAGUUCACAGCAAUGCACUCCCACUUCCACUCAGGUAUGGUAUCCUCUGAGUCACACCUCCAAGCUUAUGGUGUUCAUACGUUACUUGCUGACAAUUGAAACACCGUGAUACAAAAUCUACUAUGUCCUUUUUAUACGGCACAACCAAUAAUGAUGCUUCAAGUCAAGAAAAAUCUUUAGUAGCCCUUUGAUGAAUAAAGUAACUCAAACUAUGGACCUCCUCCAUGUUUAAUCUAGUAAGAUCACCUGUCCGAGGAAUACAUAUAUGACCCUUAAUCUUCAAAACUCCCUCACUAUCAAGAAUUGCAGCCUUGACUUCUCCUUUUAACACCUUGUCUCUUAUCUUACAUAAAUCACCAUCAUCAAACUGUUGAGCCCAAAUUUGCUCCGACAAGGAUGACCUAGCCUUCAUAUGAGCCAAUACUUUACCAGAUUCUGAAAUAUCAAGUCUCACAAAAUUAUUGGACAAUGAAUGGACAUCCUUAGCUAAAGGACACUCGCUAACCUGUAACAUGGCUAGACUACCCAUACUUACCGCCUUCCAAGUCAAGGCAUCUACUACAACAUUUGUCUUCCCUGGAUGAUAAAUAAUAGUCAUGUCGUAGAGAAACUCCAACCAUCUACGCUUCGUCAAAUUGAGAUAUCUUUGAGUGAAUAUAUAUUGGAGACUACGAUGAUUGUGAACACCUCACAAUGCACACCAUAAAGAUAAUUCCUCCAAAUCAUUAAUGCAAACACAACAGCUGCCAACUCUAAAUCAUGAAUAGGAUAGUUCUUCUCAUGAACCUUCAACUAUCUCGAAGCAUAGGCUAUAACCUUUUCCUUCUGCAUCAAUACACAAUCAAGACCAAUAUAAGAAGCAUUAAUAUACAACAAAACCCUUUCCCUCCACGGGUAGGGUCAAAAUUCUAGCAGUAGUCAAUUAAGUCUUGAGCUUUUCAAAACUAACCUCACACUCAUCAGACCGCUGGAACUCACCUCCUUCUGUGUCAAUCUAGUUAACGUAGAUGCAAUGGAUGAGAAAUCCUCUACUGAUCGUCAAUAAUAACCUGCAAAGCCUAAGAAACUUCAAAUCACAGUAACUGAAGCAGGUCUGACCCAAUCUUUAACUGUCUUAAUCUUUUUCAGAUCCACCAUGAUAUCUUCCUUGGACACUAAGCCAAAUCUCACACUUUGAAAAUAUUGCUUAAAGCUUUUUAUCCUUUUGAAUUCCAUGAACGAUCCUCAAAUGAUGCUCAUGUUCCUCCUUACUGCGUGAGUAUAUUAAUAUAUCAUCAAUGAAUACAAUAACAAAGGAAUCCAAAUAUGGUCUGAACACUCAAUUCAUCAACACCAUUAAAGUUGCAUGCGCGAAAGUCAAUUCAAAAGACAUCCCCAAAAACUCGUAAUGGCCAUAACGUGUUCGAAAAGCCGUCUUAGAGAUAUCCUCCGCCCUAAGCUUCAGCUGAUGAUAGCCAGAUCUCAAGUCAAUCUUGGAGAAAACAGAAGCACCCUGCAACUAAUCAAAUAAAUCAUCAAUACAAGGUAUCGGGUAGUUAUUUCCGAUGGUUACCUGGUUCAGCUGCGGAUAGUCAAUACACAUAUGCAUGUAUCCAUCCUUCCUCUUUACAAAUAACACUGGAGCACCCCAACGAGAUACGCUCGGCCUAAUAAAUCCCUUGUUUAACAAAUCCUGCAACUGGUCUUUCAACUCUUUCAAUCCAGCCAGUGUUAUACGAUAAGGAGGAACAAAAAUAGGUUGAGUGCGUGGAUCUACAUCAAUAAAAAAGUUAAUAUCACUAUCUGGUGGAAGAUCUGGCAAAUCCGUCGGAAAUACCUCCGAAAAUUCACUCACCACUAGAAUAGACUCAAGCAUAUGAGUCUUAACACUAGUAUCUCCAAUGUGUGCCGUGUAAGACAAACAUUCUCUACCAACUGACGAGCCUUAAAGAAAUGAUAUCACACCCUUAGGAGGGUGACUAAUAUUUACUCUCCAUUCUACGAUAGGAAUUCAAGGCAUAAUUAAAGUAAUUGCCUUGGCAUGACAAUUUAAAAUUGUGGUAAGAAAAUAACAAAUCACAUUAAAAUCUAUCAUAUCUAAGACUUUUGUAUUUGCCAGAGUGUCAUACCCCAUCAAGGUAACAAUACGUAGUCGAUACACCCAUCUAGAACUAUAGAAUCCCCGACAUGAGUAGAAACAUGUAUUGCAAAUAAUGAGACUCACAUAAUAUAUCCUGACUCGAAGAAAAAUAUGUGGACACAUAAGAAUAAGUAGAGCCUGGAUAAAAUAAUACCAUAGCUGGUCGAUGACAAAUCAAAAUUAAGUGUGAUAAUAGCAUCUGAAGCCUCAGCCUCCAUUCUACCCAAAAAAGCGUAACAAUGAAAACCACCUCCCUUAGAUUGUUAACCUGCACGACCACCACCUUGACUAGAAGGAGAACCAACACUACCUGAAUAAUAACCAGCUUUACCACUCUAUGCACCACACCUAGCUGGAGGUUUUGUAGCCUUGAAAGUCGAAGUCUAAGAACCCUGAAGUAAGAUACCACGUCUGGUCCUAGGGUAGUCUCUCAUAAAGUAUCCCAUAUAACCACACUCAAAACAGACCCUACGAGAUGCAGGAUGAUGAGAGGAACCUGAAUGACCAGAAUUCCCUCCACGAACUAUAGGUCUAGAAGAUGAAGCCUGUGAAGUAUGCACUAAGCUCGAAGAAGUAUGCCCAUCGUAACAAGCCUCAGACCCACGUAUAGCAGCAUGAAUGGGUCUGCUGGACUGAGAGUGAUAACCUCUUCCUAUGUAACCUUGACUCGUAAGCGGAGCACCACAGAAAUAACCUGAAUACCGGGUCUUCUUGCCCUCACACUACUCAAAUCCCUCACAUCAAAUCAUCUCCCACUCCAUAAAAGCAUCUACCACUUUCUGGGACGGAAAACAAGAAGCAAAAACGUAAGAAACGCCUAAACGAAUCAAAAUAAUCAGCCUCUUAACAAACCUUCUCACUCUCUCAGCCUCUGUGGGAAUUAUCAUCGAAGCAUGCCUAGAUAAGGCAUGAAAUUUACCCUCAAACUCCGCGAUUGACAUACCACCUUGCUGCAAACCCUCAAACUCGGCCCUCUUGUGAUCCCUCUUAUUGCGUGGAACAAGUUUGGCUAGAAAAACUUGAGUAAAGUCCAGGAUAGUGGAGGGGAUCCAACUGGCCUAUUACUAAUAUAAUCCCUCCACCACUGCUUGGCAUAACUAGUCAUCUGAAACGCUGUGUAUGUUGACAUCCUAAUUUUGAUCCUUCCCAACAAUAAUAAAUUUUUGAGUUUCUUAAUUUCCUAACGAGUUUAAAUUGUUGAAUUUAUAAAAUUCAAAAAUUCUUUUCAAAUCAUUUUGAAAUAGCGUUAGUCGAUUUCUAUAUGCUUUUCAAAUCAAAAGAUUUUAGUUUUACUUAACGCUUUAUUGAAUUAAUUUUUGUCAAAAUUAGUAUCUCAUAUUUCGAGUCUUAGUUUAUAAUUUAGCUAGCUAUUUUAUCUCGUUAAAAUUAAGAAGAUCGUAGAUUAAUUAAAUACAAAAUUCGUCUUAUGUAGAAAUUUUAACCAAGUCGUCAUUUAAGCUCAAAUACGGUUUAAAACCCAACUCUAAUUGGCCAUAAUAUAUUUGUUACAUUUUGACAUCUCCUUCUUUCUUGAUUACACCAUUUCAACGUGACCAUGUUGGGUUUCUUUAACCCAUUUCAUCAACUCGUCACCAAUUUCCCAAUAAGUUGAAAAUGUCAUGCCCACCCCUUCUAUUAAAUCCAAUCCUUUUUGAAUCCAUUUAAAAGGAUAAAAGUUUGGCUUAUUUCUAUUGACCUUGGCUUUCUCCAAGUCUCAGCCCACUCUAAAUUCAUGAUCCAGUCCAGCCUCUUUUCCAUUCCCCUGAUCCUACACGUCUCGGUCUUUUUCUUCUUUUUUUGCGUAUUUUACGCGAGUUGAUCUAGAAAACGUGUAAAAUUACGCUCGUUCUCUUCCCCCUAAAACUCAAACCUAGAAAACUAGACACAGACGCGUGAAGGAACGGGCAAAACAUUCUUCACGCCUGAUGGCGUCUUCACGCAUUGUAUGAGAUGCAGCAGUAGUCUGUGGCCUUGGUUCUCUUCUUCCGAACGCAUCUCCAUCAAGUCGUACAAAUCCAGUAGUGGAUGAAGCACGCGGAUUCAUCCUUGAUAUGGCAAGAUGAUGCCACAUCGGUCUUCAAGGACGAGAGACUCAUCCCGGUCGUCCUUUUCCCUUUCCAUUUUUUUUAUCCGAAGGGGAGAAUUUAUUUUAAUUUUUUUGGAAUUUGAAAGCACUCAAAGAGAGAUUUUGUUAAAGGGAAAUAUUGUAGAAGAAAUUUUUUUGUGAGGAAAGAUUGAAAGAAAAGAUGGAAGGGAUACAUUAAAAACAAGAUUCUUGAGGGAAUCUUGUUCAGUCUUUGGAUCCUGAUUCCGAUGGAUCAGUUCAAAUCCUAGGAGUCAUAUUUGGAUAUGAAAUUUCUGCUCCUCUGCUCGUUCUGUCCAGUUCGCUGCACCUCGAAAGGUUAUAUUCUUUUACCACGUUCUCUCCGCUUUUCAGUGUGUCAUGUUUGCUUUUCAAUUGCUUUAGAAUAACAUUCUGAUGAUGGUAGGUGUUCAAUUGUUUUUUAUGGUUGUUGGCAUCUUGUAAGAAUAGAGUAUAAAUUAUAUGUUUUUCUUUGGCUUGCUGCUAAGAGGUAGCCGUAACAUCAUUUUUAAGGACU
RNAcentral lists this long non-coding RNA (124381 nucleotides) under Solanum lycopersicum (tomato). RNAcentral describes it as "long non-coding RNA (SLYC_LNC000672)". Lineage: Eukaryota; Viridiplantae; Streptophyta; Magnoliopsida; Solanales; Solanaceae. The record is from RNAcentral.